Molecule: long non-coding RNA, 136147 nt
Filed under: Cucumis sativus (cucumber)
Lineage: Eukaryota; Viridiplantae; Streptophyta; Magnoliopsida; Cucurbitales; Cucurbitaceae
Description: long non-coding RNA (CSAT_LNC002508)
Source: RNAcentral
CUUUUUUUUUUUUUUUUUGUUUUUGUUUCUUGUGUUAUUUUCCAAACAUUUUCAUGGAUUUUUUUUUUACUUUAAAUAUAAUUUAAUGACAUAACAAAUAAAAAAUAUAGAAUUCACUGAAAUAUAAAAAAUAAUAAUUUUAAAAUUUAAAUAACAUAGGACAUAUUAACAACCUAAAUUUGGAAGAUAAAAAUAAUAUGUAAAUUUAAAUAUUGAGCGGACUAAAAUUUAAAAUUAAAUUAAACAUAUAAAUUUUAAAAAUAAAUAAAAGUACAUUCUGAAAAUUUGAGAAUUAGCAAGAGAAGAAAAAAAAUUUAAAAAUAUUGAACAUAUAUUAAAGAUUAUUAAAGAGGCCGAAAAAAUAAAUUAAAAAAAACAAGUUAAGAAGGAUGAAAGAGAAAUAAAAUAGGGAUUUUUGCAAAAAAAAAAAAAAACAAAUUAUGAUAAUAUAAUUUAUGUCACAAUAUUUUCUAAAUUUGUAAAAGUAGCAAAUUUAAAAAUAAUGAUGAUAGUUUUAUAAUUAUCGUCUGAUAUCAUCGUAAUAUGCAAAAGAAAAAUGAGUUGAAUGUUUUGAGCUGUUUUUUUAAAAAUGUUUUUGUUAUUUGAUGCAAUCUUUUAAUAAAAUAAUCUAUUAAAAUUAUAAAUAGCCUAACGGUGAAUGUAGACCUAUCUCCUCGGCCAACUAGAAAAUAGAGACUAUGGAUAGUAGUUUUUCUAUUUUUGUUCAAUUUUUAGAAGCUUUAUUAAAUUUUGAAAACAAAAAAAAUGAGAACCGUUUCCUUGAAAUUCUCAUCAUAUUUUCUGAAAUCUGAAGUCUGUUUUUGAUAGGUCACAUUUUCUCUCUUCCAAGGAAAAAUCCAAAUUUCACAUUUGUGGAAUUCACAUUUGGUUUGUUUUAAGGAUUUUUUUCCCCAUAGAUAAUGAAUUGUUAAAACAAAAGGGGGAUUUGAAGGCAAUAAAUAAACACAAAACCAAUACAACAAUACAACAAAAAGAAAACCUAAACCUAAAGGGGAAUAAAGCCCCACACACAACCUUACAAAGAGCGGUUCCAAGGAAGAUACUCCACACCCUUUUAAUCGUAUUGCUGUUUAUAUUUAUUGAAUGUGACGGUCCAUUUACUAACCACACCUUCAAAACAUAUUUAAAGCAUACUUUUCAUUAUGAACUCAAAAACGUAUACUUUAUUUGUUUUGAGAGUCUAAUUAGGCGCAAUUUUUAUAACUAUCGAUGGUAAAGUUUGUUGGAAAGAAGGGAAAAAAAAAAAAAAGAGCUUUGCCGACACAUAUGAUACUAAGUUUUUAACUUUAAUAAAAUAAAAAGAUGAUCGGUCAAUGCGAAGACAAAUGGCUUCCGGACAAAAUCCCCUCCACGGCCCACUUGCCCACAUUAACUUUCAUUAUUAUUAGGAUUAAAUGCUGUUUUUUCUUUGUUGCUCCUUUUCUUACUCACCCAUUUGUUCAUCAUUCCUGACAAACAAACAAGAUCCGAUCAAAAAGUAAAGUAAACCAACAACAAAACACUGCUGCUGCUCUCCAUUUAACUAUUGCUUCUCACCCAACAUACCAAUUACACAACACCCCUUUGAUUUAAUUCCCAAAAUCCUGCUCAAUCAUCGAUUAUAACCUCUUCCACUUUCCUUCUCUUACAACAGUUUUAUUGCGUACAUCAUAUUCAAACCACCUGCUUCAACUUCAAAUUGGGGUCACCUGAUCGGAUCAAAUCCCGGCCACUCUCACUCCCACUCCCACUGGGACAAUUAUUUUGGAUGUUGGUCAGAUUAUACGGCGACCUAUCCAGAGCCAACCACUGCUCCACCGUGAACAGUUGUUGAUCGCACGGGCUAUGAACCCCUGUUGUGGUCACCUCCAGAUAGUUGCAGUACCAACCAUGGUGCGGACCCGAUCCAUCAGAGGUCAGGUUCAAUGAACACACGGGUCCGCUCAGGCAUGGACCUCUUCCACUGAAAAUAUCGAGAUUACCUCUCUCGAAGUAGUUGUAGCCGGGUCCCAUCAACCCGCCCCAUUUCUCCAGAUCCAUAAUCCUGAUUCCAUCCCCGGCAGCCGUGUAGAGCGUGGCGGUAAUCACCGAGUCCGUCCCUGCUUUCAGGAUCGACCCUGUUCUGAUAUACACCGUGUACACGCAAUCUGGAUUCUGCAUCAAACAAAUCCAAAAUGUACAUCAGUUAUUUUUAUUUCUUUCAAAGGGCAAAAAAAAAAAAAAAAAAAAACGGAGGAGAGUAAGUGGAAAUACAUCGGAGAAAGCUAUGGCAGAGAAGGAAAGGAGAAUGGAGAAGAAGAGGGCAGAUUUGGUGGCCAUGGUUGUGUUGUGGAAUGAUGAGUAUGUUUUGUUCUUGUAGAUAUUAUUAUAUAUAGAAAAUCUAAUUGCUAAAACCAUGCCAACUCAAUUGAGAUUCAUCGGACGGCUGCAAUCAUUUGAUGGCCCACUAUUAAUGGUGAAUGUCAACAAUUUGAUAAUCUUUCAAAUGAUUCAUCCAAUCAUCUGUCUCCACGUACUCACAAAUAAAUGGCAUCGUCUCGAUUCUUCCGAUUUCUCCCUCUUCUUUUCUAAAUAAAUGACAAUAACUACUGACUCAGUAUAUUAUGAAUCCAACAUAAUUAAUCCUCAAAAUAUAAUGCUUGUGAGCAUUUUUUAAAUGUUUCAAUUACUUUUUAUUUCAUCUCACACCACGAAGACCUAAAUGAGAUGGGAAUGGAUGUAGGAUAAACAUGUCAUCGUUUGGUUCAAGUUUUCGUAGAAUCCAUUAUAUAAAUGUCUAUGAACUAUACUCAUUCAAAAUUAUAAGUUUGCAUGGCUAAACACUUGAAAUUCAAAUUCGUCGAACAUUUAACUCUUAGUGAUCCCGAUCCAAAUUGGCUCAAACUCACCUUGUGAAUCUUAGCAAAACAUUUUCUGUCUUUAGUCACGAUCGAACACAACUCUAUAAUUGCUUUAAGAGCCCUUAAAUUUUCUCUUUUAGCCUUCAAUCCCGGUCGAAAUUGUCUUAGAGAUGGCUUAAGAUCUCCUUAGACUUGUUUCUCUACGUCCAAUCUCGAUCGAACUUUGUCUGAUAUUGCUCAAGUUCCCCUGUCCUUAAGCAUUCUUUCCUUCAUCUCGAUCGAAAAAGCACCAAUAUAGUCUCGAGAUCAAUAUAAACUCACAGUUGGUUAAUGACCAAUAUGAUUAACGUAAUAAGAACUAAUUUUUUAAAUAAUUUUAUAACUAGUUUACCAUUAAUUAAUUAUAAUUUAGUACUUCCUAAUUAUAUACCUUCAUCAAAUUUAUCUUAUCAAAUUACUCGUUUUACAAAUACUAGUAAUUAAUAUUAUUAUUUGAUUGUUAAUAAUUAAAUUUUCUUUAAAAGUAUGAAUUUGAAUGUAUUAAAAUUUGAAUGUAUUAAAAUUUUAUUAGAGUUUUCACGAUUAAUUUUACAAAUAAAAUAUAUAAAAAAAAAUUCGUUUAUUCUUAACCAAUCACAGACAUCCUUAAUUAUGAAUGUAAUUCCAAAUACAUCAAUUUAAACGGUUCUAUAUUAUUAACCGAUUGAUAACAAAUUGACUAAUAACUUACCACUUGUAAGAAAUUUAAAUUUUGAUUAGAGACGUUCAAGCUAUAAAAAAAAUAUUUAAUCAAAUUAGUUGAGAAAUCUUAUCAAUGCCUUAUGCUUUAAAAAAUAAUUUUUUAAAUAAUAUUCUGUAUUCUGUAAUCUCCAUUUAUCAAUUUCAAAAUCUAUUGCAUAUUUACUAUUUUGCAGUCUUCAUUUUUUAUUAUUUGAUAGGGUUUUAGCUAUUUUUUAAAAAAUAAAAUAAUAUGCAUUUAAAAAAAAUAGAAACAAUUAAUAUUAUAAUUUAAACUAAAAUAUCGUGGAGAGCCAACUUUCACAAUUAUAACUCAACUACAAUUAGUUAGGUAGAUGAUAAAUAUAAAUGUGACUUUUUAAGUUUAAAUGUAUUUAUGAAAAUUUUGAAAAUUUUAGGGACAUUUUUAUACCAAAUGUAAAAUUGAUAGUCAUCUUUUUUUUUUUUUUUAUUGUGUAAUUUAGCCUAAGAUUAAAUGCUACCUUUUCAUUAUUGCUCCUGUUGGUAAUGGAAAAUAUAAACCAAUUAUUGUUCAUCAGACAAAAGAUCGGAUAAAAAAUAAAGCAAAAAGAAUACAUUACUCUCCAUUAAACUAUUACUUCUUCCCCAACAUACCAAUAACACAACUCCACACAAAAACCACAUCCAUUUGGUUUUAUUCCCCAAAAUCCUGCUUAAUCAUCUCGAUCAAGCCCUUAUUCUACAACAAUUCUAUUACAUCAAUCAUAACCCACACCACCUACUGCAAUUUCAAAUCACCGCGGAUUCCACUCCCACUCAGACACUCAUUCCGGAUGGCGGUCAGCUCAUAAGGCGACACAUCUAAGGCCAACCACUGCUCCACCGUGAACAGGGUUUGCUCGCACGGCAUGUGGACACCCGUUUUGGUAACCUCCACAUAGUUGCAGUACCACCCAUGGUGCGGACCCGAUCCAUCGGAGGUCAGGUUUAACGAACACACCGGUCCGCUCAGGCAUGGACCUCUUCCGCUGAAAAUGUCGAGAUUGCCCCUCUCGAAGUAGUUGUAGUCGGGUCCCAUCAACCCGCCCCAUUUCUCCAGAUCCUUAAUCCGGACUUCGUCCCCAUCCGCCGAGUAGAGCGUGGCGGCAAUCACCGAGUCCGUCCCUGCUUUCAAGGUCGACCCUGUUCUGAUGUACACCGUGUACACACAAUCUGCAUCCUGCAUAUAGAUCAACCAAAACCAAAAUGUGUAUCAGUCUUCUUUUAGGUUUCCAGAUGAAGAAAAAAAAACACAGUUAGUGGAAAUACAUCGGAGAAAGCUAUGGCAGAGAAGGAGAGGAGAAUGGAGAGGAAAAGGAGAGAUUUGUAGGCCAUGUUUGUGUUGUGUGGUAAUGAGUAUUAAUGAGGAGUUGUGUUUUUCUUGUAAUUGAUAUUUCUAUAUAGAGAUUUGAAUCACCAAAACCACGACAGCUCAUCACAGAUUCAUCUCUGCUUUAUUAUAAUCCAUGGCCAUCUUUUUCCAUCUGAAAAUAUCAUUAAUUUUAUUUAAGUUCUUAAAAAAUAUUAAGUUACUAUUUUAUUUCAUAAUAGAUAGACCUAUUGUUUACGAGUUUUGGUAACGAAUUGACUAAUGAUAUAUAAUCCAUCUAACAAGUUUAAAAAUUGAUUAAACACGUUAAAAUAAACAUUUGAUCAAAUUAGUUGAGAAAACCUCAUGAAUAAUAAUGUUAUGCUUAAAACAGUAAUUUUUUUUCAAGAAAAUGAUUUGUUGAUUUUGAAGUGACGUACAGUUGAUUGGUAAGUAGUAUAAUAUUUAUGCAAAUUAAAAUUAAUAAAUGAGAAUAUCUUAUGGAGAAAGGCAAUGAAUAUAUUCCAAAGGACAUGUGAUGCACGUUGUUGUUCUCUAAACACUGAUCUUCAACUUCCACUUGGUCAAUGCUUACCUUAGAGUAUUACAAAAGCUGCCAAACCUAAAAUAAUACCCCCCAUCAAUUUCAUCUAUUAUUCAAUUUAUCUUUACCCAUUUACCCAUUCAAUUAAGCUUAAAUGGUAUUUGAGCAAGUUGGUUUAGGAUCUUGAUGUUUCUGUAUUUACAUAAAAUUGAGAUUUCAAUGUUCCUAUCUUCUCUUUCACUGCUCCUUGAACCAAAUUAUUCAUUUUCAAGAAUAUUUCACCUAUUAAUAUGGCAAAAUAUGUCAAAAUCUACCAAUGGUAGGAGCCCAACUAUGCAGCAAAUAUGGGUACAUUAAUAAUAAAUCAUGAGAGUCUAUUUAAAAAAAUACAUACUUGGAUAAUUAUUUAAAAAAUUGUUGUUGAUUAUACUUACCCCUAAAACAUUUGUCAUCUGCCAGAAUGGGCUUUAGGAAGGGACUCUCCAUGUUGGAGGCCGAACCCAACCAAUUCCAUUGUGUUGGACACGCGUUUGGUAAUGGAUUUUGGGCCUUUAGCCCAUUUCAGAAUUAGUUAAAUAUUUGGGCUGGAUCAAGGAUAAGGCACACCCAACCAUCGGCUCGAUAUUAAUGAUUGCGCUGAGCACACUACUUUUAUAUCAUAUUAUUUCCUUUUUCAUAUAAGAUAAAAGUUGAAUGAUCAUCCAAUACUAUGAGCACAACACUUCUAUGCUUCCUGCUAUUCACCAUUAAAACUUUUGAGUUAGCGAUAAAAUAAGUAACAUUGUCAAUUUUAGUAAAAUGUUAAAGCCAUGGUUGAAUGGAAUAUUCGUUUAUCUCGAUCCACAAAGUCAAUGAAAUUUCUCUUCUAACCUUUUGAAAAGUUCUCAUUUUUAUCAUAAAAAAUCUUUGUGUUAAAUGUUAAUUAUAUAAUUACUCUCGUCACGGUAUAAAAUCAGUGUCUCGUCACUGUAUAAAAUCACACUGAUUAAUUGAUUGAUGUGGAACCAAGAGCUAAUUUCUUCAUAUAUUUUUGUAAGCUUAUAAAGAGAAAUGGAAGGUUAAGGUUGAUAAUAUAAUAUCAAUAUAAGCUAUAAUAGUAUUUCUAAAGUUUGUAGAUUGUGCGAUUCUCUAAAUCCAUGAUUAAUUAUUUGUUAGAUAAACAAUACGUAAAUCUAAUGUUAAUGUGUAAAGCAGAUAUCUAGGGAAAAAGGAACUGGAAUCCAUAUAGGUUUUAUUAAUUAUAAUAUAUAUGGAAAAGAGUAUAUAGUUGUGUAAUGUAACCUAAUAAUUGUGAUUGUUUAAGCGAGAGAGAAAAUAAAGUGAAAUAAUAUAAGAAAAGAAAAUAUGUAUAGUAUUGGUAUUGAAAAAGAAAAGGGAGAAACUUUAAAAAGGGAUGUUACAGAAAGGAAGGGAACUUUACAAGUGUUAGAAUUUAGAACACUGAUGGGUGGACAUUUCAGAACUUAAAAACUUUGGCUUUUACUUUACAACAAAAACACUUUAUAACUUGGCUAAUUUAGAAAUUAUUCAAACCAAAAAAAAAAUAAAAAGGGUUUUGUGUUUCCCACCUUUUACAAAUCAACAUCUCCACAUGGUUAGUUGAAAACCCUGCUUCUCCAUUUUUAUAUAUAUAAUAACCCACCUCUUUUUAUUUUCCUUUAAUUUCUUUCCCACUUCCAAAAAAUUAAAAUAAAUAUGCAUGGCAUGGGCAACAUUAAAAAUGAAAGAUUACACUACACUAGUUGAGUCUGGAAUGGGCAAUAAAUAUAUAUAUUCAUAUAUACAAAAGCUGCUUGUGUGUAUCCAUUGAGGCAAUCGAGGCAAUGUUCGAAAUAUGGUUCUGAAUCAAUGAAUCAAAGAGAAGAGAUGAAGGAAGUUCUUUUUGUAAAUCAGUUAGCUGCAGAACUCAUUUAUGACAAUUCAUUGCAUUGUUGACUGAUACCAAAUAAAUCUAAAAUUUGCAUUAGGCAACGUGUCAACAAAUAAUGAACAGAAGAAGUAGAUAUUAGGAGAUGAGUAGAUAGUAGUUUUUAGGAGUGGGUGCAUUUGGUUCCCUGUGAGAAAGGCAUCUGGGGGCACAUGGGAUUCCAUGUGAGUCUGAAUUUAAAUGGCAGUGUCCACUACACACACACACACACACAAGAAAAUUAGAAAUGAAGAAAAGAAAAGAGAAGAAGAAGAAAAAGAAAACGGCUCGACCCUCAAUGCGGGGACCAACUUCACAUCACAAUAUGUGCACACACGUGUAACAUAUCUAUUUCCAAUUUAAACACCCAUUAUUGGAAGGGGAAGGGAUUUGGUUUGGUAAUGGUAGGCGCCCCCACACACACAUAUUAUUUCAAUUUCUGAUAUAAGAUUUUAUGUUUUUAUUGUUUAUGUGUGGUACCAAUAAUUGAAGCUUCACAAACGGAAAAGACAAUAGUUUUAUUUGAGUUAAGGCACCAAUGAUGGGGGGAAGUUUGAAAUAUAAAACUUAUAUUUAUAUAUUUAUAUAUUUAUAUAUAUAGUGGGAUGUGGAGUGUAUCUUUACACGUCUUAAAGAAAGCAGCAGGGGGGUAAGGGUUUUUGUUUAAAAGGUUAUAUGGAUAUUAAUGUGAGUGUGAGUGUGAGUGUGUCUCUCUAGCUACUUGUAAAACUUCCCAUGUGUUUUUCUCUCCUUCAAUUCCCCUACCUAAAGCAAAGCAACCCUUCUUUUUAAGUGGAUUCCAACUCUUCCCUUUCUCCCUUUCCCCUAAACCUAACAAUCAAAACAAACCCCAUUCCCUUAUUACUUAUUAUUAUUCCCAACCCCACACCCUCUUUUUUUUAAAUUUAAAAAAAAAAACCCUUAAGCUUUCCAAGCAGAGAUUCUCUCUUGUGGGGUUCUUUCAAAUCUAAACACACAUCCAAUACCCACCACUUUUUCCUUUUCUUUUCUGUUUCUCAUAUUCAGCCUUCUGCCCUACUGCUUUGGAGUUCCACCCAACCCAAAAGAUUAAAUAUACAACUCUCACACCCAUUCAAACACACAUAAACAGUCAUUUUUAUUACUCUUAAUCAAUAUGUAGCAUAAAGUUCUAUAUCAAAAAUAAAAACGGAUAACUAUCUAGCUUUAUCUAUUACUAGCUAAUAAAAAGUAAAACAAUUUUCUUACUUUAAAUUUGUAUUAAAUCAACCAUUUAAAUACUAUGUUGGUUGAGAUAUAUUUGUCUUUCAUACGUAUUUUUGUACUUUUGGCAUUUUUUUUUUUUGUUUGUUUGUAUGCCACUCACUCUGAAUAUUCUCUCUUGUUUAUGUAUAAUUGGCUUGCAUUAAUUAUUGUCAAGAAAUCUAAUCGGGUUUAAUUUCUUUGGAACAUUAUUAUGGUUGGAACCUUCCCAUUGGGAAGACUACCGAAGAUUCUUUCUAAUGCAUUAAUUAAAAAUAAAGAUGUAAGUGAAGUCGAUGGUAUUUAAUAAAUAAAAUGGUGCUUUCAGUUAAUCCAAAUCAUAGCCACUUCUGCUCCCUACGUAGCUACCUCCCCCCAGGGGAAGAAAAUCUCUAACACAUUAAAGCCAUUAGCUUAGCGCCAUAUAAUUGAGGCAUUUCAUCUUAACUAUACAAAAUUUAUUAAAUGUACUUUAUGGCAACAAAUUGAGAUGAGUGGUUCUUAAAAUAAUAAUAUUAGAAUUGUUUAAAGUAGAUUAGAGUGUGGAUGUGAAGUGGAUUGCGUGGUUCAUGCCGGCUUAGACGCUUGCCUACAUUCUUUUAUUUCAUUUACUUAUUUGACGUCUGUUCUCUCUCUCUCUCUCUCUUUUUAAUACAUAUAUAUGUAUAUUCUUACUUAAUAUUUGUUCAACACCUGAAAUUAAAAUAUUUAAUGGUUUUGAACAGAUCACAUGGUUCUUCGAUGCAGUAUUUUAAUUGUUAAUUUAAUAUAUGUGAUGAACACCUAUUUAAGUUAAUGGGACAAAAUAUUUUUAAUGCAAAACUUAGAAAUAGUGUACAACAAAUAUAGAGAGAGCAUGUAUGUGUUACCAAAUCUCUCCUAUGUCCAUUUUGUACCUUUUAUUUUUAAGUAUAUAUUCAAAAUAAUAGUUCUAAUUUCUUUUAUGUUAUCGCAAAUUCAACUUUCUUUUUAAGAGUAUAAACAAUGUCUCACCUUAGUCAAGAUAUGACAGUUAAUAGAUAGGUGGGUGGCUAUGUCUAUAUAUUAUAAAGAUGUGAAGUUUUUCUAAUUCGUGUAGAAAGGAUUUGAAAAGAUUCAUAAAUAUCCUCCUUAGGUUAAUUUUUCAAGUGGUUAUUUUAAAAUAAACACUUAUUUUUAUGUGUGAUUAUUUUUAUAUAUCGUUUUAGAAAGAAGAUUUUCAAAGUUUAUUUUAAAAUGUUUUUUUUUAAUCCAAAAUCUUUAAAUAAAUUUUUUAAAAAGAAAUAUUUUAUUUUCUCUUAAGCAUCUGUAAAUAAACUGAAAGACGUUUGGCCAUGUAUCUAGCUAUACGAGGCAUUCACUGUGCUCAAGUGUUACAGUAGUAUUAUAAAUUUUUAGGUAUGAACUGUAUAUGCUCCAGACAAAAGAAAACUAAAGUGGGAUUGACCAGCCUAAUUGUUAGAGGACAAGAAAAUUCUGAGAGCCCUAACAUUAUAUGCCCAUAGUUUAUGUAAUAACACGUUGAUUUUUGUCGUUAUGCAUACAAUAUUACUUUUUACAUUUGAAUCAAACGUCCUCUGAAAAAAUCACUUAUAAUAACGAAUAAUACUUCCCUGUUCGCGUUGUAAAUAAAAAAUGAAAAUUGAUCGCAAACUCUUGAUUGGAGUAAAGGAAGUGAAGGAAGAAGGUAAGGUGGAGAAGAUAAGAUAAUUAAUAAUUAGAUUAAUACCAUUAAUUAACAUGGAUUAAGGUGCAUAUAAUUGCAAAUUUUGGUUGUCUUCCUUUCCCCUGUACACAGAGUUACAAGAUGUACAAGGCCAUGAAGCCAAAGAAAAAGAAAAAGAAAAAAAAAACCAGAGUUCCCACCCAGCUACCUUUUUUGUUCUCUAUUUCCAUAUAUAUAUCUAACUAACAUAUUUUUGAACAAUUAUAAGUUACAUAUAUAUAUAGACCGACCAAUCCCAACCAACCAACCAACCCUCCUCCUCUUUUCCUUAAUAUAUAUUCUAAUUUAUUGGCUGGGAAAAAAAGAAAAGGUAUAUAUAUAUAUAUAUAUUUUAGCUUUUCCUUUCUUUUUUUCCCAUUUCCCUUUCUUCUCCUUCUUAAAUUUCUUUCACAUCUGGCACUGCCCUGGCAGUGGCAAUAUAGAUCUCUUCUUCCACUCAGCCAAGCGUUGCAAAAAGUUCAUAACCUGUGUAUAUACCAAAAUUAAUUAAAAUUCACAUAAUUAAUUUUAUAAUGAGACAAAAAAUAAGACAUUGUACAUAAUUAAAGUAUAUUUGAUGAGGUAUAUAUAAUAAAUACUUGUACUUGCCUCAGAAGGUUCCCGUAGAGAAUAAGAAGCACUCGUUUCCUUUGGAAAUUUUGACACAAGAAUGCCAAACCCUUGUCCUCUCUCUCUUAUUAUCUGCUCAAUUUUUUUUAAAAAAAUAAUUUAGAUUCAUCACGAGCAUGAAACAAAAAAUACAUCCAUUUCUUAUUAUUACUGUUACUAUUAUUUUAAUAUAUGUUGUUUACCUUAAAUGCAUCUUCAUCCGUUCGAUCAUCUCCGAUAUAUACCGGAAAAACAUCCGAACAAUUGUUGAAUCCUGUUAAUUUAUUUAUAUAAAAAAGUUAUUAUUAUUAUGAGUAGGAAAACUUUUCAUUAUUGGUAAAAGGGUGAAAAAGCUCACCAAGUGACUCUAAUAAGAAUUCUAAGGCCUUCCCUUUGUCCCACUUAAUGGUUGGACGAAUCUCUAAUACCUGCACUUCCACUUCAAAGUUAGAAGGAGGGAUUUGGAAAAUAAUAAUUAUGGUAAUUAAUUAAUUAACUUUUCGUAUAUACCUUUCUUCCUUGGGUUAGUCGAAGCUGUGGGAAAUCUUUCAACACAGAUUUAACUUGUUGGGCUAAUUCACUCCAUUUCUGUAAUAAUGAUCAUAAAAAGACAAAUUACAAAAUUAAUCACUAGGACAAGAGUAAAUAAAUAUGAACAGUAUAAAGAGGUGAUAGCAGAUGGUGACAAUGAAAUAUUCAUUAACCUUUUCUUCAACACAACGGUAGUGAACAGAGAGACAAAACUUGUUGUUCUCCACCUUAGCUCCUGGAGUUGAUUUGGUUUUUUCAACCAGCUCUUUGUAAACCUGACAAAAUAAUGAUAAUAUUAAUAAAUAUUAUGAGGGUUUCAUUUAGUUGAUUUAUUUGGAAUAUAUAUUUGGAGGUAGAGUAUUAAAAAGGAAAAUUAAUUAAUUCACCUGGUCGAUCAUGGGAAGAAACUCACUGGCAGGUUGAAAGAGAACAGAUUGGGUACACUGAAACAGUAAAAGAGAAGAUGAGGGGUAAAGAGAGAAUAUAUGUCAGGUAAAAGAUGGUAAAAAUAAAAUAAAAUAAAAAGAAGAAGAGGCAGAGAGAGUCACGCACUUUCUUGUAAUUGGAAUCUUUUGUCGGUCCUUUAAUAUCCAUCCCAUGGCUUCCUGCAUAAUACAGUUCUCCUAGUCUUACAAACCCAUAAACCUGCAAUAAUCAAAAUAAUUAAAAACACACCAUUCCUAUUUUUAUUUUAAAUUUAAUCUCAUCUCAUGUAUUUCCAAACUUCAUUUUAUACCUUGUCUCUACGUCUCCCGCUCACUAUUGCAGUAGGGAAGCUUCUCGCUACCGUUUUUACCGUUUUUCUCAUCUGUAAAUUGUUUUUAACCACAUGGAAGGAAAGUUGAGUUAUUUAUAAAAGAAGAGAGAUUUAAAAAAAAAAAAAAAAACAAAACGUAAGGUAAAUUACGGACCGCAUCGGACAUGAAGGCACGAUCUGGGUCAUCGACAAUUGGGGAAAGUGUGCCAUCAUAAUCCAGAAACAUCACUAUUUGUUUCCCUUUAGAAGCAUCAAUGAUUUGGUCAAACAUGUCCAAAGCCGAAGGAUGGUGGAGCUGUUACAUUGCACAAUAAUCAGAUCAGAUCCCACUCUUGCAUAUUAUAUAUAUUGUAUUUUAUAAUAUAAGUUUAUAGUGAUUCAUUGAGGGAGUACCAUCCAAGAGGAGUUAUUGUCAUGGUCAUGGUCGGAGAGGGAAGGAGUGGGUUUAAUACGACUUGGAGAUGAGGCUCGCAUUGAGUCCACCCAUGUCUUGAUUCUUGCUCUCCCAUCGGGCUGCUGCACCAAUUUUGUGGACCGAGAUAUUGAGAUGUAGCCACCGCCGGUGGUUGAGCUGGGGCCAGCCGGUGGCUUUUGAGCUGUUGCUUGGAAAAUCGACGAGUUUGAUACUGUGACAGUGAUGGCCAUGUUGAUGCUUGAUUUACUCUCUGAAAUUACUACAUUCGGGUUGUUCGUCAUCCUGUUUUUACUCCCCUAGUUCCUUUUUUUGUUUUUAGUUUCUUUCUCACUACUAACUGCAUCGUACCCACAUCAUGAAACGAAGAUCAGUGAAUUAGUAAUAUAAAAUUAAAGAAAAGAAAAAGGCUAGUUGGAAAUUUGAAGAAGAAGAAAACUUACAAUUGUUUUGAAAGAAGAGAGAAGAGGGAAGAAUAAUAUUAAUGGGGGGGGAGAAGCAAAGAGAGAAGAAAUGGAGAGUGAGAGUAAGAAGAGGGGGAAGAGGGGAUUUAUAGUUAAAACAAUGGGGCCCAGUUGGAAAAAUCCAGUAGGCCCCACAUUAAAAACCUCAUCCUUUUUUUUUUUUUUCUUUUCUAAAAUUUAAAAUAUUGUUAUUAUUAUUAACACUUGAGAGACGCCGUUGCUGUGGUGGGGUGAGGGUGGGGGUGGACACGGCCUUAAGCUUAAGCUUCUUCCCUUUUCUUUCUCCCUUCUUGCCAAACCGCCACUUAUGGGUUGUCUCCACGUGGCCAACAUUCCUCUUCCAAGUCAAACCAACCUGGUUUCUGCCCACGUGGCUUUUCUUUUCUUUUUAUAUAUAUAUUUGUUGAUUAUAAUAAAGUUCUCCAAAUAAUUCCUUUUUUGAAACACAAAUUAUUAAGUUCUACCAAAAUUUUGGCAAUGAAGUAGUAGAUAUCAAUUAAUUAACCUCUAAAAAAUUGUUAGAUUCAAAUUAUUGCAUACCAAUUUUCCUAAAAGAUAUCUUAAAGUGAACUGGAUUAAGCUGUAUUUAUUAAAUAACUAAAUACAUUUUUUCCUCCUAGCAAAAAAGCUAUUUAUCAUAGACUUCUGCCUCCAUUAUCUAAAUUAUUUCUUUAUCAUCAAGUGUACUACAUUAAUGAUAUUAAUUGACACUAAAAAGGAAACAAUAGGUAUAAGUAGCCAACCAUAUUGCAUUAUAAAAAGUAAAACAGAUUUUAUCUAUAAUCAUUUGAUCUUUCCUAAAACAAUAUAUACUAUAAUUACUUAAUUUUUUAGUUCAUGAAAAUUCUUCAUUUGCUCCCGUUCUUAAAAGCAUAGUAAUUCUUAACACUUAUUUGCUUUUAGAAAAUAAUAUUUCACGUAAAAUUAAGACUAAGGUAAUAUUAUUGAUGUUUUUUAUUUCUACGUUUAAAAAAUUAUAUUCACAGCACAAAUUUACUUACUUUUGUAAAAAUGACAAAAAAAAAAAAAAAGUUGAUACACAAUUGAUACAUUAUUAAUACAUAUUUGAUACAUUUGAAAAAUAGGAGGGAGAGGGGAGUAAUAGAGUGGGAGCAUUGAAAGCAGUGGAAAGGAAAAGGUGAGUGGGUUUAUUAAGGGAAGAGCUGUUUUGCGAAUUGCUAUAAAUAGUGUGAGUUCAUGUUAUGGGCGGUUGGUACCUUACCUAAAAUUAGAGAUUACAUAGAGAAACUUCGUCGGAUAAAAAACGCCCCUUGUAAAUUCCACCAAAAACAGCGGCGUCAAUAGCCCUAUGUGCUUCGCAUUGCAUUUCCCUCUCCUCAUUAAAAUAAUAAUAAUAAUAAUAUCACCAAUUAUUAUUGUUAUUAUUAUUCUUCACCAUUGUACUCUAUUUAUUAAACAUCAGAGAACUCAAUAAUUGAGCUUGUACUGACCCUUUUUUCUUUAUCAAAUUUAGUCUCUUUAUUAGAAUAUUCACCUUUUAAGUGAAAAAUUAAUUAGUAUAUAUAUAGAUGGAAAUAAAAGGUACUAAAGACUUUGAUUAUUAACACACCUGUCUCGAAUCAACCAAUCGGCCUUGACUUUCACUCAUUUUUUAAAACAUAUAUAUAUGUUUUAUUGAGAGGUAGAGAGUAAUGCAGAACAAGGACAGGGUGCCUAUCUAGCUAGCCUAACUUUUGUAAUUAUUAAUUAUUAUUGUUAUUAUUCUAAGGUCACAUUUAAUUAUGUCAAUAUUAUAAUGUAAUAGUUAAGGGGAGGUGUUUCAAAAAGUCUUUGUUGGGGUUGGGGUUUGGAGAAGGUGGAAAAGAAAGGGUAUAGGAUACAAAAAGAUGUGUGUGUAUGUGUGAGAAUUAGAGUGAAUGUGGUUUGAAACUAAAGGAAAAUUCGUCUCUCUGUACUUUUAUGGCUUCAAUUCCUUUUGUGUGUAUUAGAGUAGAGGCAGCAAAAUCAUCCAUUUUUCCUCUCUUUUUCCUCUUUUGUCCCACGCCAGGGAGAGUAUAUUCCAAAUACCCUCUACACUUGGAAAUUAUAAUAUAUACUUCUUUUCUACUAUUUCAUUUAUGUUCUUUCCUUUUUUAAAAAAAAAAUUAAUAUCAAAUUUCUAUUGAAGUAAGACUUUUGUUUCCUUUUUAUGUUUGGAAAUAUCAACAAACUUCUUUCUAACAUUCAACUACAUUUAAGAUGCACAAAUCAACUAAAAUCACACCACAUAUACAUUCAAAAGCUAACUUACAUGCCCUCUUUAACUCAUUUUGCCGAAUAAUCUUUCUAAUUCCAUAGCAUUUGGUUGUCAGAAAAUUUUAUAGGAUAUUUAAUUCUAUGCACGGGGAGUCGAUGAUCACCUUAUAUUGAACUCAUGAUCUCUUAUUCCUUUUAUAUAAAAAUAGAUCCUUAAAUGAACUAUGAGAUAUUACCAAUACAUUUACCCGAUGCAUUUUAUUUCUCAAUGACAAAAUCAUAUAAACUUUAAACGAAAAACAUUUUUUAGUCUAAAAAGGGCCAAUGUCAAUUUGUGAGAUGAUAUUUUCUUUAUUUAAGACAAAUAAAUGACAUUAUCAAUUCAUAUUGAAUAGAUGAAUAUAUCCUUGAAGUUGCAAUUCUAUAUUACAUUAAUAAAAAUCAUAAAAAUAUAAGUAAAGAAUAAUAUCAAUAGACCUAAUUACCCAAGAAUAAAUACAAGAUCACAUAAUGGUAAUGAUAACUAGAUAAUUAUUGUCUCAAUGAGUCACACAUUAAAAUUUGCUAAAGAAUUUAAAGUAUGUAUGUGGGUAUAGUAGCCUAUUUUAGAUACAUUUUUGUUCUUGAAACAUGUGGAUAGAGACAAAGUGAUUUGUCAAUUAGAUCUAGACCAUAUUAAAGAAAAAUGAAAAUUUCUUUGAAAUUAUAAAGAUACAAGUUGAAUGGAUAGGUCAAAAGUCAUAAGAAUCAAAAUCAUUUGUCUAGGAAACACGAAAAUGUAAACUCACAAUUAUUGUUCAUUUGAUAUGAGCAAAAGUGGACAAACUUAAUUCUCCAAAAAAGGUUAUAAAUAUAUUUUCCUUUUACAUAUUUUUAUUAAUUUAAAUAUGAUAUUUUUUUUCUUACAAAAUAAAGAAUAGACGUACACAAAACCAUUUAUUAGACUUUAACAAAAGUAAAGGUGAGAAAGUUGAAAACAGGAAUAAAAAUUGUGAAAUGACUAGGCAUUUCUUUUUUCUUAUAAGUGAUGAGACUUUGAUGAUGAUGAAGGUGGUGAUGAUCAUGGUUAUUCAUAAUAAUAAAUGAAAGAGAAAGAGAGUUUGUUUGGAUAGUUGUGAAAAAUAGUUCCAUUUUUUUUCUUCCUUAAAAUUGUUUUUAUUGACAAUAUAAUGUUUUUUUAAAAAAACAUUUUUUGUAUUAUUAAAAUUAUUUUCAAAAUCAAUUAUUCAAGACAAUAAAGUGGAUCCAUUUAAGUUAAUAGAAUAUAAAUGGACAAUUCUAUUUUAUCAAUUAAACAUUCAAUUAAAAAAAAAAAAACAUCAACGACAGUAACCAUAAUAUUUUAUUAUUUAUUUUAGAUAGACAGAUUUAUCAUUUAGUUUUCUUUUUCUUCAUAUUUUUAAAAAUAUAACUAUCUACAAUAUUAAUAUUGUUUUAAGGUUUGUAAGCACAUAUUUAGGAAGUUGAGAUUUCCACCUUACAUGAUUUAGAAUGAUAUUAAUGGCAUUAAUAUCUAGACAUUAUGUAUACAUGAAAACUCUUAAUUGAAUUAAAAGAAAGACACAUGUAAAAGUAAUAAUCAUGUUCUAGUUUGAAUUAAGAAAACGGAGGAAAUCCUCCUACUCCCUUUGCAAGCUUAUGAAAAAAAAGAUUAAAAUAAAACAAAAGAUUCUAAAGAACAUAUGAGCAAUAUGAGCAAUAGAGUCAGAAUGAAUCACAUGCAACAAUGUAAUUUAAUGAGUUAAAUUGUGCGACCCAAAGUCAUGAUAUGUUUGGUAGCAUUUGAUGGAUAUUUAUUCUAUUUAGUUUCACAUUAACUUUAUAGGGAUUAGAGAUAUUAUUUUAACUCAAAAAUUUAGAGUUGAAGGUUGAAGUUUGACUAAUAAAAACACCAAAGUCUUAAGCUUGAUUUAAAAAAACAAUAAAAAUAAAAAAGCAAAAGAAUUAAAAUAAUUAGAAUAUAGUUAUAAAGAAAUAGAUAUUCCAUGGAACUCGGCUGGAUCAACGCUUAAGAUAUGGAGAAAAGAAAGUGGAGUUGCAGUUGAGGAGUAUUAUAGUAUUUAAUUUAGGGCAGGAAAGCCGAACCCGAACCCAUCCGCCAAUCAAAUGUUGGCAAUCCACCCAACAAGAAACAUCCAAAAGGUUCAAAUGGUUUAGAGGGGUACGUGGCCCAAUCAGGGAUUAGGUCUUAAGAAAGACUUAAGGAAAUUAAAGAGGAAAGGAACAGAGCAUUAUUAAGCAUAAUCACACGCUGGACGUCACACGUGUGUCGGCUGUCGCGGCACUGUGUAAUGUAUACACGUUGCAGAAUUAACACACACAAAAUAAUUCAUUUAUGUAAUUAUAAAGUUUUGUUACUAAAAAAUAAUUCCACUAUGAAUGAUGCUAUGGCCGGCGGGAUUCUGGGAACCACAAACAAAUUACUCACACUCUUCUCACGUGCAGUACAGCUACUCCUUCCUUCUCUACCUUCCUCUUCUAUAUUUCUCUAACCUGUUCAUUUUUUUCACUCUACGUACCAAACCCCAAACCCCAAACCCCCCCCCCAAUCUCAUAUAUUAAUUCUAUCUUAUAAUCUUUCUAAAAUACAUUCAUUACAUUCCAAUUAUUAAUUCAUUUUUUAAAUUCAAUCUCAUUUUUAUCUAAUUCCUUCACACCUCUCUACUCUUAUAAUAUUAUUAUUCUCAUUUUUCUUUUAAUUAUGCAUGUGCCUCUUUCCUCUCACUUAUAUUCUUUGGGUUAUGCACCAAAUCAUUUCUUAUGUAUAUUAUUAAUCAUAUAGUCUGUGAGCAUUAAUUAUAAUCUCAAUUUCCAGCACGAUUUAAAGCUCUUCAUAUGUAUUACUGAAUUAAUGUGCAUUAUGUUCCUUUAUUAAUUAUUUGGAGUUUGAAACUAUAUAUUAUUUUAGUGCAUCAGAUGCGUGGUAGUGUGUAAACCAUGAUGUCAAAAUACAGAUGUCAUGACUUUAAUCAAUUUUUGCCGGCUUGGAAACAGUUAUCUUUACUUCCACUUCUCCUCUCAAAUUCUUAAAAUAAAUACACUUUUUAAAAACACUCUUACAAUUUUAAAUUUUUUUAACUUAGAUAUAAUAAGAAUUAGAAGAUUGGAUGACAAAACAUAGGAGGUGAAAGUAUUAUAUAUAUAUAUAUAUAUACAAAACUAAAUUGGUUAAAGUUAGUUGAACUAAAAAUGACGUUUAUAGAUUUUGAUUUUCAAAAUGCAAAGGAUUAAUCAAACGGAGUUAUGUAUUCUUAUUUAAGAUUAUGGUUGAUUCUUUAAUUUAAUUUUUUUUAUGUUUAUUAUUCUUUUUCACGACGGUCUUCUAAUAAAGAAAAGUUGGUGUUAUAAAACCAUAGAGUUACUGAGAAAAUAUAUCCUAUUAAAUGUUACUCAUUAUUAAUCAUGUGAGCACUACUGUGUUAUAUGUUAUAAUAAUAUAAUUAGAUAUAGGUAAAAAAUGCAUGGAAUAUAGAAUGCGUCAACAAUGACUAGAUUAUUGGUUAAAAUCCCCAUGGUUAAAGUACUAAAGAAAAGGAGUUUAGGUACAAUAUUGUGUAUCAGUCAUCUUUAAUUGACAUUGGGUUGCCUACUUGACAACUGGACUCGUGUCACCAAAAAUCAAAAUAUUUCGAUCUUAUACCAAACUCCUUUAGCAUCAAUAAUCAUUUAGGACUCACCUAAUUUUACUUUAAAAUCUAAACGUUACAUCAAAUUGUUUGAAAUAUAAUUUUCUUGGUUAAGAUUAUAUGAAAAGUCGUGUUCUUUGUAGAAUAUUCCAACAAAACCUCGAUUACAAUGCCUUUCAUUUUAUUGGGUCGGUUUGUGGACCCUUUUUCAGAGAUAUACAAUUCAUUUAUUUUCCUUCAAUAAAAUUAUUACUCUCAUUUGUCACGUACAUUUUAAUUGGGUUAGUUAGGUUUCGUUUAUUCAUUUCUAAUUAAUUGUGUCCCAUUGGAAAAUUCCACUAUUCUAUCAAAAUAUUUAGAUUUAUUGAAAAGUGGUCAUAUAUAUAUAUAUAUAUAUAUAUAUUAGAUUGAGAGUAAUUAAACUUCCAAAACAAUAUUUAACUUACUGAUGGGUUAAAGAUUAACAUAACAACGAGGCACAUUAGACAGUGAAAUUACACUCUAAACAAAGGUGUGUCUUCCUUUAUAUUAUUAUUUAAAUUUAUAAAACAUAGUAAAAAAAUUUAAGAUACAUAAACAGUGUAUGAAUUUGGGAUCAUGAAUUCUAACUAUGGCUAACUUUAGAGACUUUGAAUACAAGUAAAUAAGAUAAAGAGAAAUUAUUUGGUAAAUAACUUUGUGUUUAGGAAAUAUAUAAUCCCAAAGAAAACAAAAAACAAAAAAAAACAGAAAUUGAAAAGGACGAGUGAUAAAUAGUUUUAUAUCACAACCAGACUUCCACACUAAUAGAUGUAGUUGGGAUUUCAAAAGAGAUUUAACUAAAUCAUUUAAAUAAUAGUUAGGCUUUUUUUAAUCCUUCUAUAUGGAAGACAAUGGAAGUCUCUAUCUUCAUAUUUGUCGAUUAUAUAUAUUCUCCACAUUUAAACUUUAGGCCCACAUAAUUAGUUUCCUUUCUAAAGUGCUUAUAUAUAGUGUGUUAUUAAAAACCAAUAUCUACAAUCAUAUAGAUUUUAAAAAGUAAUUGCUGUAAUAUUUUCCUCAGACUAUUUUCAUAAAUAGCUUACUAAAUUGAUGACUAUUAAAGGAUUAUUAGAAUCCUAAAGCAAGGAAUUGAAUGAUAAUUAGAGUUAACACAUAUUAUAAUGUUGGAAAAAAGUUGAAAAUUAAGAAACACUUUUAAAAGGCAGAGAGAGACAGUACCACUUUCUUUCUUUCUUUUUUUUUUUGUUUUUGGAGUAAGACAGUGCCACUUAUGUACUUGCUAUUUGUGGUCGGCAGGUGCAUCCAAUUAAGUCUUGUUUUCGUGUCAAAAUUAAAGCCAACCUUAUGGUUUAUUUUUCCCCCCCUCUCUCUGACCUUCCUUUCAAAAUUGUCUCUUACCCUCAAAAUCAUUCCGACUCUUUUCUUUUCUUUUUCUUUUAUUAAUCUCUCGAUUCUCUCCUUAUUAUCAUAAAAUUAUUAUAGUUUAAUUAACCGGCCACUUGCUCACUCCUGUCUACAAUUUACAGCACCCCAAAGACACACCUUUAUUAUUUCAACCCACACACCACCACAGUUAGCUACUUUUGAAUUCAUAGUUCUGUGUUCACACAACACAUGCAUUUCUAUGAAAACACAAUGUAUAUUUGUCAUAUAUUUAAAACUCAUAUAACCUCAUCUCAUUUGAUCCAUUUAAUUAACAUGAAUUUCUACAUUCUACUUGAUUAUUGGUUCUUUUAGCUAGGUACAAAUAGUUCAAUGACAAAUUAAACUAAAACAACAUGAAAAGCAAGGGAGUAAAAAUAUCAGUGUGAGGGAGUAGUUUUAAAGUGGGGAAGGUGGUAAGUUCAUUAUCGUGAGAUGACAAGAAAAGAAAAGAAAGAAAAGGGAAAAAACUGAUUUGGAUAAAAGUGAUUAUCCGUUGUGAUGGAGUACGUUUGUGUGUGUGUGUGAGCUUUAGUUGAAAUUGAAAUUUGAAGAAGAAUGAAGUUGAAGAAGAAGCAUAAUUUGAAGGAGGUGGUUAAGUGAUACAUAGGUGGGACCUUCCUAGUAAUGUCCAGGUCGGUUUCAUGGAUUUCCAAGUAAUCAGAAUCUUUGUCGGGAUUCAUCAUUCUUUUUUAAAAAAAUAACUUCCAUAUAUUAUUCCCCUAAAUAUAUUUAUAUAUACAACUCCAUAAUUUCCCUCCUCAAUCACUUUAUUCCUAAUUUUAAUCACUCCUUUUUCAUAUUAAUUAUGACGACCUUAAAUACACCAAAACUUUGAUACUCUCUUUUAAUUUCUUAAUUAAACACCGAAUAUUGAUAUUUCAUCUUUCCCCCCCAUUCUAGAUCAAAACAAGCAUUCAAUUCUAUAUCCUAUCCCCAACCUUUUUUUUUUCUUUUCUUUCUUUCUGCAUGCACCGAAUAUAAUCUAUCCUAAUUUAAAUUAGUUUCUCUAAUCAUGUUUAAUUUUGUAUCAAUUACAUCGGGCCAAUGUUAUCGAAUUAAGUACACCAUGUUCAUAAUAAUAAUAAUAAUUUUGUAACACUCCCUCACCUUAUAGACAUGCAACCGAAUAAAGAUUGAAAUCUUUAACAUAAAGUAAAACAGUUUUUAGUUUAUAAUAUAAAAAAGGUGUCCUUUGCCACGAGGAAUAUAUAUAUAUAUAUGGUAUAUAUGUUAUAUAAUAAUAACCCACCACACCAUUAUCUUGGUCUAAAGAUCAAGAUUUACUAUAUAUAAAAAGAUGUUUUUGAGUAUAUAAGAACGGCUACUUUAUAGUGAAACUCCUCCACAUAUGCGCAUGCCACAAGAUAAAGUUAAAGUAGUUAGGGAAACUAGGGGGCUAAACAUUUAUUUAUUAAUUAUUUCUCAUGCAAUAAAACUAAAUUCUUGUUCCUUUUUCUUUUUUGUGUUUGGGGGAAGUGAUUGAUUUAUGUUGGUUUGAAGUGAGACGAAUAUUGAUGACUGAAAUGAAAGUUUUGUAAUUAAAAUGAUGGUGGGAGUCCUCAAGGGCAAGGUACAACAUUUCAUUUCAUUAACCCAUUUCAAUGGUUGUAAUUUAUUCAUUUGGCAUUAUUUUUACUUCUGUUAAGAAAUAGAAUAUGGAAUUUUUGAAAAUAUGUCUAUUUAUGAUUCACAUUGGAACCCAACCCUCACAUAAAUCUCUCUUUCUUUUGAACAAAAAAUGUUCCUUUCUUCCGUUGACAAUUUUAAAAUGGGACUCUUUGCCUAGCUAUAUAUAUAUAUAUGUUGAAACCCUAGAUUUUCAUUAUUGCCUUGGUAUUUUCUCAGCCAUGGAUUUUUGAUGCUUUUCAUUUCAGCCAUUGGAAGAGGUAACUUGUCAAUUUUGAUUGUGAGAAUAUAAUAACUUUAAAGUCUGAAUAUCAAAUUACUUUUAUAAGAUAAUGAUUUAAUUAGUGGGCUCAAAACAAGUAGUUACCUCACACUUAUUUCUAUAAUGUGUUACAUUAUUCUCUCAAUAUACACACGCACACAUAUAUAUGCCUAUAUAUAUAUAUAUAUAUAUUUUCCCACAAUAAUUAAAUUAAAAUGAUCGAUGCACAUACAAGUGACAUAUGAUAAGAUGUAUUCGCUUCUCUCAUUUCUUCAUAAAUGGGAAGAAAAAAACAAAAACAUCAAUCCUUCAUUACUUUAUCUUGCACAUAUUCAUAACUUUAAACAUAAAGGGUUGCAAACAUCCAAAUUGAUUUUAAAAAAAUGAAUAUGACAGAAUAAAAUAAAAUUUGAAUGAGAUAAUAUGUGUUAAUUUAUACCCAAUUGGGAAAAUUACAAAUCUAAUUAAUAGGAAGUAUAUAACACCAACCAACAAUUACAGUCAAAGUCAAAAUAAUUUGUUCCUUUAUUUGCUGCAAUAUAUUCCAGUGGUUGCUUUUAUCUAAAUUUGGACUGUUCAUGAACGUUCUAAAAUUAUGGUGUAGAGUUUAGAAUAGUAAAAAACUGUGGUCAAAUAAUGGAUGCCAUUCCCUUAUCCUUUGAAAUGAGGGUAUUAAAAUAUGAUAUAGUUAUUAAGAAUGGAAAUACUUUUGUAAUAGCUAGCCGGUGAAAGAGACACGGUCUAACCAAAAACUAAUAGCAGAGUCAUGUUCAUGCAUCCACACACAUUGCUCAAAUAUGGCAAAAAGAGACCUCUCCAAAACAGACAGCCUUAAAUAUCCAAAUUACAUGGAAUCUCUUUUCUUUCAACUCACUCAUCUUUUUAAUCCUUUCCUUACCGAAAAAGUCCAUUCAAAUUGGUUUAAUUAUUAUUGGACCACCUACGCUCCAAACGUAUUCUGAUUAUUUAUAAAUGAAAAAAACGUGUUUAUAAAUUCUUAGAAACUCAAUCCAAACGUAUCUUAAAUGUAAGGAUUACUUUAGCUAUCUACUAAAAGUAAAGCCUUCAUUUUAUUGUAAAUAAUUCUUCUAAGAUAUUUAUGAAUUAUUGCAUUAGUUGAUAUAUAUAUAUUGAAUUAUGGAAACAGAAGUCCAAAUUGUUCACCUUUUUCAAGAACAAUUAACUUAAGUCCAAACUGAAGUCCAAAUACAUUCUCGAAUCAACUACAUGAAUUGUGGGAAUUUAUAUAUAUAUAUAUAUAUAGACCAGCGCGGUACCAUGGGAGUUAAUCUUGGUGGAGUCUAUUAGAGAUGGCUCUACGUUGAUGAACAACAUAGUUAAUCUUGGUGGAGUAUUAAAAUUCACGAACAAGCUUGGAUAGUUCGCAGUUGUUGUUACAUAAUUAGUAGUUAUAUAUCCUAUUGGAAGUAAACAAUUGUUUUUAAUUAGUAUUGAGCUAGGAGAAUUCAUACACUUUUUCUUUUUUUUCUUUUUUUUUAAAAAACAAUAAAUAAAAGUUUAGCAUCAAUUAAAUAAGGAGAUGUUCGUGCAUUUAUAAAUGAAGACAGUCAUCUUUAAGGAUAUGAGAACUUUUGGAUGAAACAGAAGCAAAAUAACGAAAGACAUGUAUGCUCAAAGUAGACAAUAUUAUAUUAUCACGGAGAUAUAUGAAGUUCCAUCGUGCUAUUAACAAUUGGUAUUUUAUUAAAAAGAAAAAAUAGUUAAGAAAUUUGUUACAAACCAUGCUAGUAGCUCUAAAAUAAUUCUUACCAUACCUACAUGUACUGUUUAAAAAUUAGUUCAGCAACAAAAACCUAAUGGUUAAAAUUUAGAAAUUUAGUUGUUUGUUUAGGCAACAUAAUGAUUAUUAUCUUUCUAUUGUAAUAAUCGUGAAUGUUGGUAUAAUAAAGUCUCUCAAUACUCAAUCGUCACUAUAACGUGUCCAAAAUAUAUUUGAAUCAUCGUAAUAAGUAGCAAUUUUAUAAAUAAUAACUAAGUAUUUGGUAAAUCUUAGCAAAACUAAUAAAUCAAUAUUUGGAAUAUGCUCGUAAACUUUGAUAUAUUUGUACUAUAUUUAUAUAUAAAUAUUUUUUAUAAAGUUGUUAUAUAGAUAACUAUUUUAAAUCUAAUGGCAUUGUUUGCAAGGGUUCCAAUAUUUUGCUUAUUUGACGUCUAAAUAUGUUUUGGGCUCCAGUCUGUUGGACUUGAUUGAUUUGCUUUUUGUUGGGCCCAAACGAUGGCUAAAGUCCACGAGUUUGACAUUCCGGGCCUACGGAUCUCCAGCCCCAAUUUGAUGGAUGCACCCAAUGGAUCAAAAUUAGUUAUUAAGGUGAAUCAAUAAAUGUUAUAUAUAAUACUCAUCAACUUCAGAUUGAUUUUAAAAGUUUAUGGACAUAAUUGAAAUCGGAAGGAGAGGUCAAGUUGUUAGUGGGGGAAGGUAGCAGAAAUUAAAACUUCUUUUUUUUUUCAUGAAUGAAUAUGGACAUUAAGAUACAAAAUUAAUUUCAAACAGAUGAAAUCAGCCUUUCGUCAAGCUACUAACCUCUUUGUUAUCUGAAAAGUACACCAUUAUUGAACAUGUACAAGCAAAUAUAUAUGAUUUUCAAACUUGAUAAAUAAAUGAAUGAAAUCUUCUCAUGGAUUGAAAAUAUGUCAGACUAUACACUCAUACAUUUCUAUCAAUUGGAUUAUUUAUAGAUUUAUAUCAAUUACUUUAACACUCUAUUAAACUUCUAUUAGUUUUAAUCACUAGUAGAUUUUUUUGGAGUGUAAAGAAAGUAAAAAAAUUGUUAUAAGUUAUAAAGAGUUCGACUAAUUUUUAUAUUUUUAAAGAAUAAUUGAAGAAAAAAAUAUUUGUUUCUCUAACGUAACUUUACAAAAUACUUGCAAAGUUGAGAUAUAUUUAGAAAAAAUUUGAAUUGUAAGGAUGUUUAGAAAGAGAAGAAAUCAUAAUGAGUGAUGAAUGGUAAUUUUGGGUUGGUUUGACCUACCAAGAAGCUUCUUUAUAGAUUUAGAUUAGAUGAGAAGGGAUUCUUUUCUUCUUUUGAAAAAAGAUUAGAUGGAAAUUAGAUGCUUAACUUAGUCCUAAUUUAGCAUUUGAACUAAAUAAAGGCAAUGAAAUCGCAAAUGCCACAUCACUAGGACCUGUAAAGCAAACUAGGAUGCCUCCAAACCCUUUUUCUACCCUUAAACCCACCAUCCAUAUAUGACUUUACUGUCUAUGUUUCACAUUACUUUUAAAAUUCCAAAACCAAGGGGUGACGAAGAAUAUGAUCAAAUUUUAAGAUAUUGUUUUCUUUUCCACACAAAUAUAUAUUGAUCCGAACAAAAAGAAGAAGAAAAAAAAGUGACAAGGAAUGGCCAGGAUUCAGUUUAUUGUCAAGUUUCAACCCGGGGAUUCUCCAAAUAUGAAACGGUGACUUGAGAGAGCCCACUCUUUUUUUCUUUUUAUUACUAAAACAACAAAUGUAUUGUAAGACUUUUUCCUUUUUGUUUGUGACUCAAAAACUUUGUCUUUGGCGUCACCUAAAGAACGGGAAUAUGAUGCUCCUCUACAUCUUCCUUCGCUUCCCUACUUCAUAAUUCCUUGGCCUUACCCACCAAAUCCAAACGGGAUUGGACCCUUAAUUUAAUUUGAAUCCAACUAACACUCUCCAGAACUUUACACAACCAUGAAACAAGAAGAAGAAGAAGAAGAGACUACAAGAGACCAACAUGUGUAUAUUAAAAACACGAAGUGCACAUAAUUACAUUUUUUUUUGACGUCCAAAAUGGCCAUGCAAGAGAAGAAAAAACAACCUGCAGACCAAAAUGGAAUACAACCCAUUAAAGACGAACCACAAAUCUCUUUAAAGAGGAUUCUUUUUUCAUGGACCGACUCCUAAACUUUCAUUUUAACACAAGAACUCUGCAAAUGCCUAAAAUUUCACUGCAGAAUCUUUGUAACAAAGUUGACAACAUUAUCAAAAAGCACAAAUUACAUUGAAAACAUUACUAAUUAACACUCUGAUUCGGCCAGCUGACUCAGGGCUGCCCAAUCAAUCUCGAUAGAAGGAAACUUUUCCAAACAGAAUGCUUCUACUCCUUCACCCCAUUGAGAAUCUGAAAAAUCCAAGAAACUGAUACUUGAAUCAGGGGAAGAUCCGGUGGAAGUGGAAUAAUCUUCAGACCGUGAAGGAGAUGAGGAUGAAGAUGAAGAUGAGGUUUCCACUUCGCUCUUCAAUUCUAGCUCGCAGAAAUUGUUAACUGCUGAGUUUGAUUCGGAUGGAAGUGGAAUGGUCGUUGGUUUUUCAUCCUCAACAGAACAGACCUCUGUUUUCCCCUGUUUCAAGCUCUGACAAAUCGAUUGAAGUUUCGCGUCCACAGAAGGAUGAAGAGGUUUGAAGUCUCCGAAUUGGUGUUUGAGAUGUGGAAAAUUGAGCCUAGCAAAGUCCCCACGGAGCUUAUAAGCAGCUUGAUCAUAGGCCAAAGCAGCCUCCUCGGCCGUAUCGAAGGUCCCAAGCCAGAGUCUAGUUCGGUUCUUGGGGAGUCUAAUUUCAGCCACCCAUUUCCCCCAGUGCCGCUGCCGGACUCCCCUGUAGAGUUUAUUAGGUUUAGGUGGAGAGCCCAUGUGCUUCAUGGGAAAGGAUUUGGGGGUAAGGAAGUUAUGGUAUUGGGAUUGGAAUGAAGAAGAAGAAGAGAAAGAAGACAUAGUUGGUGAGGGCAGUUGAAUUUGGGCUUGAAUUUGGAGAAUUUGAGAAGGGGUGGGAUUGUUUAGCCCGAUUGGACCUGAUUGCUCAAAACCCAUUUGUUCAAUUCCCGAGAACCCUUGAGAAAACAAGCGGGUACUCGACGGGGAGCAAAAAUCAGGGAUUAAUCUAGGCUGAGAAGAAACAGAAGGAUGAGGAGGAGAAGGAGAAGAAGAAGGAGAAAAGGAGGAGGAGGUUGAAAUAGCACUUUUCAUAAAAGGUUGAAGUGCUUUCAUUAAUUCUUCGCUAAAAGGAUCCGAAUAGUAAACCGGCGUUGAGGUUCCACCGUAAACAUCUAUAACUGCUGCCAUGUGAAUUGUGAAAAGAAACUUACAAAACUAGCAAAACAAAGUGUUAAAAGAUCCCAAGAAAACAAAAUUAUAGUUCAAGAGAAGGAGAAGAAAAACAAGUUUGUUUCUACAAUCAACUUGAGGGACUUAAAAAAAAACACCCUCAAAGCCGAUAAAAACAGAAAAUAUUCACCAAAGAAACAGAGAAAUCUGGAUCUCUAUUCAGAAUCACCUGAGUUCAAAGAAGCAGCCUUCUGGGUGUAGAACAACAGAAAAUGCAAAAUUGAAAAAUUACAAAGACAGAGGAUGAUGACAGAAAGGGAACUCAAAGAAACGGGGAAAUCAGAGAAGGGGGGGAAAUGGAAGAAGUUGAAAAGAAGAGAAUAAUUGCAGAGUAAAAAGAAAGAAAAAGAGGAGAGAAAAUAGUAAUCCCUGUUUUGGGUGUAUGAGCGUAGAAUGAAAUCUGGGCUUGAAAAGAGAGGUAGGUUUGAGAGUGUAUAUAUAAGACCAAAAAUGGCCGUCUCUCUCACAAAAGAGCCACCAGUUUUGUGACUCAAAGACCGCAUUUUGCUCCGGGAAGUUAUCUCGUCAACUUCAAGAUAACAUAAUUCGAGGUGGGAUUCCCAAUGAAGUGAUGCCACGUAAGCAACUUAACACGUGGAGGUGGGGGAAUAGCAUUGGCCCACUUCGUGAAAUAUUCAGUUUAAUUGCAUUUUGUACAGACCAUAGUGGUUUGGUUUGGUUUGGUUUGGUUUGGCACGCGCAGCCAUGUCUUUUUCUUUAUUCCUUAUCCUUUCGAAUCAAUUUUGAUCAUCCCACCAUACAUCGCCCCUCCUCUCCUUCCAAUUUCUAUUUUAUAAUCAUAAUAUAUAUCCCAAUUUCUCUACUACACCUAUAACAUUUUUACAAUUUUGAUAUUUAUUGAUUGAAGACAAACUACAGGUGUUGACCUAAAAUCAAGUGACCAAAGGCUUGGUUUUCCAGAAUAAAUAAUGAAGUUUUCAGAUAUAAAACUAAUAAAUCCAAAAUGAUGUUCCACUCUAAUAUAUUUAAUUAAGGAGCAGAUGUGUUUAAAAUAGAAUAUAUUGUAUACGCGUGUGAUUAUUCACUCUGAUUAAAAUAAUAUUCACUUACAAGUUAAACGAUGAAUUCAGAAUCCAAAGCUAUAAAGUAAACACAAAUGGGUCACUAAUAAAUAAAUAGGACCAUUUUACUGCAUUCUUAGCAUGAUCAUAUAUGUCUGUAUAUAUAUAUAUAUAUAUUUGGUAUUUGAUUCUAUAUUAUAUUCCACAAACUAUUCUUGUAAAAUAUCACAUAUAACUAAUCCUUCCAUUUCAAUUUAAUUAUAAAAAGGUUAAAUAUUUUAUUUAUUUUAGGAAUAUCACUUUAGAAUUAUGUCGUAUAAAAGAUUCAAACAUUCAAUAGGAAUACAUUCACUAAACUCUAUUUUUUAAGUCCACUCUUAUAAAAGCAAUAUAUUAAACCAUUAAUAUCUGAGAUGGAAAAUAUUUUCCCCAAAAGUUCAUUUCCUUUUAAUUUUCUUGGAAGAAACUGACGAUAUUACUCACCCUAAACCUAAUAUUGAAAUAUAAUUUAAUUGAGGAAUUGAAUUUGAAAUCUUUGUUAUCGGUAUUAGCAUGUUAGAAUUAUGAAUCAAUCUUAUUUAUUGUUAUUGUCAUUGUUACCAUUAUCCUACAUUAUCGAUAACAAUAACAAUGGAUAAAUAUGAUAGAUUAUAAUUAACAACAAUAACAAUGAUAAUGAUAACAAUAAAUGUGAUAAAUUUACGAUUGAUUUUUCAAAAAAAAUUAUUAGGAUUAUACUACUUUUUCAUUACAUUUUGGUAACACUAUCACGUUACAUACAUAAAUGAAAAUGAGAGAUUCAUAUAAACAUAAGUAACAAAUAGCAUUGGUGGAAUGGUGGGGAUGUGAAUAAAAACAAAGGAGAAAGUGACAGAAUGGUCAAUUGCGGCGCCAUACAUUUCAAAGUAAGAGUUGGGGGAUGAAUGCUUUUUUCUUUUUUCUUCUUUUAUCAUUUUUUUUAUAUUUAUUUUAAAAGAAAGUAAAGCUUCAAAAAAAAUAAAAGAAAAAGAAAAUAGAAUAAUAGAAUAAUAAAAAAAUAAAAAGGGAGGAAUUAUGAUAGUUGAAUGCAAUUAAGAAUUAGUAAAUUGGUGAAUGAAAGAGUGAAUAUUGAAGGGGAAAGGGGUGGGGGGCUCCUACGCAUUCACCAAGAGCCAAGUUGGGAUGUUCACGCAAACCAAUGACCUUUCCCACUUCUUAACCAUGGUUAAAUAUCGUGGGUUUAGAGAGAGAGAGAGAGGAAUCGGAAUCCAAACGCGUGGAGAGCAUGCAGUUACCACGGAGCGUUGCCUUUUGUCUCAACUGUUGGCGUAAAGACGAAGCGAAUGCCAAAACACAAAAACACACAUCACCAUAUGCCAAAUGGCAAGUGGGGCCUCCCAUUCCUACGUGGGAUUUGCCAACUCAAACGCGCUUUCCUUCCCUUCCCUUCCCUUUCCAUUCUCCGAUUCUUUCCUUUUUCUUUUCAUUUUUACAAAUCUAUAUUAACUUAAGCUUCUCAUUAUAUUUGAUUUCAUUUUCACCCAUCAAUUCUUAACUCUAAAUAAUUCCAAUUUGCUUUACAUAUUUUCUUUCCAACAUAUGAUUCCAUUCCAUCUAUACCAUUAUACUCCUACUUCCUAUAUAUAUAUAUAUAUAUAUAUAAAUCUCUCCAUGUUUAUAACUAUUAAAUUCAUAAAACCAAAAUAUAAAUAUGUGAAUAUACACAGUACAUAAGUAUAGGAAUUAAAAUAUCACUCUAUUUUAAGAUUCUUUCUUUUAGUAUUUUAACAUUCAAUUUGUUUUACUUACAAAUUACCUUUUUUUUCUCUCGCUCCUUCUGUUCUAAAUCUCUUUAGGCAUGAUGCAUGCCAUAUAAGAUUAUCAUCCAUCUAUUUUAGCAUUCAUGAGAAAAAAAGGAAUUACAAAGUUUACAUUGUAAAAUUUUGAAGAAAAAAAAAAUACAAAGUAAACUGAAAAAUAACUAACUAUUAAAUCAUAGAACAUAUAUUUAGUGGAGCUCAUUAUGAAAAUAGAGUAUAGUGUUUGAAAAUAGACAUUUAUAGACUAACUAAGAUCCAAUGCUUAGAUUAUAAGUAACAAGUGUUUGAAAAUACAAAUUUAAUAGUUUUUCUUGUCUUUAAAGUUUAAAUUAAACCCUAAACCAAGCAUUAUUGGUAAUAUUUAAUAAUUGGUAUUUGGUAUGCCACAAGAAGAGAGAUGGUUUGACCUUUAUCUCAAAAAAGGAAUACACACAUUGUCAACCUAAAAGAGGGGUCCAACCAUUAUAAACCCACUACCAAUGCCUCUUUUUGCAUGCAACGACUAUCAGCAUUACAAUAUCUAUUUUUAUUGGAAAACAUUAAACAAAAAUUAACUUUUCAAUAUUUUUUUUUUCUUAAUGGAAAAUGGAAAAGGGAAAAAAUGUCCUUGAUGUCUAAGUUCACUAAUAUUAACUUACAUGCAUCAAAACUCCCCCUAUUUUCGUACUUUCUUAUUGUCACAAUGCAAUCCGUGAAAAAGAAAAGAAAAAUAUGAUUAUUGAGUUAACACGAAAUUGAAAUCAAAAUUAAGAAAAUUUAACUGACAUAAAACUUAAAUUAGAUCGUAUUAUAUAUUUUACAUGAGUUGGAGGGUGAAAGGAAACUUCCUCCUCUUUGACAUUAGGACUUUUAUAAUCAAAAUGUACACAACUCAUUCAUAUUGACUUUCUUUAUUAUAUUAUGCACAAAUUUCUUCUCUUCUUUUAUAAAUUUUCCACCAAAACAGUGGGAAACUGGUGAACUAAGUAAUUAAUGGAAUGCACUAAUUAAUUGGAUUUCCCAUAUACAAUAAACAAUAAAUUAUUCCCAACUUUCUUUUCAUUGUGUUAGUAACAACUACAAAGAGGUUAUUAAAAUAAUCAAACUUAAAUCUGUUAAAGAAGCAACAUUAUCGUUAGAAAAACACAAAAUAUAAAUAAACAUUCAUUGCCAAAUUUAAAUAUAAAGAGAGGAGGGUUCAUUACUCCCUCUUUUGUGUUUGUAUCUAUUUAAUUUUUUAAAAGUUUUUAUUUUGUGGUUUUACAAUUUAAGAAGUGUCCAAUAUAUUCAUGAACUUUUAAUUGUGUGUCAAGUAGGUUCUUUAACUUUAAAUACUAACAAAUUAUUGAACAACUUGAUGUUUUGAACAUUCACAAACCCUAUGAAACACAAUUUAAAGUUCAACAAGACAAAUUUCAAUUUCAUAACUAAUAAAUCAAAUUUUAACUUUUAUUAAAUACAAAAUUGAAAGCUCUAACUACUUCAAACAUUUUUAGAGAUUAAGGAUACAAAUCUAAAAGUUGAGGCUAAACUUCUAAUUUAACCUACUACUACUCAAAAUAAUGACACCCACCAAACACAUUAAAUAACUUUAGACUUACUCUAAAAGAUCAAGUAGUGGUUGAAAAUGGUGCACACAAUAUAUUUUAUUUUUUUAAAAAAAAUCAAAACUAAUGACCAAAAUAACUAAAGGAUUUUUUUAGAACUUAGAUGAAUAUAAGAAAAAAGAUUCAAAAGAUUCCAACUGAUUGAUAAUACAUAAAUUGAGGAAAGAAAUUGCUCAAUUUCAAACUUCAAACUAGAAAAUGCAAAAAAGUUUCAAAAGGUCUUGUUAAUAUACAAAAUAGCUGGAUUAAUUGAAUAGAAAAAGGGAUUAGAGAGUACAGGACAAAAAAUGAAGCUAAUAAAAUUGGUGGAUAUUAGGAUUCAGUCAAAUUAAAGAUAUUAAACAAAAGGGAAUGAACAAAACCAAAAGGCAAUUAAAAAUAGAGGUGCACCUGAACAUAUGAAGCACCAACGAAGCACUCGCAAUGAGCGUUAAGGGUAAUUAAAGUAUUAAACAUGAUGAAGGUUUUUGUGCUAAAGAAGUCAUGGAAUUGGAGAAGAGAAUGGAAGAGGAUAACAUAAAGAAUUCCUAAGUUGACAUUGAUUAAAAAAAAGGUCAACCUGAUGUAUUGCAAUAAUAACGAGGCAUCAACCAACCACUAUGUGGUUGAUAAAAAAAAAAAGAAUGUGGAUUGUGGAGCACAUAUAAUUAAGAAGAUGCAAAUGCCGGCUUACUCUGCUUCGCAUCUCUUUCUCAAGGCUUCCACAACCACAACCACAGCCACAACAUUUCAUUAUUUAUUUGAUAAUGUAAAAUAUUUACAUAUAACUUAUAUAUAUAGUUCAAGCAUGGAUUGAAACGAUAAGUUCUUUUUAUGUUUUGAAACGCUUGCAAAAACUACUGUGAAAAAGUUUAAUAAAAAAGAGUUCGAAAGAAAUAACUUUUUUGAACAGACAAUUCAUUUCAGUCAGCCAUGUAACUGUAUUUGACCAUAUAACUUAUCAUGAGAUAAAAUGAAAUAAAAAUAAUUAUAUAUGUCCCUUUUGAACUACAUUCCUUCCAGCAAGUCUUUCUUUCUUUUCUUUUCUUUUUUUUUUUUGUAGAAGAUUUGAAUUUUAGCCAUUAGUAUCCAAAACAGUUGGGAGAUGAUCUUGAAUUUCUUAAUUCUCAAUAAAAAUAAAAAAAAAAGAAAAACAGGAGUGAUUUUACGGAUAAUGUCUAUAGCAAAAAUGAUUUGCUCAAUGUUUGGGUUAUACAUUUUUUAUUUUUAGACAAUCAUAAAUGAAUUAAAUGAUUGAGAGCAUGUUUGUAAAUGGAUUUAGAAUGAGUGUUUUAGGCAUAAAUGAUUUGUUGAUUCUUUUACUAAGAAGUGUACAAUUAAAAAUCCUUUGUCACGAUUAAUGCUUGUUUACAAAAGUGGUUUUGGAAUCAUGAAAUUACAAACAAAAACUAUUGACAGGAAAAGAAAUUAAAAAUAAAAAAGGCAAAAAAAAAAAAGGAAGAAGAAGAAGAAAAAGAAGAAGAAGAGAGAGAGAGGGCAGUUAGGUAAGAAAUUUAAAAGGGAGGGGCAAAGACUUAGAGGGAGACGAUAAAUUUGUAGCACUUGAAAAAAUGAGAUAAGAUUAGAGAGGAACCAAAAAGUUAUUCUAGAGAUAAUGUUAAGUGAGAUUUAUAAAAUAUUUAGACAAAACGUGUGAAAAGGGAAUAUAUGCGAGACUAAAGUUAGAAGUAGAAAUAUAAAAGUUCAAAAAAAAAAAAAACAUUAGUAAAAAAAUGGAAUGAAAAAAAAAAAAGUUUUUCACAUAAUUUAAGAAUAAAUAAAGAGAGGAAUUUUCUUUAUUUAAAGAUUAGUCAUUUUGAAAAGAAAAAAAAAAUUACAACUCUAAACUUUUAAAGUUUUUAAAGUUUAUAUCAAUUUUGAAGAUUAAACUUUUAAACUCUAUAAUAAAACCUCAAAAUAGUUGAAACUGAUAUUUGCCUUUCCAAAUAAAAAAAAAACAAAAUCUCAACCAAUUCAUUGAGAAUCACCUGAGUAAUGACCAACAGCAGUUUAAAAUAAUCCUGUACCCUCUCAAAAUGAUAACUGUAAACAAACAUUACCAUCUAAAAGAAACUAAUUUUGAACCUUACAAAUAAGUUCAACCAUUCUAAAAUAACUCCAAACAUGCUCGUUGUGUAUUAAAUUGAAUUAGGUCAAAUGAUCCUUUUAACCUAUGCCAAUUACACAAACGGCAAGUACGAACAAUCACGAUUAGACCAUGAACAAACAUUAGGCAUAGGUUAAUUAAAUUUGUUAAAUAAUAGUGAAAAGAUUGGUUUCUUGAGCAUCUAUCUAUUUAAACAUUACGACAACUGGAAAUCAAAUUUUAUUUUAUAAACAAUUAUAUUUCGAAGGCUUAAAGAAUUAAUUUCUAAAGAUUGUUACAGUAAACUCUAGACAGAUUGAUUGAUUUCAAGACCUUAUAAACCAAUCUGCUAAGUUCAGCCUGUUCUUCUCACCCAGUCAAAACCUACAAGUCACUUUUUAAACACUCAUGACCCCCCUAAAAUGCAUUUUCUCAAAUCUCAACUAUGGAAUAGCAAUCUUAAAAGAGCAAGUUCAAACAAGUUACCUGUCUUCAUAGCAGAUGUAUCAAAUAUCUCAAUCUAAUUCAAGGCUGUCAUGCAUUCUGUAAAUAAAAUAUAAAUAAACGUUUAUUAACAGAUAUUAGUCCUAGUAAUUCGUAAUUUUUUAAAGAACUUGUCAUUCCUUAUUAGGAGGUGGGAUGAUUUGAUAUUAUGAAAUAUGAUUCUAUUUAAAAGAUGUCAACCCUUGAACAUUUAUCAAAUCACCUAAUCCAACAGAAUUUGAUAAGCCAUUAAAGUCUAACAUCAUUCAAAGACCAAAGUUAAAAAUAUACAGGAAAACCGAGUAGGAAAGAAGGAUGAAGACAUGACAUGGUUAUUAAAAAAUAGAAUGGAUGAUUUUACAUGUAUUCCAAAUCUAUAAUACACCUACCCUAUCCAUAGCAAGAAGUUCAAAAGUACAGAUAUGGACAGCACAAGUGACUAACCACACGGCCCAAAACCAUCAGACUGGGAGGAAAAACAACAGCACGCUAAUGCUUCUCCAUGGGCAUGGCAUUAAACAUUUCCAAAUUCAUCUUGCAAUCCUCUCUCAGAUCUUUCAGGCUAACAAAACUGCUUUGCUGUAGACCAAGUGAAACGAGAAUUACCACUGCUAUGUCUUUCCGAGAUUCAAGUAAAUGAAAGUGAAGUAGAUAUUCAAGAAUGUAAAAGACUGUACUUUCAGGCCUACACUAGUGAAUCCCUCCAUACCAACAAUGGCAUAAAAUUGUUAUUAAUUUCGUUAACUAAACUCUUUCAGAUUUCCAACAAGGUUCCUCCUCCUUAAAUUGAACAUUUCAAGAGAUCUACAAUAACUUCAUUCUUUCGUAGACAGGGUACUUGAAAAGAUCAAAGUUCAAAGGUAGAUGUACAUUUCUGAUGGGAAAUAGUCCAUACAAGUAUAAAAGAUCCGUACUUACAAGUUGGUUUCCUUCAUGAGCAAACGUAUCUUCCAUAUGACGGAACAGAGACAUCCAUUGACCACAAAGAUCAAGUUCUAGCUUUGAGCUGGAAGAAUUUCCUUGACCAUGAUAAGUCUCUUUCUCUUUGCUGCUUUUCUGAGCCAAGAUGCUUGCAUCUUUCUGGCUUUUCUUAAGUGCUAAAAGAAUGAAAAUACCAUGAUAAUCAAUAAGAAGGAAUAACCCAAGAAGCAUGGUAUUAUGACCACACAAGGAAGAACAAUUUUACCUGAAAUACGUCCUUUAAUGUCCUGGUAAUGGAGAUCUGACCAAAUGUAUGAUGCUGAUUACAAAACAGACCAAUUUAGAUUUUCUGAACACAAAUUUUAAAGAACCCCUAGUUACAUACAUAACUAAUGAACUAAAUAAACUUGCAUUCUAAUUACCUUUCAAGCAGAACGAACAAGAACAUGUUUUAAGCAAGUCGUCAUACAUGUCUGCAUUAGCACAGUUACUAGUCUUAAGUCCUGAGCACCUAUCCAAUCCCAGAGACUUGGAACCCUCUGAAAUAGGCAUCCUCGACCAUUCCGAGGAGUCAUGGUUGCUUGAGCCAAUUAUCCCAACGUCAAUAUCCUUUUCGUCAUUACUUAAAACAGGAUCAACUGCUUCCUCGUUAUUAUCAUUGUUUAGCAUAAUUCCAGGACACUCUUUCUUGUUAUCCUCAGAGCAAGUAGGGACUACAGAUGUGGGCAAGCAAGGAACUCCCAAAGCUUCACUAUCUGUAAUUCUGUGUUCACCCUCAUGCACAAGAUGUGGUUCGUCAAUCGGCAAAUUACACUGCACAGAUUGUUUUGGCAUCUCAGAAAAAGCAGUAUCAGCUUCACUCGAAGCCAGUGAGCAAUCAGAUUCCUGCUGCUCCUUGCUAAAUCUAGACAGCGCCAUUGAAUAACAUUGUUCUCCGCUCGAGCGUUUACAGUUCUCCUUGACAUAUUCGUCUUCCCCAUCCACAGUUUUCCCACAUACAUCCCUUGGUUUAGCACCUGAAUGACUCAAAAUGGAGGAAAGCUUUCGUUUGAGCGGACGAUUGGUUAGGUUUCCAAGGGCCAGACGAUUGUGGCCUAACACACCAUCAAUGUUAUCCUCCCGCAUUAUCACACACAGGAAGGGGGGACGCAAAUCUGAUCAACCAAUCUAUCUUCUAGAACUUUAAUCUCUCGGGCAGAAAAAAUCCUAAAUCAUCAGGUUCAAAUCCUAUUCAGUGUGCUGAGCGAAAAACACAAACACACACACACACAUAGAGAAACCCCAAUUUUGCAAGAUUAUGAAUAUAACAAAAGAAAGACAAGCAAGAGCGAAAAAUAAAUGAAUAAAAACAUAAAUAACACAGUAACCCUAGAAAAAUCGAGAUUCAUGGGCAAAAUCGUAAGUAUAGAAUCGGAUGGGUGAGGGGAAAGAAAAGCAUUGUAAUGUAAAAGUGAGAGAGGCAGAGAUUGCGAGAGUAACCUUGAAAAGGAUUGGAGGUAGAUUUGAUUUGAGUGAGGAGAGGGGAAAAUGGGGAAGUAAGAAGAAGGGAAGAGGAGGUCUCGGGGGAAACGGAGGAAAUGAUAAUGCUUUGGGUUUUAAUUUAUUAUUGUUUGUUUUAGAGGAUUAAUUUAUAUAUAGAGAGAGAAAGAAGAAGCGCGAAUGGUGUAAAUGUGGAGGCAGGGCCCGCGCUUCCCAUUCAAAAUGUUGCCGCAUUCUCGGUGGCGCGCUUUCCCGGCAUCUCUUCAUCCCCCCCUCCCGCUCCCUUCAAACAUCUUUUCUUUUCCCUUUCCCUUUCCCUUUCCCUUUGCCUCCUCUAUUUCUCUAUUUUUCUCUUCAAUUCUAAACAAUCAUACCCAUCUUUUUUUAUUUAUUCAUGUAUAUAAAUCCUUACAAUUUUAAAUUUCUUUUCAAUUAUGUCCUACAUUUUAAAAUUUUCUAUUUUUAUAUUCGAUCGUCUAAAUUUUUAAAAACAUUGUUUGAAGAGUUUUUGUUCCAAUAAAAAAUAUUUUGGCAUACCAACUAAUGUGUAAAAAAGGUCAAACAUAUUUGAUCAUAAAUUUGAAGACAUUUGCAAGUCUGUCUUUUUUGUAACUUGAUGUGAAACAAAUAUUAUGCAACAUUUUCACAUAAAACAAAAUGGUACAUUCUAAUAUUAAUGAUUUAUGUAUAUUAAGUGACGUAAUUGCAAUUUUAUGUGAAAAGGGACGCAAAUGUAUAUAAUGCUAUAAGUUUAUUUGAUUAACUUAGGUGUGUAUGUCAAUAUGCAUAGUCAUUACAUUUUAAAAAAAUAUAUAAUAGGUUUGAAUUUCUUUUAAAGAAAAUGUUUAAGCAAGACUACUGUUAGAUUUAUUGAGCCAUAAAGCAAUGUUAUAGUAUUUAAUAAAAUGUAUAUCAUUUGAGAGGGGAAUGAGUCCGUGAUCUAUUGUCAAAUCUACCCAAUAUAUAAUUGUAAAUGAUAUCAUACAUGCCUACUAAAUUUUAAACAUCAAACUAUCACCCUUUAAAAAUGAGGUCGUUCAAGUUUAUUCAAUAGCAAUAAGUAUUGUUGAAGAACAAAUGAGGUCAUUCAAUUUCACUUGGUCAAAAACCUAUAUGUGGUCAUGAACAUUGGAAUCAUCUCAAGUCAUGAGCGAUAACAGAAAUGUAAAAACAAGGGUGUGAGACUAAAAGUUAUAUUUUUAUUUUCCUCAACGUAGGAGGAGAAGUUAGGAUUUUAUAUAGCUCGGUGGUAUGUAUGUAUGUAUAUGAAUAGCGUUAGCCUUUCAUCUAAAAUAAGUAAAAGAAAAGGGAAAUAUACAAAAGAAAAAAAAAAACUAUAGAAUAUGUAUUUAGAGGUCGUAGAAGCUAUGUCUUUUGGGUAUUACACAAUCCUCAAACUGUCCUCUUGGAGCCGCACAUGAGUAGCCUUUUCUGAACUUACUGCUUCUAUUUCUCAACUCAACCGCCACCCUAAACUCUCCACAAACUGGCCUGUGAUCUGAAAGCCUCGAUUCCCUUCGAAUAUAACACAGCUGCUCUAUCCCAUUCCCUCGCCACAAUAUUCUAUCACACCUGAACCAAACACCCACACAAAUAUACUACUUACAAUUUCAAUACACACGCAUAUCACAUAUCACAUAUUACAUGUCAAUCACUUAAUUCUCACUACUUACCAAGCUGGUGUUCGUCGUUUCUUCUUCGAUUUCACCGUCUCCCCCGUGUAUGAAUCUGAAUUAUGAGUGUACUUGUAAGUGGGUGCAAAUUGAAUCCUCCCUUCAUUGAACCCACUGAACACUCUUCCUGCUUCUCUUUCUACAUUCAACUGUAAAUACUCCCGCUUAAGUAAAACAAGAAGCAAAACACACAGAAACACAAAGUCGUCGUAGUACUUAAGUUACGUACCUGAUCCUUCUCUAGCAAUUUAUCCCAAUCACCGUCCUCUAAUAACAUUUUGGUAUCCUCGUAGCUCAAUGACACCCGGUAGUUCAAGUCUCCCAACCAUAUUAUCCGACUGCAUUUUCACAAUCACGAAUUAAAUUAAUCAUCACAAAGUCCAUAGCAAAAACGUUAUUAUUUUGAAAAGUAAUCAUAAUAGUUGUAAUUACUCAUGGUCCAUAAUUCUCUCAGGGGCUCUUUUAUUGGGCUUCUUACAAAUCUUGCUGAACUGUGUGCUUUUGAUAAUCUCAGCAGCAUCAGCAUUUCUUUUGAUUUCAUCUCCUUCUUUCUCACCAGAUGCCAAAUGACUGCAAACAAAGCAGAAACUUGUCUCAUGCACUGACAUGCUAAUUGAUAUGCAUCCCUGAAAAAGAAAACCAAUACCCAAUUAUAAAUUCUUCCCCUGUUUUUUCAUUUUCAUAAACAAAUUACCAUUUUUUAAAAAAAAAAAAAACCAAACAACCUUGUUUCCAAGUCGACCCAUUAUCCCUCUUCCAACUGUUGAAACUCUAAGAUGACCAAUAUGUGGAACCAAUUCCUGUCUUGCCCAAACUGAAAGAAACAAACCCACCAUCUGUUUGCUUGAAAUAAGCUUGAAUUUCAUCAUAUCCCCAUUCUCUGCUUUUGACGAAGCAAGCUCUGAGAUCGAAACGAAUUCCUCCAUCAUCAACCUCCCAUAUUGCUCAUUUGUUGAAAUAAUCAUAUUCUCUAAAUCCGAUGUCGCUCCUUCAUUCAAUUUCCUUAGCCUUCUCUCUCUCGAUCCUAAUUCAAUUGGGCAAUUACAAGCCUUCAGUAGACUACUGUCAAGUGGCCUCAGGUUCCUGCUAAGCAUUUUUAAAGAGGGCUUUUGAAAAAAAGGAAGAGUCUUCGAAUCUUUUGAUGAUCCUUUUGUUGACCCAUGAUCUGACCCACCACCAAACAUGGAGUCGCUGUUGUUCCUGGAUGGUUUGUUUAUAGCUUGGUUUAUCAGUGUUAGCCAUUUUACUGCCGGUUCGUUGUCUUCUAUAACAAGCACGUUCCCAGCAUUUAGUGGAACAAUUUCUUGAAACCUAUAAAUUUUUCCCCCACAUUACCAAAACUAAUCUGUUAAAAAAUUUAACUUUUAUAAUUAAUAAGAGAGAAAAACCAAUUCAUUUUUAAAUAUUUUACGCACCCAAUCACAUAAAUGUCUGCUGAGUCUUCUACCAGUAAGAAAUCUUCGAGGUUGAUGCCAUUGUUAGGAGUUUUUCCUCCUACAUUCCAUGUCGCUGUGAAAAUCCUGAACCCCAAACCCAUCUUUUUAAUUAUAAAUUUUCAAAAGAAAAAAUAAAUGAUUAGAUCAAUUUGAAUACGACUACCAUAGGCUUGCACGUACCGGAAAUUCUUGGUCUCAUUUGGUAGAGUCAUGGGUGGUUCAAAGUUGGAGAGGUUUAAGCUUUGGAUAUCUGAACUUGUGUGUCUUUCUGAAGAUUAAUAAACAAAAGUGGUAAAAGUUUAGCUCUUUAAUACAUACCAUGAAAAUUAUUAAUAGUAAUCAAAUCAAACCCUUUGGUAAUUUGAAGUUAGGUGAAGAUGUAGACUUUCCUUUCUUCAUAACAUUUAAGUACAUUGCAAUACAAAUUUCUUUCACUUAGUUCUCCUAUUCAGAAAAAGACAAAAGUAACAUUUACAUCAAACAUGUUUAAUUAUGAACAAGAGUAACACUCUAGAAAGUUCAAGAGCAGUAGUUAAAAAUGGUAUUCGAUGAGUUUCCAUCUUUCACAAAUGGCACUCUUUUUAGCUAAUUAUAAAGUGUUGUAUCGAUCCAAACAAUACGGAUGAGGACUAAAUUUGGCUUAUGAAAUAUAAAUUUUUAAAAUUUGAUUGUUUCCUUUCCUUCUCAAAUUUAAAACUAGGGAAUAUAAGAUAAGUGAUGAAACGAAUCAAUUAUUUCAGAGAAAAAUUGACCUAAACAUAUACUUCUUUUUCUCUCCGUUGUUACUCAGUCAGAUCCUCAUCUUGGAUGAGAUACCCAAGAAAAUCCAAAAAGUUAGUAGUUCAAUGUGCUGAUAAGAGUUUUUAAUUUUGAUCUUAAUAUCAUAAGAAAUGUUUUUGUUUUUGUUUUGGGUGGUAACAGAUGUUCAUUGUAGGAUGAAUUGGAGAGAAUGUGGCUCACAUUUAUAUAGAGACAAUCGUUCUGCCCUACACACACCACAAAGGAUGUAAAACAUCGUUUUCAAUAAUUAAUUAAAACACUGUCUGAUUGGAAGCAAAAUUCUUCAUACUGAUCAAAAUAAUCAUAUUGUUCGGUAAGCUACCAAAAUAGUAUUAACAUUAAUCUCUCUCAAGUCUUUAACUCAUCGCAACGUGUCUUAAAAACCACAACACACAUUAUUUUCAUAUAUUUCAAAUGGUACCUGAAAAACUUUUCUUGAUUGUGGGAGUUGACUCCAUGAAAGCUUGUCUUCUUGAAGCAAUUCCUUUCCCUUUAAAACAAAAAUGAAACGCAUUUUAAUUACCAAAAGGGAACAAAACAUAACAAAAGAAGAAGAGAUUUAUUAGUAUUAUUAUUAUUAUAUAUACGUACCAAUAUCAAUGGCGCCAUCCCCAUAAUCUAACUUAAACAUUUCCUCCUCCGAAUUUACCCUUUCGCUCUUCUUUGAACUGAAGAUCUUUGGAAUAAUAGACUGAUGGUGCAUAAAUGCAGGGGAAGGGAGAAAGAACAAACAGAACACAUCCAAUCAAUGAAAAAAAAGGUGUAUUUGGUGAGAAAUUUAAAAGAAAAAGAAAUGAAUAAAAAUACCCGUUUUUUCUUUUCGUUCUUGACGGAGUUGUCCGGUGAAAGAGCGGGAGAAAGGGGGCCGGGGUUCUUGGAAGUGGUGGCAUAGUUCGACAUUCAUUCAUAGAACCCGAAAUUCCAAUGCAUUCAACUCGCGAACAGAAUCGCGAAAGAAGGCACCAGAAAAUGGCCGGCGAAGUAACGGACUGGAAUUAACCAGCCGGAAAAUCUUAAUAACUCCAAGAUGGGUUAUUAUUGUUAUCUUUUUUUUAAUCUGUGGCUGUUUAUUCAUAUAUAUAUAUAUAUAAUAUAAAUAAAAAGAGAAUAUAUAUUUUUUCUUUUUGGAGGGUGUGUGUUUGAGAAGUGAUUGUGUGUUUGAGGAAAUUGGUUAUGAGUUUGUGUAUUGUGGGGGUGAGAAAAUGGGGGCAAAGCUUUCGGAGAAUAUAAUUAGGAUUGAAGGGAUGAAAAUGGUUAGAAGUUACAGUUCGUAGCAUAAGUCCUGAUCAUCCGCUAAUCUCAAACUCUCCAUCAAUAUAUUUACACCUAAACAAAAUAUACAAGUCUGUCUUUUUGGAACCACUUUUUUUGAAAUUAGUAUAAUGUCGAAGAAGAUUCAUAAAUUCACUAAUACGAUCCCAUCCUAAUCAACCUUUAAUUCGGUUGCAUUUCUGCAACACUAGUGAAUAAAAUAAAUUUUGGCAUGCCUAGUCUAUAAUAUGCAAAUUAAAGGAGAUUAUUUUGUUUCCUUUUUACCCCCACCUUUUUAGUAUAUUCCUAUUUUACUCUUUUUGAAUUAGACACAAUCACUUCAAAAUGGUAUCUGAUUAUUUGAAUGUAUGUGUUGUUGGUUAGGAUCUAGAUAGUGUCUGAAUGAAAGUGAUCGUGUAUCUAAUUGGUGUAUCUUUUUAGAUGUACUACGACUACCAUCUCUGUUAGAUGAACGAAGAGAAUAAUUAAAUUUGAUAGACCUAUUUUCAACCCCAUUUCCUCAUUCUUUUUACAUCAAUUUUAUUUCUUUUCUUGUCUGGAUAAAUUCUUAAACCCUCAUCCAAAUGUGACAAAAUAAAAUUGACUAGAAAUUCUAAAAAUGUACAAAAUUGAUUAAACAAUCACUCACUUUGGAGAUUUUCAUUCAUGAGGCUGCAACGAAGAAAAUAUGUUAUUCAAAAAAACAAUAAUAAUAAUAUAAUGCAAUAUAUAUGUACAUCAAUAGCUUAUCUAUGUGUCCAAUCACAUGACAAACUUUUCUUUUAAAAAAUAAAUUUUGUUUUUUGUUUUUUUUUUCUUUGUGAUAGAAUAAAAUGCAGGGAGAGAAUAUAUAUAUAUAUAUUUUCCUUUUUUGUUGAAGUAUCAAAUGAUUCAAACCUUCACUUCAAUGAAUAGGCUUUGUUAAGAUUGUCCGGAGCAAAAGAUUUAGACUUGGUUGAUAUUUAAAUCAAUUAGAUUUUGUCAAUUGUGUCAUCGUUAAUAAUAGUUUUGUAGUUUUUAAUUGAACGAAUAUUGGCACUAAUCCUGAUUAGAAUAUCGGGCAGAAACUACGAAUAUAAGAGUCAGAUAUUUUAAUCCACAACAUUAAAUAAUUAGCAAAUUGGGUAGUAACUAUCAUAAUUAUACUUCGGUUUCUCUACAACUAAACAGAUAUGAACAAUUACAAUCAAGUGCACGGCGUUCCAGAUGAAUGAAGAAGAAAUUUUGUAUCUGUGGCUUCUGUGAAAUACCUAUUUUUCCUGUUCAAAUGCACCUAGUCCUUUCAGGAAGUGCUUGAGCCAGCUGCAGAUAACCUCAAUAACACUCCAGAAACAGAGAUCACUUCUCCACAUACGAGCAACAAACACUUUGUAAUUAGUAUCAACCGUAUGGUUUUAGAACAAGAAGAAGAAGCAAGCCCCUGUGAGUCCACUGGUUUCCUAUUUCAUUAGCAACAACAAAUAAGCAGAUAUCUUGUUUAUUUCAAAAAAGCUGGAAAACUAUUACUUGAGUAGUUGUAAUCUAACAAGUCAAACUUUCAUACCUGAAUUUUAGGGAGUUCAGCAAGACAUUUCGUCCAACUCUUGCCUGUAAAGUGCUAGACUCUGCACAAAAUAUACCAAGAGACAGAUGUUUAUCAAUCAAGUGAUGGGAUGGAGCAAAACAGACAGAAAAAUGUAGCAGUUCUCUGCCUUUUUCCUUUUAAUUUACUUGAGUUGACACAUAAGACGUUUGUCUAUGCUUCCUAAAGCACCAAUAUGAAUGUCAGCAUUUGAUUAAGGAUCCCCAGUUAUUCCAUGGACAUUUUCCAUAUCAAUAUAUACCACAACAGCAACUAAUUUGUUCUUUUUUCCACUUUGGUCAAUUUUAAUCAAUGAUUAGCAUAGCAAUAUUUGAAAUGAAUACUGAAGUUUUGCAAGCAAAUAUCAAGACGUCAAUUAUUAAACGACAUGAGGUCAAUGGAGAGGUAGAAGAUUCUUGCCUUUGUUAAUGCAUAUACACCAGCUUCUGAAGGACCUACAGGACUUCCUCGCUUCAUAAACGAUCCCUCCUUGUAUAUGUAAAGUAAUGGUACCCCAGUUGAUAGUUCCAAGUUAAUUACCUGUCUCCCAGCAUAUUAAUCAUUCACCAUCGAAAAACUAUACUAGAAGGUAAUAACUAACCACAUGAACACAAGAAUAACGUAUAGGAAAUGGUUUCUAUACCUCGCAGGUAGUCAAUUUUUCUAGAUACAUGAUAAUACACCUUAGCGAAUUAGCAUGGGCUGCAACCAUAACAUGCUUCCCAGAUUGCAGCCGUGGUUCAAUCUACAAUUCCUUCUUGCUUUGUGAGAAUCAUUAAAAUAAUCAGAGCAAUAAUUUGAAAGUGCUUACAUGUUCCUUAAAAUAUCCGACUGCUCUCUGUGAGCACAUCUCCAAGCUCUCACCCUCAGGCGGAGGAAUAUCAUAGCUCCGACGCCAUUCAUGCACUUGCUCUUCACCGUAUCUUUCGGAAAUCUCCUGUUUAUUUAAUCCCUGUAGCUCACCGUACCUGUAUUAUACAUAUGCGUAUCAAAAUAAUUAAUCUAAUAUUCGGACUUCAGAUAGAAGGAAAGUAUAAAUCCCAAUGAAAAGAGAGAGUACAUUCUUUCAUUCAAUUGCCACGCUCUAAUAACAGGAAAUGAUUGCAUUUUAGCCUCAUCACUGUAAAUUUGACUCCAUGCCUCUGCCUGUUUACUACAAUCAUGCAUAAUGAUAGGCACCUGAAAGCAUAAGUUUGUCUAAAUUUGAAACGUCUUUUCUGAAUAAUAAAACAUAAUAAUAAUCAAAACUUUAAAUGUAGCUAUAGAGGUUAAGUCCCUUGUUAUUGUUCUCCUCAGAAUCAGUACUAGAAAGUAUUCUUCCCCUAAAUGAACUAUGAAUUCUAAAAUGGAAAGUAUUUUCAUACAAUGAUAAAAAUGUCUUUGUGGAAGAAAAGAAAAUUUCAUAAGCUUUCUUUCCUCCUAUAAUUAUAUCUUACGACCGUCUUGGGCAACAAGUAUGAAGUUCUGAAUUCAUGAAAAUCAGGUCUAGGCUAAUAAAAAAUUAUCCACUUUUCAAGAUGUAAAGAACACGACAUAAUAUAGAUACCUUUUUGCAGCGAUGUUGAGUCAAAGCAAGCACAGCUGUCAUUUGCGAGCGAAUUAAAGCAGAAGUAUACACAAAGUCUAGUGGUAUGUUGCAAAUCCUCUUACCAGCUUCAAUUGCUUCGUCUACACCUCUCCUUGUUAAAGGUACAUCAACAGAGCCAGUGAAUAAAUUCUUCUCAUUCCACAUUGACUCACCAUGUCGAAUUAAUAUCAGAGCUGUUUCAACUUUAAAAUGGGACAUUUAAUGGACAGCACAAAGAAAUUCAAUCUCCUAGCUAGGCAACUAACAAAAUAUUAGAUGCCAUUGUUCCUGAUAGGUGACCAGACUUACUUGAAGAAGGGUUCUUAGAAUCAUCGAUAUUCAAACGAGAAAUAGGUGCAAAAUGGUCCUUAAUUGAAGCUUGUGGGGUGGUGGCACAAACAACAGAAAGCUUGUAAUUUCUUACACGACAAAACCCUCUUCUAAAGAAAGGAAUGUCAUUAUCAUUACCCCUCCGGACAAAGGGUGGAGAAAAUGCAUAGAUGUUAUGAGGAUUUGAAUCAUUGGCGUGAUUACAAAGCUGCAGUGAUCCAUUGAAGUCGUGAAAUCCAGGAGAAAUCAUGCUGAUAACACAGCACAUAUCAAUGACAGAAUAUUAUUAGAAAUGACAUGAGAGAAAUUUGAUAGUACAGGAACAGGCAGCACAAUACAAUUGGAAAUCGGUACGUAAGAGAUGAAAAACGAAAAAUAUGCGAAAUUGAUAGAAGGACACCAAGAAUAGGCAUAAGAGCGUAGUAAACAUCCAAAAUCAAAGAGAGGGAAGAGUAGGGUUACGUUGAGCUGGCAGUCCGAUUUAGUGGGAGUAGAGAAGCAAGGAGAUGGAAAAUAGAUUUGAUCCAAAAUGAGAGGGCACCAAGUUUUGCAGAUUCUGAACAGCGUAGAAGGACAUUUUUUUACAUAGUCGGGCAACCGAGAACACCGGAACGGAGGAUGCGCUAUCUUUAUUCUUUUUCCUUCUUUUGGUGUAUUGUCUUCUUCUUCUUCCUCUUCUUAUUUUAAAUAAGAUCAAAAUUAAUCAAACCAUUAUCUCUAAAAUUAUUUUUAGGGCUUUCUUUCUAUGUUACUCACCCAAUUAAAUAGGUUAAAUUUUAAAAUUAAUUUCUUUUUAAAUCUAACCUACUUUCAAAAUAUUUAUAAAAAAAAAAAUCGUUUAAAUAAUGAUACUUGACGCUUACCAAGAUUUUAAGCACACCCUAUUAAUUUAUUAUAUAUAUAUCAUUUUAGUUUUGAUUUUAAAAAUAUGUAUCUAUGACUACAUUCCUUUUAGUUUGAAAAUUUACUAUACCAAAUAAUAAAAACAACUAUGACGAUCAAAUAACUAAAAAAUAAUAAAUAUCUAAUAGUAAAAACUCUAACAACCUAGGAGUUUUUAAAACGAGAGACUGUUAAAGUCUGUGGCACAAUGGGAUUUGAUAAAUACGAUCUAUAUUUGAGAAGCUUCUUUACUUAGAUAAAAAAUAUUAUUGAGAUUAACUUAAGUUUAAAGUUACGUUAACAAGCUAUCACCAUAAGAAUUCAACCUUCAAUCUCGUAGGACGAUAUUCCAUAACGUUUCCUAACAUUUACAUUUAGAACUUCUGCUCUUUAAGAAACCAAGAAAUAAUUAUACCAUAAGAAUAUCUUUUAUCUUCUUCAAAGAAGAACUUUUGACUCCUUAUUUGUAAAUGGUCCUAAAUAUAAGGAAUAUAUAUUUUUUUUAUUUAAAUAAAAAAAAUUCAUAUUUGUCAAAUAAUCUCGAUUAAAAUCUUUUAUAUAGUAUUUACUAUGGCUAAACGUUUCAAACAGUCCCGUAAAUUUAUGAGAUAUAACAAACAUAGUUAUAUGUACUAAGUACUGUAUUUGGUAUAUAAACUUUAAACCAAAUAGAGACACUAUUUAGGGUUUACUGGUUAUAUAAUCAAACAGGUAUUAACUUUAUUUCGUAUAAUUGAACUGUAAAUCAAUAAAAGCAUGUAUACAAACGAAUUAAUCAGAGUUAAGUUAGUACUCAAUCUUGGUUAAAUAUCUUUUCUAUUUAUUUAUUUUUAUCAUUUGCAAUUGCAGGGAGUAGGAAUGACGCUAUAUGUGUGUAUUUUUAUUCUUUCACGUGGGCGAGUUGUGGACUUAUAUAUUUUCUUAUUCUUCAAACUUACUUUCUUUCUUUCUUUCUUUCUUUCUUUUCCUUUUAAUUUGAAACGAUGCUUACCUUAGGUAUCUUUCCUUCUCUCAUUUAAUUAUUUGGGAGUAUCUAAAUAUUCAUUAUUUUGCUAUCUUUUUGUUAUUUUUCCUAAACCCCCUCUUUGGUUCUUUUUUCUUCUUUUAUCACCAUAAACAUAUAUAAAAAUGCUUCUAUAGUCGUAUGAAUCAAUACUUUUUGUGAAAUAUGUUCAAAAUCUGCUAAAUUAGUAUCAAAAAAAUUAUUUGAAUUAGAAAAAGUUCAUAUAACAUUGAUGACAACAUUAUUCUUUAGUAACAACACUACUAAUUAAUAUAUGCACGAAUCUUAUCAUCAAAUAUUUUAAUUCUUCAAUAAUUUUAAGAUGUUUUCUUUCAAAAAUGUUGACUUGUACGUGACAUCAUGAUAGUAAAUUAGCGAUACUAAAUCUACGUGUCUAAUUCCUAAAAGAAAAUAAAAGUUAAAAGGAAAUAUUAGAUUGCACUUGAUUUACCUAAAAAAUAUUUAUUUGUUGUAGGUUUGGUUUUUAAUAAGAAAAAAAAUGUGGGUGUUGAGAUGCACCCAUAAUCUUACGGUAAAAUCGGAUUAGCACUAUUAAAAUAUGGCAUAGUGACAUUCUUUAAUAUGUUUUUUUCUUUUGCUUGUGUAAAGUGUGGGUAAAUAUAAGCUACACUUGUUUAAUAAAUAGCUUACAAAGGAAUACACCCUGAAAAAAUGAAAGAUUUGUGUAAAUUGAUUUUGUUUGCUGAAAAAUGAGAUGACAUAUUAUAUGAAGUAAAUAUUUUGUUUAAUAAAAAGAAAAAGAAAAUGUGUUUGGGAAGAUGGAAAGGUAAGUGGAAAAAAUUAUAAUGAAAAAGUGGAGAGCAAUAAUUAGUGGGUAAAGUCCUUUUUCAGCUCCCCAAUGAGGCAGCAGCUGAGUGCACUGCAGUUCCCCAACUUUCCUUUUUAUUUUUCUUUUCUGUGGCCACAUGCAUGCCUUAACUUAGGAUCUCCCUAACCCCCAAAAACUAGGUUAAUUAACAAUUACUACAACAUAAUUAAUUCAAAUUAUUUUCUCAAACACCGCAUUAUUACGCUGAUCAAUGCUAUAUUAUAUGUUAUAUAAUCCAUUAUGUGAUAGUUCACAACAUAAUAUAUAUAUCCAAAAUAAUUGGUAUGAUGUCACCACUUUUAUAUUAAUUAGACUCCAGUUGUAUAUAUCUUGUACCAAUUUUUAAACUAAUUAUACAUCGAAGAAGAUCAUGUCAAUUAUCAUGUAUGGAGCUAAACUUAUUGAAAUAUUGGAAGAGGAGUUGUUUUGUAUAUUUGGAGUAAAGUAAUUGCAAUAACUUUGGUGGGUGUGCUUUGUUGAAGGGGGAUUAAAAUAAUAGGGUUAGUGAAAACUGAUAUCAUUAGUGAUUGUGAUGUAAUCCUAUAUGAAAAUCUAUGGUCUAAUUAAAAAGGAAAAUCUUACCUUCGGCGGAAUCAACAAUUGCCACGUGGAAUCUUGUUGAUAUUUUAUCAACAAGGCCCAAGGGUGAUGUGUGUCUCAUGGGUCCAAAAUUAAAUUCAUUGAUUCGUCUGUUUAUGUCUUCGUCAUUCCUUUUCUCUCCACUUUUAUGAUUUCCCAUUCCUUAAAAUUAAUAAUAAUAAUUUAAGACUGAUGAUAUAAUUAGUAAUUGGGUGUAAUUAAUGUUAUUAUCCACCGUAUAUAUAUCCAUGAGGUAGCGUAAAUGGAAUUUAGAAGAUGAGUCAUGUAGUUGUCGUUUUAAACCAAAACGACACCUAGUGGUCCUAAUUGCGGAAAAUGGCAUAAUGCACAAAAUUGGAUUUUGUUUUUGAAGAAGAAGGAGCCGUGGGAAAUUACGAACACUUCCGAAUUGGUUAAUUAAACAAACAAAAACAAAAAUAUUAAAGUUUCACAUGGAUUAGAUAAUCAGAUAAUCAACUAUCUCCAUCGACAUGAGAUUUUAUUUUCCUAUAUUGUUAUAUUAUUGGUGAAGGUAUGAGUAGGAGACAUGUAAAUGAAGAAGGGAUGUUUUGAAGUUAGUUUUAGGCAAGAAAAGCAUAGGAAAAUAGUAGACUAAAAAGGUAAGAGGUUGCUGUGUCCUCAUUUCCUUCCAUUCAAAGUGGAGAAAUUAAGAAAUCUUUCGGGUGCGUGUCAUUGUGCAGUAAAAAGGAUUAAAAAUGUGUGUGUGUGUGUGUGUUGGGAAAGUGGGUUUAGUGAGAAAGGGGAGAUGUGAUAGAAGGGGGAAAAAAAGGGGAUGAAUGAAUGAAUGAAUGAAUGAAGGGAAAGGCAAACAAUGGUUAAAAGGGGGACGAAGGAAAAGAUGGGGAUGUGCCAUUGCUGUCCCAUUGUCUCUUUAGUAUUAGUAAGUGGGAAUAUGACGUUUUUGUCCAUCCCUUUUCCUUAAUUUUUCAUUUUUCUAAAUAUAAUUUCACUCAUCUCAUUAUGAUGUUUCCCUCUCAUCGCCUAAUCCUUCUUCCACUACACAUCUCAUUAUUUCCUUUUAAUCUCCUAACACAUACACAAGAUCUCAUUCUUUUUCUUCUUCAUUUAUAGACUUAGAUGCUAUAUCAAAUUUGUAGGUCCGAAACUCAAGUACUUCAAUGUUGUAUGUUAUUUUAUUUUUAUUUAAUGUUGAUUUUUACUCGAUAAAUAUCCCUCGUUAAGUUAAACUAUUAAUUUUACUACAUAAUAUAAUUUUCUUGUUUAUAGUAUUUUUAGCAUUUAAUUAAAAGAAAACAUGUAAGAUAAGUGGGCAAAUGAACGAGAAGAUUAAGAAGAAGAAAGGAUAAUUAAGUAUGUAUACCAUUUUUAGCAUUUAAUUAAAAAGAAAAGGAAAAUAUGUAAGAUAAGGUUUGGAAAUGAAUGAAAAAUGAGAAAUGGAUAACGAUAAAUGGCACAAGAUUUGCACCUGAUUAAUGUUAAUAAGAUUAACAUAAGUAGUGUGUGAUUAAUUAAGCAUGGGGGCUGUGAAAAGAAAAUAGAGUAUAACCCACUUUACAUCCUUUUCCGUAAACGUCAAAUAAUUGAAAUAACAAUUUUAACUUUACAGUUAUUGGAGAAAAAGAAAAACUAAAAAAGCGUGACGUGGGAUCUCUUGGGCUACGUGGUGCCCGCAAGCAACGGCCAAGAUUCCCUCUCACUCAUCAUCAAAAUACUAAUUAAUCAAUCUCAGUCUCUCUUUCUCUCUCUAACUCAAAAACACUCUUCCUAUAUAUUUCUUUAUUUGCCCAAUUGGCGUAGUUUCUCACACUCCUCCAACUUCCCCCACUCUCUCUUCUUCCUCCCGCCUCCACCUUCAUUUUUCCGCUUCUUCUUCUUUUAAUAUGCUGCUUGGCAAACGCCCUCGUCUUCCCAUCAAGAGAACUACCAGUAUGACCGGAAUCAGAGGGGAUAUCCCCGACGUCGAAUUUGAAGAACAACCCUCAUCCGAUCAGAUCAUCAACAACCCCGGCGGCGGCUACGAUCUUCACCACCCCAUCCCCCCGGUUUCACUUCCUCAUAAUACCACCGCCAUUAAUUACUCCGCCUUGGUUUCUCCUCGAAAUUUAAGAGAUCAGUCCCCACCUAACGAUCACUUCCUCCGCACGUGCGGUCUCUGCAAACGCCGCCUCGCUCCGGGCCGUGAUAUCUACAUGUACAGGUACAGUACCCUCCUCUCUCUCGAUUUCUUUUUCUUUCCCAAUAUCUUAAGAAAAUUAGAAUUUGUAAUUUAAUUUGGGAGAUGUGACGCGUAUGUGCAGAGGGGACACCGCGUUUUGCAGUUCGGAGUGUAGAGAGAAGCAAAUAAAAGAAGAUGAGAGAAAAGAGUACGGAGGGAAGAAGAAAGAGGAGCGGCAAGCGGCGGGGAUGGGGGUAAGGGGGUCGAGGAAGAAGGAAGCAGAGGGUGGAGGGAGGUAAUUAAUUAAGUAACGAUCGAUUAGAGUGGAAAUAUAAAAGUAAAAAAAAAAAAAAUAUUAUUGUGGGUAGAAGUAGAGCGGAGGGGUUUAUAUGUAUUUUAUAAUUACAUAAUAUAUGAAUGUAAUUCCAGUACCGACUCCGAUUCCGGCUGGGGCGGUGGUUGGUCACACGCCAGCUGGGUGGGGUGUUGGAGUAUGAGGUUACUAUAUGAUGAUGGGUAUAUUUUGGUAACUUUGUACAAAUGGAAUAUUUGGAAAAUCUUGAAAAAAGUAAAAAGGGAAAAUGAAAACAAAAAAACUAAAGGGAAAGGAAAAAUGCUGUGGGGAGAGGGGGAGGGGGAGGGGAAGUAUUAUUUAUUUGAUGUCGAUUUUGUAUUAGAUAUAUUGUAAUUUUAUGAUCUGGAACACUUCUAAGUUCUAACUACCUAGCUCUACAACACCCAUUAGAAAAUUAUUGUUUUUCUUUUUUAAUUAUUUAAAACAUGAAUUAAAUGUAUUUGGUAUCAAAUUAUGAGAUGAGACAUAUGAAUUUGGUAUCAAAUUAUGAUAUAUGUGAAUUUCAAGGAAUGGUCGUUCGAGAAUUGAAAAUAGAUUCAGUACCUUUUAAAUUCUAACUAGUAAUAGUAGUUUUUAGAUCAAAAAUAUCUUUCAUAUAAAUAUACUCUUUUCAUAUAUUUUUAAAUGUAUCUUUUUAUGAGUUUACAUUUCUUAAACCUCUUUCAAACAAAGUUAAUUAAAACUAAUCAUAUAAAAUUUUAAAGAAAAAUAUAUUAUGCUGAAUAUAAAUCCACUGAAAAUAAUUAAAAUUAUAAGCUUAAUUUAGCUUCAUAUAAUUAAAUAAUAUCGAUUUAAAAAAAUUACAAAUUAAAAUUUACCAAACGUCAAUCUUACUUUUUUCCACCGCUAAUUUUAAUAAAACUUUAAAGUAACUAGUCUAGAAGAUAAAAGUAUCUCAAAUUUAAGCUUUCCAAGUCUGCUAACCACGAUUACUAUCUCUACAAAUGAUACCCAAUAUAGAUAGAGAUACCAUUUAUUUAAGAUGUAACUACAAAUUCUUGAAAGCUGCCACUUCAAACAUUAGCCCGAAUAGGCCCAUUAUCCCACUUGGCUAGAGCUGGCUGAUUUGUACUUACAAAACCCAACUAUCGAAAUUAUUCCUUUUAUUAUGCUGAAACAAUCGAUGCAAUCUGCUUGUAACUUUUAUGAGGUGAAUAUUUAUAUAUAGAACAGUGUUUAUCAAGAGAGUGUCUCCAUAGCCUAUUGAGCUUGAAUGUUAUUUCAGUUUAAUAACAUUAGUUAUUCCACAUCACUUGCUUUUUGGAAAUGUGUGUUUACACCGUAAAAAUUGUGAGCGUAGUAACUUUAAAAGAAAAAUCAUUUGUAGCAAACUACAAGCCCAUUUCAGUAAUUUUAAUUGAUAAAAGUAUUGGAAAUUAUCUCUGUGGUACAUCUAAACAUAUGAAUAACUACAUCAUUGUUUAAUACCAUGAUCCAAUCGAAGCUGAGUAUAACUAGAUGUGUUGGCAAUUAUACAAUAUCCAAAAACAACAACCAGACCUUUCACAUUAGCUUUCAACCUUUCAACUUAGCUUUAAUUUCAAGUGCAUGUCAAUUACUAUGGAAGACUUGGCUCAUUUACGUUAUCAUUUAUAUGUGUUAUACGCCCUUAUAUUUGUUAACUAAAGUAUGAUAAUCAAACUUUAAUUCUAUCACUUUCUAUAAGAUUUUUCAUUUAGUAAAUAGUUGCCAGCAUGAGUAUAAUUCACCCUGGAACCACACCUUUAGAAAAAUAUAUUGAACAAUUAUUUCAUGUGGUGCAAAAUGGUCCAUCACAUUUCAUUAACUUCAACCAUUCAUUAAGAAUUUACCAAACUAAAUGCUAAACAUACGUAAUUUUUUGGUGUUUAGAGAUAACGUAAACAGCAGAGCAACUGGUAUAUAGUGUUUAUCAAAGAUUAUGGCUCAUGUCAAAGUUUACCAAUAUCUUCAACUUAUAACUACAAUAUUGUUUUAGUUGUAUUGAAAUGUCCAGAAAUUCAGAUUGAAAAUAUAUACCAUUAAUUUGCAAACUGAACAGUGGCUUACCCUUAACCCACUGAUUAUCUACUCCCAUUGAGGGAUGCUGUUGAAUCAGUCAACACAACAGCCUUCACAAAAGCUUACUUCUCUAGAAACACCCAUAAGAAAGAAAAAGAAAUGAACAUAGCUGAGAGGUUCUCCAAAGAACAAUUACAUCAAACUCAAACUUGUAAAGCAGAAAAAGGCAGAAUCUCUCAAGAUCAGUCUUCCUCCUUCGAUCACUUGUAUUCCAAUAUCAUAUUAUUCUCAGGAGCAAGCCCAACACAGGCCCUCAGAAUGUUCUCUAACAUUGCCCUUUGCUUUGAUAGUGCAUUCACAACUGGUGUGCCUGGGGGAACCUGUUUUUCCAUUACUCUCAAAUUUGUUAGGAGUUCUUUUUCUUUAAGUUCAAGUUAGAGCUCACAACUUAAAGAAGAUCGAAUUUGUACUUACAAGAGGUGCCUUGGUAAGGUAGCUCAGUAUUGUAGCCACUGGGUGGAAAGAAUGAAACUUCCCCUGCAAAAAGGAACAACCAACUGAUCUUCAAUCUUCAUCUUUUGUAAGUUUGAAAAAGAUGCAAUCAAUUCUUAAAUUUCAACCCACCUCUCCUUCAGCCUUGAGUUGGAUGCGAGUGCUUAGCUCAGCAAGUAGAACCAAAUCAAGGAUAAUGGGAGCAGCCAAGAGGGAGUCCUCGCAUGUGUUGUGCAGUACAAUGGUGCUCUUUCCGCCCAUGAAUAUCUCUGACGUGUACUCAUCCAUGGCUCUCUUGCUAUCUCCAACAUAUGGCACAUACUAAAAGAGCCAAACACUUUCAAAUCAGGGAAAAAACAAACAAAACAAAAACUUCAACAGAGAAGCAAAGCCAAAAGAGAAAGCACCUUGAUCACUACAACAUGGUCUGGAUGCUCCCCUGGUUCGUACAAGAUGCCAUUGCUCGAGACCAUGUCGUCGACCACAUUGCUCUUUGAUAUUUCUUUCGAGCGGAAGGUUUGUGGAGCAGAGAGAUUCAUUCCAUCAUUGUUUCCAAGAUGAUUGUAGCUCACAAUUGAAGUUGGCUGAAAUCAGAGAUAAUGAUUUGAUUUCACUAGUUUCCUGAGUUAGUUGAAUACCAAGCCAUUUUUGUGUCAGAGUUUUACCUUAAUACCAGCACCAACUAGAAAAUCUACUAGGACAGAUUUCAUCUUGGUUUGACCACUCUUAAAGUCAUCUCCUCCUAUCAAACUGUUUCUCCUAAUAGCCAAAUCAAUCAACCCUGAAAUUGGAAGAUUUUAACCCAAAGAACUCAUCAUCAAAAUGUUUGAUGCUUAGGAACAUACAAGCAAGAGAGCUAAAAAUGUUAAGCUUAUAUCAUACCUGGGACGAAGGUGUUUUGUGGGCUUCCAUUGAUAAAAGGAACAUUCUCAAGAACACAGGCUAUGGCAUACAGGGUAGAAGGAGAUAUUUCAGCCUCAUUCUUGUCCAAAGAAGCUAAAAGGCUCUCCAUUGUGUCAUUCAGUCCCACAACUACAUUGCUGUAUCUCUCUGUGUUGGCGGUCCAAAGCACAACAACUUCAUCCACUUUACUCUUCUCCUUAAACUCCCUAAGGAUUCAGAGAAUUAAUUACAAGAAAAAAAAGGGCAUGGGCUUCUAAACAAUUGCAACAAACAAAACAGAACUAGAGUAACAUAUUACUUGAUAUCACUUAUGAUUUGUUGGACUUGUUCUCUCUUGGUUCCUUUAAUCACAUUGUUAGCUCGAGAACCUUGAUUAGCAGCAAUGAAAUCAGGGUCGUAGAUCCCAGGAAGUGGGACCAUGGAUUCCAUGUAGGGUCUCAACUGCUUUUGUAGGUCAAUAUCAAACACCUUGGCCCUUGCCAUGGCAUCUGCCAAGUUCAUGUCACUAAUGUCCCAACCUCCAAACACAAUGUCAUCUGGAUUAACCUGUAGAUUAAACAAUAUAAUGGAGGUUAAAAAAACAGAGAUGUAAUUAACAUAGCCCUCCUCCUCCUUUAAACUAAAAGGUCACUACCAUAGGAAGCAGGCUUUUAAAUGGGGCAUAGAUCUCCUCUCCAUUGUAAGAACCCACCCGGAUGGACGAAGCCUGAGUCAAUGACCCAAAAUAAUUGGCUUGUUGUACUUUAUCCUUAGUUGCCCAGGAAAUCCCUCUGAGAAUAUUUAAAUAAAUCCACGUUAAAAAAAAGUAAAGAAGUUACUUCAGCAGAAACUCAAAUACAAAAGAACAAAAGAUGUUGGUGCCCAAAAGGAACAACACCCAUCUCAAAAUUUGCAACAAAAAUACUUUUCUAAGAAAUCUUACUCUCGAUUGGCAAUAACCCCCCCUGUAAGAGUACAACCAUUAUUCCCACCCCAUCCAACAAGCAUAACCCUGCACAACACAAAGUCAUAAGAAAUUUUCUUCUCAUAAAAGAAAUUGUCAAAAUAAAAAAUUGUAAAACAAUCAUAAACAACAAACCCUAGCUUUGGGACAUGAGUUUGAGUUUUGAAUUGGUAUUUGACAGUCUUGGGCUUCACCGUCCAUUGAUAGCUACCAUUCUUAAGCUCAUGAACAAGUUCUGUUGUUUCAUAGUUGUACACAGAAAGAAUCUCAUUCGCAGUGUACUCCACAUUUGGACUCUCAACCUUAAAGCUCUCAAUGAACAUUUUCCUUUUUCUGUUUUAGAAAUGCAAGAAGAAAAAGUAGUGAGAAUUUUACAAUGAACCAAACAAAGGCUGAAUUUUUUUUGUAGCUCAGGCUGCUGUAAUGUAUGUGAUCCAUUGCCUUCUGCUGAUGGUUUCAUUUAUAGACGAAAAUGCACUCAAAUAGUUAACACGUGGCAUGACAUGCAUGGAUUACCAUAUAUACAUACUACUUUGUAGAUUAGCAGAUUUCGUUCCCUAUUUCAUUCCUUAAUUUUGGUAAUUAGUUUUUUUUCUUUCUUAUUCUUCCGUUUCGUCUACAAUUACCUUCUAUUCACUAUUCUAACCCAAUUAUCAAUAAUAUAUCAAUUGUAUUCUAACCCAUUUAUUCUACAUUGGAAGACAUCAAAUUAUCAAUAAUAUAUAUAUAUAUAUAUACUAUGAGGUAAUUCAGAGGAGAGGGGUGUAUGGCCCACUAAAGCUAUUGGCUUUAUAUAUAGUUGAUGAGAAAUUGAUUUGAUAUAUGGAAAUGUGUGAAUUUGAUGGAAAAGGAGAGAGGGGAGGGCGUAAUAUUCCGACACGUGGUCAAUUAUGGUCUCUGUCCAAAGUUGAUGUGACCAUAAUUUAAAUAAUGCAAGCUAUAUAUAUAUACACAAUCCAUCAUCAUUAUUUUAAGACGAAACAUACUUGCUUCUUCAAACUUACUUUUAUGUCUUUGCAUUUUUAUCAAACUUUUUUCUUAUGUAACUUCCUAUUUUGAUUUAGUUGUUUUUUUUUUUUUAUAGGACAAAUAUGAAUGCAUGCACUAUAUAAUUUCUUUAGAACUACAAAAAAAUAUCAAUACUCUUCUAAGAAAGCAUAAGUAAUAAAAAAUAAAUGAAUAUGAUACUAUAAAUUACAUGGAAGAUGUUCAAUCAAACUCAUCAUCAAGAGUGUACAAUGGGCCCUUAUUAUAUUUGGUGGUUUAGUGGGUGGUUGUGAACAUUCUUCUAAAAUAAUGAGAAAGAAAAAGGAAGAGAGAAGAAUAUGGGGUUGCUGGGGGCAUAGAUCAGAUCACGAUAAAGCAAGAGCAGCCUAUGUGGCGGUGUAGGAAAAGGUGGGUCUUCUAAUGCCAUGCAGAGGGAGGCUCGUGACCUUGUAUCACCUUUGUGGCUCUCAUCACCCAGCAAUACCAUUCCCCCUUCUUCAUUGUUCUUAAUUAAUGCAUACAUCCAUAUAUAUCAAUCAAUCAAUCAAUCCAUUGUUUUUCUUAGCUUAUAAUCCAGAAUAGUUUAAUUGAAAAGACAUUAUUUACCUUCUAACAAAAGAACUUUCAAUUUUUUUGUUUAAUAAUUCGAUGAAAUUAGAUAUGAAAUUGUAAAGGGUAAUCUAGAAUGUUCCCUUGUAUCCAAUAGGUGGCGAUGGAGGUCCCAUCCUCAUCCCCAUCAAUGUGCAGGAAACCCACCCCAUUUAUUCACGUGAUAAUAUAUUAUGUAUGAUUUCUGUUUAUUUUUCUCAAUUCAAUAAAACGGUAGUUUUAAUCGGUUAAAGAAGAAUAAAGUAAAUAAGUAAAUGAAUGGAAGGUGGGUGGGUGCCAUAAAGUCCAAAAUGAAACGAAAGAAAACUAGAGGUGUCACAUGGGUUUGUAUAACUAUAAACAGGAAAUUGUGCAAAAGCUGAAACAGAGGCAUGAAACAGUAGAAUUGUAUCACAAUAUAGAACAGAGUUGGUUGGAAACUUGUCAAUUCAAUUCUUUGUAAAUUCCAACAACUGAUCCCAAACCAAUGCAUUUCUGAAACUUCAUAUACAUCCCCACUACUAUUUUGUUUGGGGUUAAAAAUUGGUGUGGCCCUUUUUCUUUACCAAAAGCUCUGUUUGCUUUUCCUUUUUAUCCAACUUUUCCGAAGAGUCUGGUAGUUGUGAAUGUGAUAAAGAAGAGAUCUCGUGAAAUUUGAUCUACUUUUUUAGCUAAAAAAUUAAAAAAAUUGCUGUUUAUAAGCCAUUGAAGGCCCCUUGUUUGGAGGCCCCUUGUCGUCCAUGUCAUUGUGAUAUUUGAGGGGGUAAGGGUAUGGUAGAUUACUUAUGAGAUAAAUAAAUAAAACAUUACAAAAGGAGUACUUACACGUUAUAGUUUUUUAAGGGUGUGUUCAAUUAUUACAAUAUAUGUAUGAAUAAUGAGGAUGUGAAUUAAUUCAAAAGUGGGGCUCUGAAACAUACACCAUCCCUUUUGGAUUUUUGCUAUCAAACUUUAGUUGGAAUCCAAUUGUAGCUUCCUGAUUUGACGUUUAUUUGUUUCCCUCAAAAUUACAACAUUUUCUAAUCUUAUUUAUAAAUAUAACAUAACAUCACAAUUUAUCAACCAUACCUAACUAUGUCAAAUCCAAUAAAAUAUUUUGUUAAUUUUUAAAUAGAGGAGAUUGUUUGAAGUGCUAAGUUGGUUAGUGAUUAUUAUGGUUUGUCAAUUAUAAUAGCUCGUAGAUUAUAGUAAUUUGUGUCUCGUCACAAAGUAUUUUUGAGGAAGAUGAUUUUUAAAUUAUUAUACUAUAGUUAAUUUAUAGGUUAUAGUUAGUUGAAAACAUUAUAAUUAAAUCUAAAAGGUGUAGUAGGGUUGCCACUCCACCACUUGAAGUUUAGAAUAAAAACUUAAGAAAGAAUUGAAGAAAGAAAACUUGUGGGAGGGAUAAAUACUUACAAAUUGACUAGGAGAGUUACAAAUUUUUUUUCAUAUAUUUACUAAUUAAUUGUAGGAUGAAUGAUCAAAUCUUCCACCUCCAGAUUAUGUUAAUUAAUUAACCUAAUUUCAGUUAGAUUUAAAAGUUGAUUUUUUAUUUUUAUCGAACAAGUUUAAUGGACAAAAUUAUAAAUGUGGUCUGUUCCAAGUUUAAAUUUUCUCUUGGUAACAAAUUGAUUUAAAGAAUUCAUGGCAGAGCCAUGAAACUGAGAUUUAAAGCUUUAUGUGUGUAUUUGUAUAUAUUUAACUGUGCUGUUCAAAAUCCAGAUGGUUGGUGAGAGAUGAUUUCAGCCAUGUGUUGUUUUGAAAGAAAGGUUCCAUUUGAAAGGGAAAAGGGUAUAGGAAAUGGACUUGGUUCAUUUUGCAUAAAAUUUGAAGAUGUACUCAUAACUUAAAAACAAAACAGGAUGAAGUAAUGAAAGAAUAAACCAAUGGAUUUCUGGUUAUAUAUUUUCAUAUAUGUACAUGAAAGAAUCCCUCCCAAGAACAAACAAGAAUCACUCUCCAAAAGCACAAGGUACUUUCAUCAAGAAGAUGACAUACCGCUCUUUUACGUCCACACUUCCUGUCCUUCAUAGAAAAUAUAUUGUUGUCUUCCUUUCCAGCUUAUUACAAAACAAUGACAAUUUGGAGUGCAAAGGACAACCAUGUGGUUUCAAGUCACCGUAAUAGCAGUCGAGAAUGUUUAAGUAAGACGUUGAGAUGCUGUUUUCCCUGAGCCAUGUAGAAUAAAUUCUUUACCUUAGCUGUCAUCUGUUUCAAUUCAGCAUAUUUUCAUAAACUGGUUGGGGAAAACAUUUCAUUGAAAUAUAAAGAAAGACCUAUGACUAAACCUUUCCAAUGCCUAAUCCUUCCCUUGAAUAAGGAACUGAUCUCAGUUGAUAUCCCGGUGAUGAUGGAGGAGAUUUUCGACUACUUUCCUCUCUGCAAUUCAGCUUCCCAUUGGCUCUGCUUCGAGUUGUUUUGGUGGAUGAAGUCUUCCACUUCUCUUGCAAUAUGCUUGGGAGGGUCGAUUCCUGGUGGAGAAAUUGUUUUAGAUAACUCAUUUGUCCAAGAAGAGCGGCAUAUGUGGUAGAAAUUUUUGUAUACAUACCAGAAAUAGAACAGUAGCACAAUGUUUGAGAACCUCCAAGUUCAUACGAACAUCGUCGAGGCUCCUGCACAAAAAUACUUUUGUCAGUUUGUGAACUAAGAUGAUACAAGUUAACACAUACAAAGAAGGGAGUCGAUCAAUUGUAUUGAUACCUGUGCUUUUGCUGUCCCAACUGAAAGUAAGAAGCCAAUGAUGCCAUCUAAAUAUAAAACAGUUCAAAAUAUAUGAGAACUAUUUUGCCAAACGUUGUAUGCUAUAUGUUAUGGUUUUCAAGGUUCAAAAGUUCGUUAUUUCUCACCUUCAUGUUCCCGGCUCUCUUGCCAAAUUUGUUCGUUAAGACUCCUAAAGAAUCAACCAUCCCAACUGGGAUAGGAGCAGGCCUGCCAAUCUCUGCAAAUGCCUCCUUAAUACGAACACAGUCGAAUCUUCGAAUGUUGUGACCUGCCCAUAUCCUUCCAUUCAAAAUGCUGAAUAUCUUGUCAGCCACUUCCUCAAACAAUGGUGCAGUUGCAACAGCUGCUCUAGUUAUUCCGUCAGGUCGGCUAGACCUCAACGCAACAGCAGAUAAAUCCGUUGGCCUAAUGAGAGUAGUAAAGCUCUCGAGCUCUACAAGUUUCAUUGGGCAGACAACAAUAGCACCAAAUUCCAAUACUCGAAACCGUUGCCCAACUCUUUUGGGUACGGUAGUUUCCAAGUCGAAAAAUACAAUCUCAGCUGCACCUUCUUUGAAUGAACUUGAAGCCUCCAUAUCCAUUGGCAUUUAUGUCAAAUAGUUUCAAGAUAAAGUUUUGUUUUCUUAAUGUUCAAUGACAUGGGAGAUUGAAGAGGUUAUAAAUGGGCGAAGAAAAGAGAGGAUUAUUCUUGGUGUUGAGGGUUUGAUUGGUUGUCUUGAAAUUAAAGUCAAGAGCUUGGUCCGUGGAUGAAGAAGUCCUUAGCUUCUGGAGGGUGUCAAUUGCAAAACCAGCUCAAAUUGAACGGUAAAUUGAUCAUCAAGAAACGUUAAGAAUGACUUUUGUUGUCACUUUCCUAUUGCUUUCUGCAAUCAAAUACAGUUCAUGCAGCAUCGUUUUGGAAUAUUGAUGGAACCUUUCAAGCCAGGUCUUCUUAACCAAAAAUUAUUCCGUCUCAUCCCUUGUUUUGCCUUCCAUAUUUUAUUACUCUACUCUUAAUUAAUCAACCAAAACAUAAAAUAAAAGUUUGUUUAUACAGUUGUGUAAGUUAGACGAGAAUUAUUUCCUCAAUCUCUGUUUAAUAGGAAAAACAGACUAAAAUAAAAUUACAUGAAUAUUUUCCCUUUGCUAUAAAACUUGCAAUCAGAGUUAACUUUCUCAAUUUAGCUAAUAUAAACUAUUCGAUUCAAUUGUAUAAUAGGAACAAUACAAACAAUUCAGUUUACAAAUCCGAAACCAAAACAAACUAAGAAAUUUUGAUUUACUUGGUAAUUUUAAAUCAAACUGAACAGACACAGCAGUAAAGUUUGAGUUUUUGAUUUGAUUCACGGAUUGGGUUCGAUUUUGGCAUUGGGUUCGAUUCAAUUGUAUCAUCCCUCUAAUUUUAACUUUGGCCCAGAAGAAAUGUAACAAAAAAUUACACUAGCAGAAAUAAAAACCUUCUGAGUAGAGAGAAUUCAUCAAAAGUUUAAAACUUCCCCAUCCUAGUUGUGGAAUAAAAAUUCAAGAAUGGACCAUAGAUGCAAAUUCAGGAAGGAAAGGAGAAACAUCAAAGGGGUUGAACCAGUUUUUGUUUUUGAUGACCCCACACUUUCCUUUUAUCUAUUUCCUCAAGCAGUUCACCCUGUUCCUGAUCAGUAAGCAUGAAGAUAACAGAUAAAGGAUUUGACCGGUUAUGAUGCAUUUUUACGAAUAGAAUUGGAUAUUAGAUUUUGAUAUACCUAAUAUAACAACUAAGAGCAGGCAAUAAAAUCAUUAGAAGUGCAGACAAGUUCAAUCCCUUAGAAGCUUUAGACAACAAGAAACAUCACCCGCAAUUUGGUUAAAGGGAAUGAUGCCAAUUGCAAAGUUCUGCGUUUAUCCAAUCAAAACAAUUUACCAUUUUCAUGGCACUAACAAUUUACCAGACCAUUCUAAAAGGUAACUCAUAAGCUACAACAACUAAUAUAACACGGUAGAAUAAAGAGGCAUUUGAAUGACCACCAGUAGAAUGAUGAACGUGACACCCAAUAAAGAGGAAUAGAUUUUGAUACAAGGGAUAGAACUCGAAACCCACACCGGUUAAAAAUGUGGGGGCACGGAUGCACAAGGUAUUGUAAUACCAAAAUCAUACACACAAACUUAAAUUCUAGUACUCGAAGAAUCAAAAUCAUCAGGAGCAACACGAGCAAUCCAGUUAUUGAGCGUUCUCUUAAUCUCAGAGUGAUUAACAUAAGCCAAUUCAUACAUACUACACAGAUUCACGAUCACUGUUUCAUUGAGAGCCACAGUCGGAACUCUUUCCAGUGCAUUUUCAAGCACCUUAAUCGAAUCUGCUAAAUCCCGCAAGUACAUCAAGCAAAGAGCCUUAUUGUUAAUAGCCACCAUGUCCGAAUUAUCCCUCUCAAUACACUCCUCAUAUUCCCUCACAGCUGAUAGAUAGUCCUUGCCCACCAAAAACACCAACGCCUUGUUCCUAUUCACAAGGUUCUUCAUCUCUACUUCGCUUAACGACCCACUACUUUUCCCCUCUUUAACCAACUCCUCAAUCCGAUUAAACGAACGUUUAGCUCCUUCAAUAUCUCCAGCGUGCAUUUGUAUAUACCCAAGUUUCGAAAUCAGAGCAGGAUCUGAGAAAUCCUCACUUAACAAAUUAUUAAUCAAGGUUAAACAAACCCCAAACUCCUUGUUACUUAAAUGAUGGCCAAUAAUACAAUUAAUCACAAACACUACCCUUUUCUUCCACAAGUUCACAGAGACAUCGAGCUUUUUCUCCUCUUUAUCCUUCAAUUUUGACUGUACAAAAUCCAGAAGUUCGUAGAACCGGUCCAACCCAUGUUGACGCUCGCCCAUUUUGAUGGGGAUUAGCGCUUGCAGCCACCGAAGUGAAAAGGGGACCAUGGAGCCGGUUCGAUUAGGGUACACGCUAGGGUACGAUUCAUACCUGUAUUGAGAGCUAUUGAGAUCUUCAAGAGAAUCAAGUUCUGCCAGGGCUUCGGCGAAACGUCGGAGUUUGACAAGGGCAAGGACAUUGUAGGAUAGGUAAGUGAGGUGGUCAUGGGGCUUCUGAAGCAGGGUGAGAGCUCGGGCUCGGGCAACCUUAUCUAAAAUUGAACGCCAUGAACCGCGAGUGGCGAGAUCUUGAAGAGAGAAAAGAUCGUGAGCAAGAUCGUUGAGGGAUCCAAACUGAGUGGUUAAAGGGUCCGAGGAAAUUGCCAAAUUUUCGAAUCCAGUUGUUAGGGUUUCGGGAUCGGAAGUGCUGUGAGAGUGAGAGUCAGGUGACGGUGACGGUGACUCAGUUUCCAUCUCGAGCGAUGAUGAGUCGUUGGACCGAGAGGAUCCAGUUUCCUACCUCCUCCUCCUUGGGGUCUUCUUCUUCUUCUUCUUCGACAACAGUUUCCUAUUUUCUUGUUACAUCGAUCAACCGUGCUGUACAUUGGACCGAAAGGAUCCAGGCUCAGGCCCAAAACCAAAUGAGCUUCGUAUUGGGCCUAUUAUACAUCAUGGGCCAUUUCAUGAAUUUACUAUGAAAAUCUUCCUGACAAUUUGAAAAAGAAAAAGAAUAAAAAUAAUUUUCAAAUAUACCCACCACAUGGGGGCUCUUAGGACAUUGGGUUUUAUUAAUACGUUGGGGUUUCUCAAUAUGUAUUUGGGGUUGGGGAUGAAGUUUCUAAAUAAAAGUUGUGCAAAAUGUUAGGAUAAAUACUUUAAAUAUAUACAAUAGAGCAUGAAGAAUAAAUUAUGUAUCAAAUUUCAUCUCCAAUAAUUAAUGAUGGCUAUAAAAUGACUAUUGGCUUUUUCAACUAAAAUCUGAUUUUUAUCUUUAUGGAAUAUCAAUUAUCAUUUUCACUAAAUCAUAAUCAAUAUAGAAACAUAGUCAAGUUAGAGAUCUUUUGACCUUAAUUAAAUAGAUCGUACCUAAUUUAAUAAACUAACCAAAUUUAAUAAAUUAUUAAUUCACGUAUAUAAUUCACUUUAAUUAUAUAAUUAUAUAAUUAUAAACAUACUAUUUAAACACGUCUGACACAGAAUAGAUAAACAAAUUAUAAAGUUUACCAGUCACGUAGGUGUUAUAAAAAUAAUUAUUCUUUCAAAGACUACAAAUUUACCCAAAACAAAAAUUAAUAAAGUAUAGGUUGAAAUAUCAUUUUAUUCAUUGUAAUUUGAACCUUUUUCAAUAUGAGUUAAUUAUACCUUUAAAUGUCUAAUAUUAAUACUUGUACUUACCAUCAAUAUUAUAUUAAAACCUUCGAAAAAUUAUUAAAACCUGUUAAAUAAUAACAAUAACUUUCAUAUAAUAUGUAAUAUGUUUUCAAAUUGUAUAUUAAAAUGCUAAUAGAUACGAACAAGAAUUUGAAAAUCCACGAUCCACCCGAAAACACCAAUUAAGACAAAAUUUAAAAUUGGUUUAAAAUUACAAUAAUUAAAAAUGGACGAUUGAAAUGGUAUAGAUUAUAAUUGAAUAACUUUCCAAUAGUGUUUGAACCUAAAUUAAAAUACAAUUAUUUGGUAAUUUGGGUUGAAAUUAAAAAAAAAUCACACAUUCCAAAUCUGGAAAAUGAGUAUUUUGAGAAGUAUGAAAAAUGAGAUUCAAAUGUAUUUGUAGAAGAGCAAGUUAUAUAUCACUGUUAUAGGACAUCAUCGAUCAAAUCUGGAUUUGUGGACUUUGAUUUUGAAGUUAAUAGAAUAGGAACUACAUCAUCGUCCAAUCUCUUAAAUUUGUCAAAAACUUUGAAAUUAAUGAGUUUAAGUAGAUUCUUACAUCGCAGACUUGUUCCAAAUUUUAAAAAUAAAUUAUUGAGAGAAAGGAAAAAAAGAAAUGUAAAAGAAUCCCCACCUUCAAGACUAAUUUAGUGGGUAUAAAUGAAAAUGGAAUAAAUAGUACAAUGUCCAAUUUGCCAAAAGAGUGAAAAAGGGAAAUGAAUACUUUUACCUUUUUCAUUUGAUACCCGAUGUCCGUUAAGGAAUUGAAAUUAAAGGCUUAGGGAGGUAGAUGAAUAUUAGUAAGAAAAAUUAAAUCUUCAUAAAUGUUCUCUUUCUUUUUUCUUUUUACAUAAAUACCCAACGUCCGAUUGUAAAAGGUAGCUAAAAAGUUUUAUGAUAUAUGCGAUUAAUUAAAAUCUUAAUUAUUUCUUAAAGAUCAAAGUCCUCUCAAAUGGAAAUGGUAAUGGAAAUAAAUCGUAUUUUUCAUUUUAUGAAAUGAAUGUAUUUAUUACGAAUUAAUUUCCAUCUUUACAAUUUACAAAAUUCCCUUUAAAUUGGACAGUCCCCAAUUUCAUUUUCCUCACCAACACAAAAACCUCGGAAUAAAAAAAGAAAAGGAAAAUAGUAAUCUGUAGAACACAAUCACAAUGCCUAUCUUCCCCAAGCUUCUUGCUGCCCUUCUUGUCCUCUCUCUCAUUUCCACAGGUAUAACUAUAUGGCAUUUCAACUCCAUUUUGUCCUUUUCUUUAUUUAUCCUAACCAUUAUUCUCUUCCAAGUCAUUCCACUUUUUUCUUUUUCCUUUCCUAUAAAAGCAGUUUUAUGAUUAGGUGUGAACAUACCUUUUCUAUAUUCUUCUUUUCUUAAAAAUAAUUUCGCUUAUAGUACUCCUAAAUAAUGUUUUAAAAAAAUCAUUUUUCCCCUUAUCAUUGAAAAGAGAAACUCUUUAGUGUCUUUUCUGAAAGAUGGAUCGUUAAACAACAAAAACUUGUAUCAUGUUAAAUCAGCAAUUAACUCAUUAGAGUAUGGUUAAACAUUCAAAUAUAAUUGUGUUUAAGUAACUGAAGAUUGAGAUACUGAGAGCUUAUGAUUGGUUUCAGGAAACUGCCAAUGUUUUUUGAACAACAUAAAAAUCAGCCAAAGCAUGACAGGAUUUCAGAUCCAUGGAAUGACAGAAUGGAAAGUAACAAUAACCAACAACUGCAUAUGUUCUCAAUCUGAUUUGAAACUAGACUGCAAAGGCUUUGCAACUACUCUAAGCAUCGAUCCUUCCAUCUUAGCCAUCUCUGAUAGCGAGUGUUUAGUCAACAAUGGCCAACCUAUUUUCAAUUCCAGACCCAUCACCUUCAAGUAUGCACAAAGCCCCAAAUUCAAUUUCAAGCCUCUCUCCUCCCAGAUAUCUUGUUCUUAAAAAUCUUAUUCAUUUUUUACUCGGUUCAAAAUUAGUGUCUUUAGACACUUUUAUAAUAAUAAAAACUUAUCUUUAUUUAUUUUGUUUUGUUAAGUUAUCCAUUAUUACAAUUGUUUCACGAAUUCCCAAUUUGCGCAUAUGACGUUGCUUGAACCACGUUAGAUUAGACCAUGACUUGCAAAUUAAAAUACCUUUGAAUAUAAUACAGAAGGAAGAAGAAUAAUCUAAAUCCAUAAUUUUUUCCAACUUGUAUUCGUCAAGAUAAUGAAAUAUACGAAAAUUCGGAAGGAUCGUUUCUAAGAAAUUUCGAAGAAAUAAUGAAAAAAGCACAGUGGACUUGAAAGUUUCAUUAACUUUUCAAUUGACUAUUAUUAUUAUUAUUAUAUUAACUUCGAUAUUAUCUAAAAUGGUUUUACGCGUAUGGGACGAAAAAGGGUUUAUCACGAUGAAAUGGACACUCCCUUUUUUUCAAAAUGGGAUAUAAGAAUUUCUUAAUCCAAAACGGGAAUAAUUUUCCAUUACUUUUUAAUUAUCAUUUGAUUUGGUUAAUUGUACCUAAAUUAGAAUUAUAUCAGAUUUUGUGUACCCAUGAGGUUGUAGAAGAAGUUGAAUGUCCACCCUACAUGAAAAAAUGUUUUGACUUAUCAUCUCAUUUAAUAAUCAUUUACACACAACGUGUUAAUACCAUGUUUCUAAGAAAAAAAUUUGUUCUUAUUAUUAUUAUUUUUUUCUAAAUGCAUUGUAUUACAAGCCAAUUAAUUAGUUUGGCUGAUGUUGACUAUUAUUAAUUGUUAUAACUUGAUGAUGAAAAUAAAAUUUUAUAUAUGACUAUAAUAACAUACUUGGAACUCCUAAUAUUGUUAUUGUAUGUUUAAACAUGUGGUAAAAAUGUUAAUUUAUUGUUGAAAGAGCUCUACCUAACGUCUUUUAUCAAGCCAUCGUCAUAUUUGCUGGAUUCAACGUAAGAACACCUUUUUCUUUCUUUGAAAAAAAAGAUACAUAUGCUAAUUUGUUCAAUACAAUAAAAUAAUGCUACACUUCUCGAUUAAGUUAACAAAGUUUUUUUUUUUUUUUUUUUUUUUUUUUUUGUAUGGCGGAUUGAAUUUUCUUUAAUGAACAAUUAAUAUUAUUUAGUAGAUUAAUCGAGAAUGAGCCAUUAUUUUAUAGUUUAUAUAUAUCAGUUAUGUUUGUUUUUGGCACUAUCGAGGUAAGUAGAAAAUGUAAAAAAGUUCAAAUGAAAAUGUCGCAGCCGCUGCCUUGGACCAAGAUUUGAUUGGGUCAAAGUCAUGCAGGAUAUUUAUAUAGAACCAAUGCUUUCCCCAAAGCAUCAACCUCAAUGAUUUUUAAGCCUUUUGGGUUUUAGAAGAAGCACUCAAACGAUUCUAACAAUGGCUUCGCCGUUACAAAGUACACGAUACCUCUUAAUUCUUCUCUCCUUUGUCUUCUUCUUACUACAAUCUCAAACUGCAGAAUCAAGAACUCUGAACUAUAAAUGGGAAGUGAAAUCUGAAUUGAAGUCCCCCGAUUGCUUUAAAAAAGUUACCUUGACCAUUAAUGGCCGAUCUCCAGGUCCCACUAUCUACGCCCACCAAGGUGACACCGUCAUCGUUGAGCUCAAGAACAGCCUCUUUACCGAAAACGUGGCUAUCCACUGGCAUGGAAUUCGACAGGUACCCCUAAAUUUUCAUUUCUCUCCAUAUUUUUCUUCGUUAGUUUUAUAGUUCUUCUUUCUGACGUGCUCGUACAUUUGAAGAUCGGAACACCAUGGAGCGAUGGAACAGAAGGUGUCACUCAAUGCCCUAUUUUGCCUGGUGAAACCUUCAGAUAUCAGUUUGUUGUAGACAGAGUAAGAGAUACUUGACUUACUCGUUUUGUUUUGUGUCUCUCAAAAACUCCAUGCUUUAAUUUGAGUUUGACCUUUGUGAAAUUUGAAAUCUGCAGCCAGGAACUUAUCUAUACCAUGCCCAUUAUGGUAUGCAGAGAGAAGAUGGUCUCUAUGGAUCCAUUGUGGUUUGGGUUCCAGAAGGACAAACAGAGCCUUUUUCCUAUGAUCUUGAUCGUAACCUCAUCCUCACAGAUUGGUAUCAUAAAAGCAGCCACGAACACGCCACUGGAUUGGCUACCCCUGGCUCUGGAUUCAACUGGGUGGGAGAGCCUGAUUCACUGUUGAUUCAAGGAAGAGGGAGAUUCAACUGCUCUAUUCUGGGAUCUUCCAGUGGUACCUGCAAUUCAUCGAGCACAGAAUGUGUUCUUCAUCCAUUAACAGUCGUACCGGGAAAAACUUACCGAUUAAGGGUCUCCAGUCUCACUUCUCUUUCAGCUCUCAGUUUCCAAAUUGAGGUAAUUACAAGUUCAUCUACUUGAUUUCAUGUACUCUCCUUGAAAUUCUUCUUAAAUGGCUUAAACUGAUAAACUCUCUGUUUUGGAAACAGGGUCACACCAUGACUGUGGUUGAAGCUGAUGGGCAUUACGUUGAGCCAUUUCAAGUAAACAAUUUGUUCAUUUACUCAGGAGAAACAUAUUCCGUUUUGAUAAAAGCCGAUCAAGACCCUUCUAGAAACUACUGGAUCACAACCAAUGUGGUGAGCCGAUCAAGAACCACCCCCCCUGGAUUAGCCAUUUUCAAUUACUACCCAAAUCACCAGAGUAGACUCCCUCCGACAACUCCUCCAGCACCACCUGCUUGGAACGAUGUUACUCCCCGAUUGGCUCAAAGUCAAGCCAUCAAAGCCCGGCAAGGUUUUAUCCACACGCCGCCCAAAGCCGCCGAUAAAGUGAUCGUGCUUCUCAACACCCAAAACACCGUGAAUGGCCGUCGCCGGUGGUCGUUAAAUAACGUUUCCUUCAAUAUGCCUCAUACCCCAUAUCUUAUUGCUCUAAAGCACAAUCUUCUCCAUACAUUCAGCCAGGAAAAACCACCCACUGGAUACGAUUUCAAGAACUACGACAUUUUUAAUCCGGCGCCCAACCCUGAAGCGACGGUAAGCGACGCCAUAUACCGGUUGGACUUCAAUUCAACUGUGGACAUCAUACUACAGAACGCCAAUAUGAUGAGCCCAAACAACAGCGAAACACAUCCUUGGCAUUUGCACGGACACGAUUUCUGGGUUUUGGGGUACGGAGAAGGGAAAUUCGAUCUUUAUAAGGAUCCAAGCAAGUACAAUUUGGAGAACCCGAUCAUGAAGAACACGGUGCCGUUGCAUCCAUAUGGAUGGACCGCUUUGAGAUUUGUGGCGGAUAAUCCUGGUGUCUGGGCUUUCCACUGUCACAUCGACGCGCAUUUCUUUAUGGGAAUGGGUGUAGUUUUUGAAGAAGGGAUCGAGAGGGUUGGAAAAUUGCCUACUUCCAUUAUGGGAUGCGGGGAGAGCAAGAGGUUCUUGAGACCUUAACUCAUUUCCAUUCCGAUUACUAUUCUUUAGAAAAACACAAAGAAUAUUCUUUUAUGUUUAGCCAAAUUUUUUGUGCUGAUUGAGAGUCACUAUGAGUGUAUAGGUAAAUGUUAUUGCUACUUAAUAAGAAGAAAUCGUAAUAGUUUCUUAAAUGAUUUAAAUAACAAUACCAUUGUUAUGUUGUUUAUUUGGACUACUAUUGGGAUGUUGUGUGUGUGUGACUUUUGUUGAUAUCAACUGCUCCUUUUAUAUAAAAUUUCAGUUAUUCAUUCAAUUAUGACAAUAAAGUUUAUCAUUUUAGAGGUUUAGAUAUCACAUCUCAUUCCACUAAAGAAAAAGUUUUACAAUUCACCUUUGAUUUGUGAACAAUGAUUUAUCAAUUUAGUUCAUUAUUUUGUUCUUUUUACUAAAUAUAUUAUUAAAUGUUAAUAGAACUUUUGACCUGUAGUUAUAGUUAACAAGUGCAUUGAAAACCAAAUUUUUGUUUUUAUAAACUAUAAAGACUACACAUUCAUACGUUUAAGAUUUCACUUAAUUUUGAAAAGAAAUUUUUAUGUAUUUAAUGCCAUAAUUAAAAUUUGAGCCUAAAAAGCGUUAAGGCUUAAACUUCACAUACUAAAUUAUGAGUUCAAUGUUGGAAGCCUUUUUUAAAAUAAAAAAGUUGACCAAAAGAAUAUGACUAAUUUAAAAGAAGUAGAAGAAAACAAUUGGAUGUUUAAUUUAUAUGUAUUUUCAUAUUGAAGUGCAAUUUGCAAAACGUAACUUAAACAGGUUUUUUGCUUCUAAAAGAUGGAAAGUAGUAGGUUUUAAGGAGGGUGACAAUCACAGCCCACAGGAAUGACCAAAUGUUUAAUAUUUAUAAACUAGAGAUGAAAGGCAACAGUAGUGACCAAAUGUUUUAUUUAUUGUUUAUUUCAACUUUAUCCUUUACAGUAAGGGACACUCUUUUCCUAUUUUUUUAUCCUCAAGUUUUUGUAGUAUUAGAUCACUAAUAUUCAUCCCUUUUCAGUAUAUCAUUUGGUCCAAAGUGUAGUAACUCUACCAAUUAAUUGAUAUAUCUAAAUAUCAACCUUUAAUAUUCCACUCUCACAAUUCUCUCUUUUAUUUUUCUUAAUUAUGAUUUUUCUCUUCUUCUAAUUUUAUUUCCACUUCAAUUUCUUUCAUUUUCGCCACAAAUUUGUUAUUUUAUUUUUUCAUUUUCUUUUUAUCUUCUCACAUUUACAUAUUUUCGAUUAUGGAUAUUUCAAUAAUGUUAGUCUUGCUAAACAAUCUUUAAGUAUGUUAGUCGUAUAUCCAUAGUGUAUUAUCAAUUUAAUCCUAAACCAUUAUUUGUUUUUUUUUCCUUCUUAUAUUUUUAACUUAGUCUAACAUCUAACAUGACCAUCUAUAAAUUCAAUUUUGAGGUUGAUUUAAAUAAAGAAAACCCUUUUCUUUCUUCUUCCUCCUCUCUUUUUUCUUCUUGUUGAUUGUGGUUGCAAGCAUACGACGAAGAAUAGGGCAAAGCUUCUAGUAUCGGGUAUGAGAUGAAGCUUUCAACGUUAUUUUUUUAUUGGUCAUUCAUCCAGUUGACAACAUAAGUUUUAGAUGAGAUAAAGAUUGAGAGAGUUCUAGAUAUAAAACCAAUGAAUAAAUGUACAUAUGUAUAAUCGUUUAUUUUAUAUAAACGAUAAUGGUUAUUGUCGUUAACAUUUGCGUAUAUUUUUAAAUAAACAAUAAAAUAUUUUAUAGUCAACUUAAGAAAUGAAAAAUAUAUAUUUAUUUAAAUAUUUUUAAAUAAACAAUCAAACAUUUUAGAGUCAACAUAAAAAAUGAAAUGGAAAAUAAAAUCAUGUUAAAUGUCAUCUUAUCUCUUCAAAUGAAAAUAGAAAAAAAAUUAUAUUAAAUGCCUUUUCACUCAAAAUAAGAAAAUAUUAUACUAAAUACAUUUACUCUCUUUUUAAUAAACCCUUAUAAAUGUAAUUUGUGUCUCAUCACUAAAUAAACAUUGAAAAUAGGAAAACAUAUAUUAAUAAAGUUAUUGUGAAACUAUAAAAUCCUUCCUCGAAGAUUUUGAAACUUAAAAUGAGAUUUUUGGAUUUUUAGGUAAAAUAUCUGAUUAAUUAAUUUAUAUUAUAGAGAAUAAGUAUGAGUCUGUUGGCCCAAAAGCCCAAAAGCCCAAAAGCCCAAAAGCCCAAAAUCUCAAAGGCAAUCUUCUCAAUAGGUGGAGGCUCUUAUCCAAAUCCAAUGGCCCAUAUUUUGCACUUGUGGGGCCCUACAGUUCGCCAUAUCUAUCCUAAGUGCGCAUUCAUUCAAACCACUGCCUCAAACAAACAUCACACUGUUACAACUUACCAUUGCCACCUUCACUUUAUUCAAGCUUCACAUACACCUCAAUCUGAUCAUACUAAAAUGGCACUUUCCCCAUUAACCUUCACAACCCCAAGACCUCAAGCUUCCCAAAUUUUCUCCCCCAAGUUAUCUUCCACUGUUAAACCCACAUCUACUUCUUCUUCUUCUUCUUCUUCUUCUUCUUCAGUUUCUGCUACUAAGAAGGCAAUAUCUAACAUGGGCAUUGGCCUUCUUGCUGCUUCGGUUUUGGCUCUUUCGCCCUUGGAUGCAAACGCUACCAGAAUUGAAUACUAUGCCACUGUUGGAGAACCCCUUUGCGAGUUCAACUAUGUGCCUUCCGGGCUUGGCUAUUGCGACAUCGCCGUCGGAUCCGGUGAGGAAGUUCCUUAUGGUGAGCUUAUCAAUGUCAGUUCCGAUCUUCAAUCAUCCACUUCUUGUUUCUCAUUUUACUUUUCUUCGCAUCAUCAAAUUCUACCCUGCUUUUAUAUGACUGCUUGUUUCCGUCCAACUUCUCCUGCAUUGCUUCGUUGCAGUGGAAUGUGCAAUUCCCGCCAAUAGUAUAUCAAUCUAAUAUGUGUCUCUCGUUUUUUGCUGAGUUUGCAUGUGGGUUAUUUUUCUUAAUAUGUAUAUGUUGUGUCACGUGUUGCAAUGAACUGCAAUUCACUACGUUUAAUUUCCCCAUUCCACGCAUAAGGGAUUUUAUGAUAUGUUUUUGCGUUAUUUUACCGUUCAAAUGCAGGUUCACUACACUGCAAGGUUUGCUGAUGGGAUAGUGUUUGACAGUAGCUACAAGCGUGGUAGAUAUCUCACCAUGCGUAUUGGUGUUGGCAAGGUAUUGAUCAAGUGUUUUGUACAGCUUCUUAAGGUGCAUAUGGGCUUGAAAAGUUUGGCCAAUUUGUUUAAGUGCGAGCGGCUACAGGCUUUGAGAGUAAUGAUACUGUUUAAGAGAAAAGUGAUGAAAAUAUAUGUAUUUUAGGUCAUUGGUAACUUAGUCCAUUUCUGCACUUUCCAGAUCAUGUCGUUUCUUUAGGAAAACGUAGUUGAGCAGAAUUCAAUUGUACUUAUAACUAUGAGAAAAAAAAAAAGCAAAUUUAAUUAGAGUAAAACGGUCAGCAGAAUAGCUUUUCUAGGAUUGAGGAACAUCUCUCUUUGUCCCAUCUUAAUAAAAUACGCACCUUGCUGCAUCAACUUGGUUGACAAUCACCUCCCUAUAUGCAACUAUCUUCUAAGAGACCUUGUGUGGAGUUAGUUCUCCUACAAAUCCCAAUUGUUUGUUGACGAGGAUGUAGAAAGAAAGUGGUGGGUUUCUUUAACGAUUUGACAAGGAAAGAGCUGGAUGAGAGUGGAGGCAAGUCUGUUACCAACAUGGGAGGAUCAGGGUACUGAGAAUUUUCCUUCUCAUGCCUAGAUUAGGAGCAAGAUACUAUUUGUAAAACAAACUUUUAAUUUACUUGCAACCAAUCAAUAGCCAUUAUAUGGAUAAAUAAUUCAUUACCUUAGCCACUAACUAUAACUACAUUCAUUUCACCUUGUGGUGAGUGUGGGACCGUGGGUAACUGGGUGGGUGUAGUUACUUACCACAUUGACUCAUCGGAAAGGGACUAAAGUUGAUAAGAUUGUUGCCAGGUAAUAAGAGGAUUGGAUCAGGGAAUAUUAGGGGGUGAAGGAGUACCACCAAUGCUAGUAGGUAUGUCUACUGACGCAAUGAGUAGAAUUUUGUGGUUUUCUUUUUUUGCUGGUUUGCUUCUAAGAAAUUAUUGCCCCUCUGAUUUUGCCUAGGUGGCAAACGUAAGCUUCAGAUUCCUCCACAUUUAGCGUAUGGACCAGAACCAGCAGGCUGUUUUUCAGGUUGAAUUCUUUGAACUGAACUGCUUUGUUUUGCGUGUUGGCUAUCUAAAUUUUCGUGACAAUGUUGCAAGCUGUCUGUAGUUGCUUCUGUUGGCAAGUUAACGGUAGUUUAUUUUGUGCAAAUGCAUUAUAUGUUAGUGUGUAGUUGCUUUGCUCCAGAUAUCUCUUUUUGAUACUGGUGAAACCCAAGUACCAAUUAACUAAUGGACUCUGUUAAUGCCAUUUGUGUUGCCUUUACAGGUGAUUGCAAUAUACCUGGAAAUGCAACUCUUGUGUAUGAUAUAAAUUUCGUUGGAGUCUACUCAGGAAAUAGGAAGUGAUGGAAACAAUACCCAAUUUCCUACAAAAUUCUUGUAGAUAGACAACACAGAGUAAGUGAUUUUCUGACUUUUCUAAAUGUUCAAUCAUAUCAACCUAUCCUUUGUUUGGUUUCUCUUUUAAGUUGUGUUCACAGCUCAGCUAUCUUAACACACCCAUUUGUUUUUUGGUCCAUCUCAUACAGUAGAAUCACAACAAUUAUCUCAGUAGUGUCUCAGAUUCCAUUUCAUGCUUCCUGCUUCAUCUAUUGUUCAUCAUACACUUUUUCCCUCUUGGUUUCCCAGAACUUAAGUUGAAGCUAAACCACGAGCCAAAAGAAGUGCAUUUCUCUCUGGAUUUUCCAAGUAUGUGGAACUCAAGCUUGACUCUUAAGGCAGAAUACUUGGUUUUCUCCAACUAACCACCAGCAGGACUGGCAAUCCUUUUUAGGUGAAAAUCCAGCUAGGCAUGGUUGAAAUUGCUCAAUUCAAACGUAAUUGACCAAAACUAUGUAUUUGGUUGUUUUACAAGAUUAUGACUGUAUUUCUAUGCACGGAUACUAUUAUACUUUGUAAAAGCACGUCUUGUUUCUGAGUACUUCAGUAACUUUAUGCAAAUGGAAUCUAAUGACCGCAUUUUCUUUGAACACAUUCUUUUUUAAUAUGAUCGAAUUGUCAAUGAACACAAAAUUAUUAAACAUAGAUCACCCUAAUUUUUUCUCACCGCGAUUUUUCUUUAUGCUACCUUUGGAUAUGAGAAAAAGGUUAACGGAAAAAAAAUGUUCCGAAAGCCAAAAGCAAAGAAAGCAGGAUUCUUUCCUCACGUUUGGUGAAGAGAGAGAACCGGAAAGGAAGCCUUGGCUUGGCCUUUUUCUUCGUUUGCUGGGACCAAAUGCCGUUUGAAAUAAUUUGAAUUUUGUGUUCAAAUUUUUAGGCUCUUUUCCAAACCGAAAGUAAGUGCAAAUGUAUAGCCAUACUGCUCCUUCACAAUUCAUUAACUUAAUAAUUUCCAGUCCUUUAAAAUAAAGCGACUUUGGUUUUCUUCUUUUUUCCUUUCCUCUAACAGUUAAUAACCAGGUUGGAAUCUUGUUUUCUUUAGGUGAAAGAACAGCUGUGGGGAAGCCAAAGUCGUCUCACAAACAGAAAAUUACAACAUCAUGAAAUAAAGUAAUCUCUUACAUCAGCUAGUAACAACUAACAACCCCAAAUAUUCUAAUUACUCAUCCAUCUAGUUGACCAUUUCUUCUUCACAAAUGAUUGAACACACAGUAAUAUAUAUCAUUACCAUAAUUAUUGAGGUGUUUGACAAAAAUUUAGCAGAAGAGAGAUAUAUAGAGAGAGGUACAAAACAGGAGACUUGUUUUAGCUGCAAAGAAUUACAUGACAGAGCAAGCAUUUGGGUUGUCAUCACUGAACAUGUUGAUGUAAGGAUCUUCAUAUUUGGUAACAGAAGCAGUAGUGGCAGUUUGCUCCACAUUUCUUACAUACCCCGGUGGUGCCUUCUUAUCAUAAGCCUGAGCAAUGUAAGGCUGUGACACUAAGCUGUAGGGAACAUAUGGCCAUAUCUCAGCCUUUUUCCCUGUAGACUUCGCCUUCUUCAGUAUCUUGCUUGCUUCAACAUACCCCGUAACUGUCACUUUCUGCUGCUUCCUGUUUAUCUCCACAGAUUUUACCCCUUCCAAAGUUCAAAAGCAACUGCAUUUUGUUAGAUAGAGAGAAAAGGAAGAAGUAAAAACACAAAAGGGUUGAGUUUCUUUAGACAUAACAUACCACUGAGUGAAGAGAGGGCAUUCUUGACCUUAAGUUCACAGCCAUCACAGUCCAUUCUGACUUUCAACUCCACGGUUUGAAGCUGUUUCUUCUUCUUGUGUUUAUGGGUGUUACCCACCAAAUCUGACAAGUACUCCAAAGUCCCACCAACACCCAUUUUUCACUCUUUAAUCGAUGUAGUUGAAAAGGGAAAGGGACAACAGAAGCUCACAGAAGCAAAAACCAGAGUUGUAGAAAGAAAUGGAAACGUAAGUUUGGGUAGAAUGAUGGAUCUUUCUCUUUAGUCUUUACCUUCUCUUCAAGCAAACAAGCAAAGAAAAGGGCAUUAGAAACAAAGGCUGCUUUCUCUGGUUUUGAGAUGGUUAUAUGAAAGGAAACAGAGCUCGUUAUAUAGCCAUCUGGGUUACAUUUUAAAACUAAAGGAAAAAGGGUUGUGUUUUGGUUGUGGCCCCCCAAUCACCAAAAAUAAUUUGGCUUAGGAAGCUUGGUUCUUUUUUGUUGCUGUGGACGUUGCAUUUUUACUUUAAAAUGGCAAUUCUUUUAAGAUUAUGAAUAUAUUAAAACAAAUCUAUAUGCUUUUCUUAAUGAAGAGGUACUUUUGGCUCUAUCCUUUGGAAGAUUGAUCGCCUUUAUUCCAGUAAUAAAAUUAAGUUUAAUUUACAAAUACCAAAACAAAAAUAUAGAAAACAAAUUUGCAAUUUAACCUAAAACUAAAACCAAUUGGGCUGUCAUUUAUGGAGUGAAGCUGAAUUCAACAAGUUUUAAAAACCAACGCUAUACCAAAAAUGUCACCGCCAUCUUUACCUUAAUGCAUGAGGAGUCUUCUUAAUUUAGUGGUUUGCAUAAUUUUAAUUUAAUCUCAAUUUUUUCACGUAACUUUUUAAAACUAUUUCAUCUUAAACUCCAUUAUAAGAAGCUUGAAGGUGCAUGGUGGUCGGUAGGUGAUUAGAUCAAUUUCAAUUUUAACCUUAGUUUUUAAUUAAAUGGGUUUGGCUGGCUUAAACAACAAGUAGUAACAACAGACAGAUAUGUUGUUAGGAAGAGAAGUAUGUUAUGUUAUAAUAGUUGAAAAGAAAAAGUAGUGGUCAUGUCGUUUUCUGAACAACAUAACACUAAACAUAUAUAUAAAAAAAUAAAGACUUGGGAUUAUUUUAGUUUUCAUAAACAAUAAUUUUAGUGUUUGUUUGAAAAGUGUUGUGUUGGGGACUUGGGGGUGGAGAGAACCCGAAGGAAGGAAAGUGGGCAGCAGCCUCCUUCCUUGUAUGCAAUUGCAAAACUUAAGUCUUUUUCAAUUGUAUUCUUCUAAAAGUUUUAUAAUAAUCUUUCCCUUUUCAUUUCUGUUUUUAUUGUGUAUAUUUAUUGGUUUUUCACAUGGACAGGUUAAUUGGCUUUGAUUAAAUCUUUAAUACUACUACUAAUCACUGAUUGGAGCCACAAAUGUUGAUUACUUGAGUGAUUUAGAUGAUCAAGAUUUUUCAAAAAUUAAGUCAAAUUAAUUUUGACUUAAUUUGUGAAUCCAGAAAUGUGGUUUGGGAUGUGUGUAAAAAGAUCAUGAUGCUGAUUCUUUAUUCUAAUAGAGGAAGGAAGUAAAAUGGGUGUGGCUAAUCUUACCAUUUCUUCCUCUAUUCCUUUUCCUCCACUUUCUAUUUUGUCUUCAAACUUCUCCCCUAAUAAGCACACAUUUAAUAAAGUCACUCUAUCACACUAUGUACUUUUUUUGGCCACGAAUAUUUUUCAUUUCAUCAUGCAACCUCUUUUUUUAUAUAUAGUAAUUAUAGCUACAUUAAUAACUUUGACGGGACCCCCAACUUAUAAUUAAUUAAUUAGCUUUCUAUCAAAUUAAAAAUAAAAACGGUAUUAGAUUAUAUCUAUCCAUGAAAAAAGAUAAGAAAAUUGUCAUGAUCUUUAAAACAUAAACCGACACUAGAGAUCUAACUUUACAUCUCAUAAAAUCUAAUAAAACUAAAAAUGAUGGUAAUUAUAAUUUGGUGUUUAAUUAACUUAGAAUAAUAAUUUGUCCAAAAAGGUAGACAUGAGAUGGGAUAGGACAAAGGCCUGUGCAAAGGAAAAACUGUUCCAACUCUUACACAAAACUGGGACCUUCAAUGUGAAGAUAAGAAUAUUAUUUCUCAUUAAACUAACCACCAUUCUUAUUCUUCAAAAUAUUUAGUAACCAAAGACAGAGAUUUAAAUUAUUGGUUACAAGUUAUUAUUAAUGCAUAUGUUUAAUAAAGAAAAAAAGAAAGAGGAAAAAGGGGAUUCACAAACAAUCCAUCUUCUUGUAGCUUUUUUAUUUUGGAGGUUUGGUUUUGUUAGACAAAGAGCAUUGUCUUUUUUAUUUAUUCUUUUCAAUGGAACAACAACUUUUUAGAAUUGGGAAAAUAAAGGUGACUUUCUUCUUCACCACCACCACCACCUCUACCUCCCAAACACAAUUAUUGCUAUACAUUUUAGCUCUCAUUCCUAUUCCUAUCUAUACUAUGAUUAAUUAUUCAACCUUCUCACUUUCCUUUUUCUUUUGUAAUAUUUGAAUUUACACAAAUUUGACGAUCUCACAAUCUCAUUCGAUAGUUUUUUCAUUUUUCGUUCUGGUGUACUUUUUUCACUUAAAACGCGUAAAAGAUAAUGAAAAUGGAGGGUUAAAUUUGUAAAAGAAAUUAAAUAUAAAGGAAAAACCCUUUAGUGUAUGAGGUAAGUAUCACAUUGUACUAGUCUUUUCUAAUGAUUUCUUUUUAAGAUGACGACAUAAUUUAAAUGUAUCUAUUCUUAUGAAGCUUAAAUUAGUAACAAAAUCAUUCCAUGGCCUUGUUUUUUUUCUUUGGAAUUGUUCAUUUGUACUUUAGAAUAAUUAUAGAACCGAAUUUAUGUAGUCUAAAUUGAUUUGUGAGAUUAUAUUAUAAAAAUUUAUAUAGUUUAAAGGUCUAAAUUGAUUUGUGAGAUUAUAUUAUAAAAAUUUAUAUAGUUUAAAGGAGAUUUUAUAAUUAUGAUUUUACAACAUAACAUGGCAUAGCUAGAAUUAUAUUAACUUUUAGCAAUGGCUUAAACACAAUAACCAAAGUUGGCUUUGGACAUUAUUUCAUGAAAAAAGAAAGUUUUGUUUCUAAUGUUUGUUUUGACCUCAUGAAUAAGAACAGCACACGACUCCUUUUUAUAACGUUUUGGUUAUAACUUUUUUGUACUUUAAGGGAUUGGGCUUUUUUUCUGCCCUUGAUUUCUUGAUUUAUGUUUUUACUUUUUCAAAAAAAGAUUAGAAUUUAUAUUUGAUGCAGAAAGUCAAAAUUUAAAAAGAAAUUGAAAGCUAUUGUUUUGCUAGAUUGUCUUUUUCUUAAAAAAAAAGAAAAGAAAAGAAGAAGAUUAAGUGAAUUAAUAAACAAAUAUAUUUGAUAUUGAAAAAGAAGAUAGCUGUAUAACACAUGCAAUCAAUUAUUGUAUGGUGAACAGUUUGGGUAUUCAUCUAAAAUGCUUAAUUGUUCUUACUUGAUUUAAAUUAAUAUAUAAAGAAAUUGUAAAAAAAAUAAUUAAGUUAGAAGAUAACAAAAAGGGGAUUAGUAAUAUGGAUGUAGAAAUGAAUUAAAAAGUGGUGUGUUGGGGAAAUGAAUAGAGAAGGAAUUGUUGUGUGAAUGAAAUAAUUAGAAGUACUUUGGUGUACGCGGUGUCAGGUAAUGAAGUUCACUCAUUGAUAUAUAUAAUAAUAAGAUGAGUCCUCUUCCCUACAAUUUCAAACAAUAAUUGAAAUUUGGAAACGAUGUGGCCUUCACGCACACGAAGGAACCAUAAUCUAUAUAUAUAUAUUAAAAUGAAAUAUUGGUUAGUUCUAAAAUUAGUUUGUAUUAUUGGGUUCCUCAACUUUAAAAAUUUAUAAUAAGUCUUUAACAUUGAAAAUCUAAAAUAUCUAUUUGAUUUUUUAGGCAUUGUUAUCUACCUUUAUUAAAAAAAUUAGGCCCCUAUGAUAACUAUACUCAAACUUUAUUACUUUCUUAUCUACAUUUUAUCUAUGGAUUAAAAAUCAAACCAAAAUUUGAAAAUUAAAAAGAAAAAAUAACUGACAAAAAAAAUGUUUUCUGUUCUUCAAAUUUGACUAAGAAUUUUAAUCUUUGUAUUUGAGAAAGAAUGCAAAUUAUUGUAAGAUAGGAAAAGGAAAUAGGUAUAAUUAUAUAUAUAUAAAGCAAAGCCGAAAGAAGAAAUGGUUACGAAGUGAAAUUAAAAUAAAUAACAAAUAAUAAGGUUAGGAGAAAUAAAGAGUAAAGAUUAAGAAGGUAGUAAACUAACGGUAAUAUAUAUCAGAAGAGGAAAACAUAUAGAUAGAAGAAUGUAUAGCUACAUAACCAAAAAUGCAACGACUAUCAUCGACCCCCAUUGGAUGGCUCAUAUAAUGCCCCAAAAAAAAAAAAAAACUAAGAAAAAAGAAAGAAAAGAAGGAAAAUGCCAUUGAUGGAACUUGCAAGGACACAAGAUCUACAUGUCGUCCUUGCUGGGGGGAAGAUAGAUGUAAAGAGACUACCUCCAUUUACAUGUAAAACUUACUUAGAUAAAGCUCAGAAUCUACAUCACACGCAAGAAGAAACAAGGCAGAGUGCUAGAAGAAGCAGGUGCGGCAAUCUGAUUGAAUAAAAUCUGGAUGGGAUGAAGCAUGGGGUAGCAGCUGAUGGUUUAGAAGGGGCCCUUCCAGCUACGGCAGGAGCCACCGCGUGCCCCCCUGAAGCGCUCUGCUGUUCAUCGGCUGGUAAUGGGUUUGGCGGUGUCUCUUUUGCAGGAGUAAGAGGCAUUUUCUUUUCGUUACUGAGAUCUUGACCUUCGACAUGAACAUGGUAGAAAUAUGAAUGGAAGUUCAUGAAACGAGUUUAUAAAACAAUGGAAAAGCCAUACUUUCAUUUAACAAACGAAAAUAAUAUACAAUGAACAAUACAAAAAACCAACCCAUAUGAAACGAAGCAAGAAAAAAAAUGAUGGUUAAGACAGUUCAAACAUUUUCUUUCGGUUUUAUCAUGCACAAGAUGUGGGCAUCAGUUAAGAAGCUGCAAAAUCAUGACAAGUAACUACUAGGAGAUGGAAAUCUUACAAUUUGCGUGUGACCAACCCAACUUCAAAUUAUCCCUAUCAAAUACCAUCCGGUAUCCAGUCAUGUAAUUUUCUGCACAAGACAGCAAUACAAAAUUACCAUUUUCAUUAGACGUACGAUUUACUGCACAUAUCGCAUAUAUCAUAUUAGCAAUCUAAAUUUGAGGAGACAUUGUGAGCUUACGUCCCAAUAUUCCGAUAUCUCCAUCAGCAGGUAGUAUAGCAAAACAAAAUCCAGCUAACCCCUGUAUGCAUAGUACUGUUUAGUAUUAACACAGGCAUUAUUUUCUUGUAUUAGAAGUGAUGCAUAGCAUGUGACUUCUUCAGGAUACUUAAAACAAUUAUAUCAUCUAUUGGAUAGUUAGAACUAGAGACUAACUGCUAGGCUGUAUCAAAGAAGAGGGCCCUACCUCAGCUUGAUAGUUUAAGCACACCUUAUUUUUUUUCUUUUAUUGUUUUAGUUCUUAUUCUUCGUUUCCUUGUAGUCUCUAGUUUCUGGAGUAUCUAAAGCUAUCAACUUCACUACUAUGUUUCACAGUUCGAUUUUUAAGUACUUUUAUGCCCACUAAAAGUCAAAGCUAUUCCAUUAAUGGCUAAUUAUGACAAAUUUCAAAGAUCAAGUCCACAUCUUCACCCAUAUUCACCAAAUCAAAUCAUGCACACUUAAACAUUCUUAGAAGGAAACUUCCAUCUACCUGAUCGCCAUAGAUAGGGAAUACAGGAUCAUGAACCACAAAACUAUUGUUUAGUGGAAACAACAAUGUCACAGAUGGAACCUUUGGCAUUGCGUCUGCACUGUUGGAAAAAACGAUAACAUUAAAGUUAGACAUGCACAAGGGUGGGGUUUAUGAAGGGAAAAGGAUUUUACUGGUUAUCCAUCUCAUCGAUAUCACCUGAUCUUAUAGCAAUACUUCCAUGGAUAUCCUUUAAAGGAGACGGCGCUUGUAGUGUUUAACCUUUUAUCAAACUAUGAAAAGGGGAACUGGUUAAAGGACAAACGAACGAUAAAUUAAGUACAAAGCUGAACUACAAAAUGAAUGUACCUCAAUCACAAUAUUUUCAUAAGCUUCCUCUGGAAGAUAUGUAAACGAUGUCCCACUAUCUAUCAAUGCUUUAAAACUUGUCUGCUUGAGGCACGAAUUCUCAAUACAACAUGCUUCCACCCCAACAAUGUAGGUUUCACUGAAAGAUUCAGGUAUCACAAGGACUUCAGUCGGCAUAUAUAACAAAACAUGAUCAUCAUAAACAUGGAGAUAAUUCAUUAUGGUAAUUACUAUUUCCCGUCUAAUGGCACAAAUGAAGUUGUUUGCUGACUUGCAGGUCCCUCGUCCCCAAAAAAGAUUCUUCCAGAUCCAUCCUCAUUAAAACACAGCGAGAAGGAAUUCUGCACCAAUUCUUCUUUCGCAAGGGAACUAAGAACAGAAAUUUCUCCUAACCCUAAUCCAAAAAGACCAUCUGGAGCGACUCCACUUAGAUAACCGCCGCUUUGUUUCAUACCACACCUGUAUUAGAGAGCAAAAAUGGGUAAUAUAAAUACAGUAUCCUUCCUUAUUGCUGCAGUUUACACACAGCAAACAAUUGGAGGAACAAAAUGUAGGAACAAUGGAUCAUACCCUAAAAUGACAGGAGCCUGAAUCGUACAAUUAGAUGAAUUCUCACAACCGGAUGAAAGAUGCAACACAUCCUGAAUUAGUAGUCCUGAACUUGAAGUAUUUUCAGUAAUGUAGUCAAUAACAUAAGGACAUGACUGCUUCGGACUUUGGCAGCUUUGGCCUGAGUCGCACAAAUUAUGGCUGCAAGAUAUAUGCUUGCUCGUGCUUGAACUGGAUGGACGGUAUUCAUUGAGAUCUUUAUCCUGCAUUAUAAAUAAUGCCCCAAACAUGAGGGAGCAGGAGCACCUGCCAAUCAAUCAUCGGAAAUAAGUGCUAAACUUGCUGUCUUAUUAAAAAGACUUCAUAAUCCACUAAUACAUUCGCGCCAAAAAUGAGUUAGCCAAUCUUUCAUCUCCGUCUCCCCUCGGGCAUUUUUUAUUUCCCAUUGGAACUGGCCAUGCCUUUCUUUUCCGCCAAAAAUCACUACAAGACUUCGAAUUCCAGAACACAAUUUGUCCAAGCAUAACCCUUGAUCUAACGGAAAUAAAAAGGCAAUAUGCUUGGGUAUAAAGCAUAAGUCGUGGAUUAGAAGUAAUUAAUGUUUAUGUGGAAAGAACAGAUUCUGAAAAGCAGGCCUACCAGACUGCCAUAGUAACUUGCAGACAAGGGAGCACAUUGUAUGCAAUUACAAGGAACCCAAAGUAGAUCACUCCCAGCAUCCAAUGCAACCAGAAAAGAAACACUCGGUGUCCCGAUAUCAAUCCAGGUGUAAUGCAACCUAUAAUACGUAAACAACAAGAUGAUUUACAAGUGCAUAAGAUAACAUUUUAUAACACAAAAUUUUCUCAUAAAGGUGCCACUAUGCAAAAAGCUAUUAGAAGAUGGUUUUUUUUCCUUUUUUGGUGUGUGGGGGAGAGAGAUUACUAAAAAAAAAAAAAAAAAAAAAAACAAACAAACAAACAGAAAAGUAAUGCAAAACGGAAGAACAAAAAAUAGCAAGAACAAAAAGGAGAAGGAAGGAAGAGUAACGGUGACCAGCCAAAAUCAUUUCCGAGCGCAAUGGUUUUACUGCCUUCAGACGGGAAAAGCAACUGAAACCGAGAACCAAGCUUCAUCUUCUGCCUCCGAAAGUCACCACUAACAAGCUCCUGAUAAUACUCCAUACUCCCCUUCUCAGGCCAUGAUACUCGUACACUCGUAUUCGUACUCCCUGAAGCCCUAAGGGCCUUCAUCUCCUCAGAGAACCUGUGAAGUAUCCUUGAUGUGAACGUAAUAGACACCACCUGGUGAACAAAAAUCACCAUCAGCAGCAACAAAAGCAGAUUCCGAAGCGACAUUGCAACUCAGUCCUUGAAAGGACGAAGGAAGUAGCUCGAAGACGAGAUCUGGAGGUUCAGAAGAAACCCACGAACAAUUCGGAGCUUUAGUUACCCGCCGGUGAACCAAAAUGAAAAACAGAAACAGAAAGAAUCUGAGGGGUAUGAAGAAACCCAAGUUACGGGACAGAGAUCGGAGAAGAAGGCGAACGAGUUACGACGGAAGUAGGAAAGAAGAAAUGAAGUGAAGUGUAAAGAAGAAGCGAAGUGAAGUGAAGUGAAGUGAAGUGUAAAGAAGAAGCAGAGGGAGGGAGGGGGAGAGAGAGAGAGAGAGAGAGAGAGAUAGAAGAGGGCAAAAGAAGAAAAGGAAGGGGAGGAGGAGGACAGAAGGGAUUUGUAAUACACGGGGAAAAUAGCGCGUGUUAUAAAAUAAUUCCUUUUCAGUGUGUGCGCGCCCGUAAGAGAGGUUGUCGUUUUCUUAAUCACCGUUGGAUACAUUUCUUCUGCCUCUUUACUUUUCUUAUUUUUUCGUUUUCGUAUUUUAUUUUUCAAAAUAUAUCGAUGCUUUUGUAAAUUUUUUAUUUAAAUAAAGAUUAAAUGUGAGCUACUACUUUUAGUUUCGGAUAUUUGGACUUUUCAAAUGAAAUAAAUUAAAAUUCAAAAUAAAGGAUAAAUAAACGAAAUAAAUUAUUUGGAGAUUUUAUAAAAAAAAUAAGUUCAGAUUUAUUUGAUUUCUGUGUUCGAAUUAACCCUUUCCAAUAUAAUAAAAAUUACAAACAUAACAUAAUUUAGAUUUAAUUUUUAAAAUUUAUUAAUACAUUAUUAGAAAGUUAAUAGAUAAUAACAACAUAAUCUAGUGAUUAAAGUAUUUGUUAUUUUUAAGAGUAAAAAAAAAAAAAAAGUUGAAUUUUCUACAUUUACAUUUAUUGGUAAGAAAAGUUUCCUAAAGCAAACAUUCAGAUAGAAAAUGUAUGCCUCAAUUAUUGACAAAAUCAAGAAAAUAAAAAAGGUAUCCCAAUAAAUCCCUUUCAUGAUUAUUGGUGGUCUUGCAUAAGAAAUGUAGUUGGGGAUAAAGUUCUAUUGAAGAUAGGACUCUUAGGUAGAGAGACCAAGACUUACUAAAAUUGUAUUUGGUCAAAAUGUAAACUUUUGGUAGGUACAAAAUCUCCACUCUUCUUAAUUCAAUUGGUCCAAAUUAAAAUGUUUACCCAAAUAUGCAUUGCUCCUACUCCUAACUAGCUAAAAUGUUCAGCUUAAGUGACUGGCACUUAACAUCUAUUUUUGUAGGUGUGAGUAAGGUUAGCCACAUACUCAUGUUCAUUUAGUAUUUAUAUUCCACCUUGGUUCGAACAUUUUACCCUAUAUGUAAAUAGUUUCAAAACUUUUGACAUUAAAAAAUAUAUAUAUUUUUAUAAGAAAAGAAAUGAUAUGUGAAUUAAAAGUGAGGAGACCUAAUUGAAGGGAAACAAAGAAAUUGAAAGAUGAACUUUGUGGAGGCACCACACCAAGAAGGUGGUCCAAGAAUUACUUACGUGUCGAUUAAAACUAAAAAAGCGCAUUCAUUCUCAUUGGGCGGCGGCCCUUCACUUGCGAAUUUAAAUGAUAAAAUUCUUUUAAAUAAUUCAUCGCAUUACGUUUCAAAUUUCAAACCUAUCCUCUAAAUACUACCAACUGCUGGCAGUGGCAACCCACUCAUUGUCAUUCACCUGCAGCACUUUUCACUUCUGAUUUCUGAAUAUGAAAACUCCAAACCAAACCAAACCAUUACUAGAAAGAAAAAUUAUUUAUUUCAGGGUAUCCUAAUAUAUAAUUCACAAGUUCUGAAACGAGAGAAAAACUAAGAAAACAGAGAGAACGUCCAGAACAUGUGUUUAUAAGAGGUUCCUAUGCAUACAUUCUUUUUAUAAUAAUAAAUUCACACAAUGAGAAGUUACAUAAUUACAUUAUACAUUACUUUUCCUCAAAAUUGACAAGCAAUUGAAAUCAAUGAAAUACAAACAAGACCAAACCCAGAAAAACUAGUGAAAGGAAAUUUCCAAUUUUCUAUUUAUAAACUAAAAAAAAAAAAAAAAAAAAAAGAGAAAUCUGGAAAGUAUAUUAUAUACACUAUCAUGAUAAAUGCUCAAAAUUGAAAAAAUAAUUCCGCAAGGGGAAGGGGAUGGUCUCCUACUAAUGCAAUGGUGUAGCUUACUUGUUAGACCACUGAAAUUCUAUUUCCAAAUUCCGAGGACCGCUUUUGCUUUCAGGCAACAGGGUGUACUCGCCGGCAACCGCUCCCAACAUUACAACUUUGUCAAUUUGAAUUGUUACUUUCCCGAAAGAGCUCUGUUUUUGUUUUAGAGUACAUGAAAAGAAAAUUAGUUGUGAAGCUUUCAUAUGGAAACAAAUGAAGAGAAACAAAGGAAACUUAAAUGAAACUCGCCUUCCCCAUUUUGCUUUUGUUCUUGCAAGAAAUAUGAAGCUUCUGGCCUUUCGGUGGACUCUCAAAGGACCAUGCAAAAUUCUCAUCCCAUUCUGGAUUUGGACCGGUUGAUACAACCUGACCAAAAUUUAAAGAGAAGUUACAGUUUAGAAAUCUGAGACAAAUUGGGAAAAGGAUCAAAGAACAAAAGAAGCGAUGAUAAUAUUGGUUAUGAUGGAAUAAAAUAGGACCACAAAUUUUCUCCUAAAACCGUUCUGCCAGUAAAAUUUUAAUAAGAUACGGGGGCAUUUCGUCCAUGAACUGUACAAAAGAAUUAUUCAAACAUGGUGCAUAUGCAGAUGAAAAAUGAUAUAUGGAGAUGGACCACACAUGCGACAAGAGAAAGGAACCACACUACUCCAGCACACAACAGACUAUAGUUCCGAUAAUUAGUUAAACAUAGCCACUAUAAUUGACUAAUAUAUAAAUUAUCUUCCAUGGAAUAUUUACAAGUGUAAAAACUAUGAAUAAAAGGAAGAUGCAGAGAUGGAGUACAUUACCUUUGUUUGCCUCGGUGGAGUAUUGCCAAGGGUGAGCUUACAAAACACGCUGGGGUUUCCUACUGACUGCUUCAUGUUGUUGCCACGUUUGAUUAUAACUAAUAAUGUUCCUGGCAAGCACUGUAACAAAAAUUCAGCCUUCUCCUGGAAACGAGGAGGACCUGACUGAAUUAGAUACUGAAGCAAAGGAAUGGCAUCUGCAGCAGCAACAGACUGAGCUCUUGAAACCUCCGCUGGACAAGCUGACCAAGCUUGCCUCAAAAGAAACAGGGAAUCUAACGCAGCUUCUUGAGUUGCCUCAGUACCAGUCUUUAAGGAUGUUACUAGAUGAGGAAUGCUGAGUGUAGCAGGCUCAGUAGCUCUCAAUCGUGGGAAGUUGCUGAAAAGAGAAUUUAGGGCUUUCAGGUAUUCCUCAUUCACGGUUCCAGUGGCCCACAAGUCCUUUUCAAUGGCAGCUGCAAGACCAAAUUGUUAUGACACUAUAUCUUCCGAGGCAGGUAAGUAAAGUUUAUUAGGCAAGCGUCUAAGAAAUUGUUGUAAAAGCAGAUGAUUAAUUCUAGAAUGCAGUCUCCCAAGGGGAAAAAAUAAAGGAAAACAUUCAAAAAUAUAUUCAAUCGUGUAGCAGAUGUGCGGAGAUGAUUGAAAAGGAAAACCCAAUUCUAUCAAUGUUAUUAUGCAUGUGGAGGGUUUAGGGAAAUUACCAGUGAUGGCCCUAACUGUCUCACUGGAUGCGUAUUCCUGAAUGGUAUGAUUUGAGAAAAGGAGUUUAAUAAACAUUGCAGCCUGCACAGAUGUAUCUGGAUCACUGGAUCCAAUUAGGUCCAAUACCACCUGAACACCACCAGCCUCUGCAACUGCUCUUUUGUUUGAUCGACUGUACAUAACAAGAUUUUGCAAGGCACAUAUUGCUACCACUUUCAUUUCUUCUGUUGGUUGGUCCUCAAGCACAUUGACCAGAGCACGGCAAGCUGAAACAGCAUCCGUGCUUCUAGCAAGAGCUUCAUUCUGGAACAAAUCACCAAGUGCCAAAGUUGCCAGCAACCUUGGCUGUUGAGCUUGAGUUUGAGGAUCCAAGAGAUACUGGGAUAAUGGUACAAUUGCAGAUUUAGUAACCUUGGUUUCUCUGAUCUUCACAUUAUUAAGAAGUACUUCCAGUAGUCUAGCUGCAGUUUCCUCACAUUGAUGGCUUCUCAGAAGUUCCAACAGUGCCUCAAUUGCUCCACUUUCCGCCAUUGCUUCAGCACUCGUUGCAUCAUCACUUUCAAGUACAAGUAAAGCAUUCAGUGCACCAACCACUGUGCUUUCCAAUCCAGAACGAAGCAACCUGACCAACACCGCAACUGGGACUUCCAGAUAAAAUUCAGAACUGAACUGUAGAAUACUCGCUAAUACAGUGGCAGCAGAUUCCCACAAUGAAUGAGGAAGUGAAGGAUCAGCUUGCAGAAUGACUUUGGAUAACUCACUGACACCACCUUCUUUUGCUAUUUCAUUUGGCCACGUUAGUGCAAUACUAACAAGAGCCUUGACAGCUCUCUGCUGCAAGAUUUGAAUACCAGAACCAAGUACUCGUAUUAGAGGACCAAUCACUUGCUGCGUAACUGAGUCCUUUUGCAAAUGUUCUUCCACAAGUAGGUGUGAUAGGAGCUCAGCUGCCAAUUGUUGCACAGCUGGAGCAGGGGAAUCAAGUAAAGGAAUGAGGGGUUCAAUUGCUUGGUGACAGGUCAAUGUAUAGUCAGCACGACACUGAGGAUGCUCUAAUAUAUUAACAAGAACCUGCAGUGCACUAUGCUGUCCAUCAGGUCCAAAUUCUGGUCUUGUCAACAAUAGGAAAAGAGGUUCAACCACUUUUGCAGCAGAUGAUCCCUUAGCAAUGUUAGCAUUAUUAGUCAGUAUACGUAGCAAUUCUGCAAAGGCUGAACAAAGAAAAUCAGGUGCUUCAAGGAGGAUAUCCAAAAUGCUUUCAAUUACUCCAGCUUUUACCAUUUCCAUCUUACAAGCAGGUCUAUCUUUUCCUAACUUUACAAGUGCUCUAGACACUGCUUCGUGAAGCAUGAAAUUUCUACCAUAGAGGAGGCCUACAAGAGGGAUAACAGCUCCAUGUGCAGCAACUAGUUCUGCUAGUUGUUCAUCAUCAACUAGUUUAUCCAAUGCACGGACAACUGAUUGUUGAGCAGGACUAAAUUCAGUCACAAGAAGCGAUACCAAAGGCUCGACACAUCUCGCAGCAGCCAUUGUAGAUCUGAUUCUUGUAUUUCCAAAAAGUACACAGCACAACUCAGCAGCAUCUCCCUUCAAGUCCAUUGUACAAUUUGUUGACAGAAUUUUGCAAAGGACAUCAACUGCAUUCAUUUCAACAUCUGCAACUGCAAGGGCUCUUGAUGGGUUUUCACUUAAUAAACGAACUAAAGCAGCAAUGGCAGCAUGUUGCUCCCUCUCUGAGCCAGUACUGAGAAUCUCAACUAAGGGUUGCACAGCUUGUCUGGACGAUUCAGCAUUCCUAAUAUGGUCAGCAGAAAAGAGGCUCUCCAAUGCUUUAGCAGCACUAUACCUUGCACCCCUUCCACCCAAACGCAGAACUGCUACAAGCUGACUGACAGCACCAAAUGCGGAUUCAUGCCUACGUAUCUCAGAACUGCUGAAAAGAAUUCCUAACAAAUCAGUAGCAGCUUCUUCAGUUGCAUCUUGUGGUCCAAGUGAAAGAUAUUUGGUCAAUGCUUCCAAAGCCCCUGAUUCUACCAUAACAAUCUUAUUUGAUGGGCAGUCUUUCGCUAGCUGGGUCAAAAUUCCAAGAGCUAGAAAAGGUGCUCCUGGGCGAUCAGGAAUUGGUUUUAAUAAAUCAACAAGAGCUGGAAUUGCUUUCCGAGAAGUAGCACCAGUCCUUAUGUCAUCUACCCGAAACAAUCUCUCCAAAGCAACUUGCUCAGGGUAGCGAACCAGCAUGAAUUCUUCUGACAGUUCAAGAAGAUCAUAUAUGUCAGCAUCUGCACACCCAAGUAAAGAUAUUAAUCCCCCUGCUGCACCAGAGUUUGCAACUGACAGCAGGGUACCCCUGCUACCAUUACAAACUAAACUUGCAAUGGCCUGGGCUGCAAAAUAUCUAUUUGCUGGCUCCUCUGCUUUCAGUAAAUUUGCAAUCACUGGUAUAGAUUUCAUGGUUGCAUGUGCUCGUAUUAUAUCCCUGUCUUGAAAUAGAAUUGCAAGCAAUAGAGAAGAUAUCCAUAUGCUGCUGUCUUCUUUAAAAUCAAUCUGUGUAAAAAUUGAAUAAGCAAAAGAAAAUUAAAUGCAAUUAGUUAUGAAACCACAAUGAGUAAAAUAUCAAACAAAGGACCAUAAAUCAUGGAAAAACUAAAGGAAGGUAAGAAGUUGAGCACCUGAGCAUACUGUGAGGAAUAAUUGGAUAUUCCCUCUGUGAGAACUUCAACUGCUCCAGCCUCCAUGAUCACAGUCUUACUUCUUCCGUCGUGGCAGGCAAGAAGACAGAGUAGCCAUAUUGCGAGGUUGACACCAUAAACAACAGCAGUAGCUUUAUUGCAUUCUGUACCACAGCUGCCUUCUUUGGGAAGUCUAUAUAUGCUGAUAAAUUCCUUAUCAGUAUCACUCUGAUUAUCCAGUACAGAACUCUGCGAAGAGCUUAACAUUGCAACAAGAGAUUGAAUCAGUAGACUACAUGAACUUGAUGCGUGAAGAUCUUCCAACAGCCUGUGGUGAUUAACAUUAGCGGCACAUACGAGAAGGGCAGUUCCACCAAUUUUGACCUUAAUGUUUGUGGAAUUGAUCACCCUCGUAGAAACAGAAGCUAUGCAUCCAGAUGCAGUAACUACUUCUUCUCCUAUAACACCAGGUUGAUCCCGGCAAAGUCGUGCUAAUACCUCAAUAGCCUUGUCCUGUAGUAUAGGAGUUGCGUCAGUAAUGGAUGCAACUAUUGGGGAAAUGCUUUGGGGGAAUUCAGCUAAGACUGCCCAUGCAGGCUUCAUGGUCCCGCUAACCCCUUCAGAUCUAGAUAAAAUAGCAAGAGCAUCUAGUGCUUCAGAUGUGGAAACAGUUCUGGUGUCUGCAGAUCCUAGAAAUGAGACUAAUGCGAGAACAGUUCCUGCACUAUUCACACAAUCAGUGAUGCUAUGGUCAAUUUUCCGAGAGCGAAGCAAGCGAGCAAUUCCUGCUGCUGCAUGUGUCUUUCCAGACAUUGUGCCUUCACGCAAAACCCUAGUGGCAGGCAAAAUAAUUUCUUCAGUAACAGCCUUCUCUUGGACUUCACUAUCAAGUAGAAGAUUUGCCAGAGCACAGGUUGACAGUUCUGUAACUUCCAGAACUGCAGACUUUGCAAGCACAACUAAGGGAGAUAAUACAUCUCUAGCAGCAGCAGCCACGUCCCUGUUCUCCUUGAUUGACAGAAAUAUGGCAGCAAGGCACCGGGAAGCCUCUGCCAGAAUACUGUCGGAUUCAACUUUAAGUAGUUUUAUGACUGAUAAGAGAGUCUGAAUAGCAAUGCUACUUUCACGCAAGUCUUUGCGGAUUUCAAAUAUUCCAGCUAAAGCUGAUGCAGAUUUGGCUUGGGUCUCUUCUCUAGUAGAAUUCAAUAUUUUAAUCAUGGUCUCAAUUGCAUCAUUAGCAGCAGUACCUUCACGCACAAUAUCAUUGAGGGGGACCACAGAAAGCAUACUUCUAAGAGCAUCCAAAACAUAGACUUUGGAUUCUGGUAAAUCACUGGUUAAUAAUGCAGUAAGUUGGCUGAUGGUUGCUGUAUCAGAUUUAUGAAUCAAAUGAUUCAAAGUCUUUGCUGCAAUUUCUUUUCCAUUAGAGCUUCCAUUCUUAAGCAACCACAGCAGUGCAGGGACAGCAUCAGCGCUUUCAACACAUGCACGUAUGUCUUCACUGUGAUUGCAUAAGUUUCUAAGAAUUGUUGCAGAAUCUUCUUUUGCCUUUGCAGAACCAGUCUCUAGAAUUUGAACUAGUGGAGGUAUGCCACCAGCAGCCGUUAUAGCCCAUUUACUCUCAUCAUUUUCGUUCGAUAAAAGACAAAGCAAUGCAACCGCACAUUCCUGUUGCUGCUCUGAUGAGAGUCCAAGAAGUGAAAUCAACAGCUGAACCCCCUCACGACCUUGCAGGGCACGCCAUAGACUACCUUCAUUGUUGCAAAGGGUAAGAAGGGCUCUUACAAGCUCUUCCUGAACUUCAUUGGUUGCCAUUGUGAUCAAACCAACUAGUAAACGUUUUGCAUCAGAAUUUGCAAGUUUGACAGCAAGUAUGGGAUUACCAUACAAACUAGCUAAUGCUUCUAUAGUUCGUUCCUGCACAAGAAAGGUUACACGGGAUCCAAACUGCUUUACUAAAGUCUGUUCAAUAAUUAUAGGAUCUGAUGCUCUGGUGGCUUCUUCUUUGCUAUCAUAUAUCAUAAGAGCUGAUGCUAAAGCCCCUAAUGUGUCGGCAGUUUGAGCAGCUGAUGAGCAUGCCUCAAGGCUUUGUCCAAGGCUUGAGAUAACAUAAGACAAACCACCUGAAAUGUUUGCUAAAGCACACAUAGCAUUCUCCUGCAAUGCCUGAGCAUACUCACCUUGCAUGAACUCUUUCGAGGGAGCUAUUGUUGCAUUUAUCAAGGCAGGGAUACCAUUUGAACUUGCUACCUCACGCCGUGCUUCUUUGCACUGAGCAGAAAGAGAUUUAAGAGCACCUGCAGCUUCUGCUCUAACAGAGGCUUCAUUUCCAGGUCCUAUUAAUUUGAGGAGCUUUUUCGUAGCCUCUGCAGCCAAAACCUUGGAGCAAAAAGAUGCAUCUUCCAUCAUCACAUGUGCCAGGAGAAAGCACACAUUUGCUUGUGUAUUUGGCUCUCCUGUUGCCAAUAAAUUCACAAGUAUGUCUACACCGCCUGCAUUUAUAGUUGCAGACCAAAAUCCCUCAGUGCUGCUUGAGAGGUUUCUUAAAGCUCCAGUCAGUAAGCCAACAACAUUUCCAGAUUUGAGCCCAUUGUGUAGCUGCUCCCAAAGUACCGGAACAACUCCCUCAGUAGAAAAUAUUUUGGAUCCAACGUGAUCCCUAGCACCACCUUGGGAAACAGCAUAAAUGGUCUUUGCAGCAGCAAUUUGACCCUCUGACGAACUUGAUUUGAGGAGACCAAGCAAUGGGGGGAUGCAUCCUCCAAGUAGAACCUUUACCCUUAAUUCAUUUUCCUUGCACAAGGAACCUAAAACAGUAGCAGCUUGUAUUUUCACCCCAAGGGAACCUGAACGGAGAAGAGAAACUAGUACUGGAACUGCUUGAGAGUGAGAUCCAACAGCACUGAAUGCACUCUCACGUGUAUCAAUAAGUUCCAGCAAUUGCCUCAAAGAAAAUUCUUUCUCCUGCACAGAGGAGGAACUCUGCCGCAGCUGCUCAAUGCAUUGAGCAACACUUGCGAGUGUCCCAUCUGGAUCUUCCAUGCUAUUGCGAUCUCUGCAAGACAUAUGAUCAAAGUAAGUCAUCUGAUCUGGGUAUUAUUGUUCAGCGAUACACAAAUUGAACAAUAACACUUGUAUUUUACUACUUGGAUCGACUCACACAAAACAAGACUGAAUUAUAUGCUAUCCUCAUUUACUAUUGGACUCAUUCAUCAUAUGCUGUCCUUUAAGGAGGCUUGGGCUCUGGAAAGAUGGGGAAAAUGAAGUUCAAACUGAAGGAGAAGUGGACAGCCAACUAAAAUUUAUUAGGUCCAUUCACAUCCGUGUUCUUAAAACAAGACAACACACACACAUACCUAUGUCAAAAAUUAAAUGAAAAAAAUGUGGAUAUGGUAAAACCUCUAAAAUAAAAUAAUGCAUGCAAGUGAAGUGUAUACAUAAAAGCAUAUUGGUUAUCAAACAAAAAUGAGUCUUUCAUAAAUGCCAUGAAAUGACAAAAGGAACAAAAAUUAUACAUACAAGGACAGCCAAUAAAUAAAACCAUAUGGAUUAUCCUUAGAAGUCAGAAUACACAUCUUCCAAAUAUAACAUGAACUUGUUAAAAAAAAUGAAAUAAAUAAACAUUCAACUUUGAUUUUACCUGGAGCCCAUCUUCAUAAUAGAAUGCGGAGUAGGAGGCUCUGAAUCUUGAAUUUUUCCAUCCAUGUUUUUCUCCUACAACAAUUGAACACAGAAAUGAUUAGUACAUAACUAACAUAACAUGUACCACAAAAUCGAGAAAGUAGAAUACUUUAAAGAAAGCAUAGAACUAUCUUAAGCAGCUUAUUUUGUUUUUCCCAAUACAUAAACACUAAACAGGGUACAUACUAAACCACUCGUAUCAAAUUGAAGAUGACAUCCCAAAGAAAACUGCAUUGACUAAGAUUAUCUUUGAAAUUCAGUUAACCAGUCCAUCCGUCUGUCCCCUCUUAAACCUCAAACAAUAUUGAGCUUAGACAACCAAAUAAUUAAAAUAAGCAUACUCAUGAGUCCAUAACCCAAUUUUCUUGAUAUGCAUCAGAAUCACACUCACACAUGCUCACAUUUAAAACAACUAUUGUUUUCAUAAGCACUCCAUGCAAGAAUUGGUAAAGGGAAAAUUAAUUUACAAAUCUAAUGACAACAUUUAAAUAGAGGCCACAAAAUACCAGAUCAUUAGUAGGAUGACUGCUACCGUUGCUGGCAGCUAGUCUCCAAGUUAGUGUCGCCGCCAGUUUCUCUUCCUUUUAAGUUACAAUGAAGAUGAAACAGAACGUCAGAAUUCUACAGAUCUAUGAAAGAAAGGCAAUUAAUAGCAUAGCAUUCUCCUGCAAAACAAUCAUGAAAAAACCAGAUCAGAGACAAUGAUUAAAAUGCCGCGAAUCCAAAUAUUUUAUAACACUUGAACCGUUUCCAUACAACUAACAAAUAAAUAACAAAACCAGAAAAACAGCGAUGCUGCUGAAGUAGCGGUUCUAAGACUAAUUGAGCCAAUUAAAGUUCUUCAGGACUAAUGUGAAAUUAAUUUCACAUCACGCAAGGACACAUAUAAACUGUCUAUACUCCCGACACCGCCUCUCUCCAGUAAAUCAAAUUCCAUCAACAAUUAAAGACGGAAAUGAAAUCAAACCAAGCAACGAAAAUCCACAGAUUUACAUAAACACCGACCAACUAAAAUAAAAAUGACGCAGAUCCAGCAACAAAGAAUCAAAGUACAACUGAUUUAGUGAUCAGUCAAACAAGUCUAUAAAUGCACAACACAAAUAAAGUAAAUUAUAAUAGCAUUUGGCUAAGGCAAAAUCGACAAAUCGAAAACAGGAAUUUCAGUGAAUUUUUUACAUCGUGGCCAAUGCAAGCAGCUCAAAUCCAUUUCAUGCAUCAGAAAGAAAAUGAUAGAGAGAAAAAACCAACCUAAGAAGAGACUGGAAUGAAGAGCAAGUUUCUUACAAGAGAAGCGAGCAUAAAGAGAGAGUGAGAGAGCUUAGCCUCUGAUUUUCCUUUUUUUCUUUCUGGUGCUGUUGCUCUCUCUCUCUCCUCUUUUUUCCUCUUUCUCUCUCUAAAAAAUGGGAAUUACGUCUCCGAAUAUACAGAGAUUGGAACGGAACCAAGCAGGAGACAGCGAUGAAGCUUUAUGAGCUUUUUCCACAUCCACACUCUCACUAAUACACCACCGACAAGCUAAGCCGCCGCUUUCCCGGCUAACCUCGGCUCGGCUCACAUAUUCCUCCAUUUUUUUCUUCAUUUAUUUUACAAAUUAUAAUUGUCAACCAUUAAUUAAUUUUUCUAACUCUCUCUCGUCUUAAAAAUAAUAUAUAAUAAUACUAAUUAUUAAUUAUUAUUAUUAUUAUAUAACUCUCUUUCUCUGUCUACAAUUUAUCUCGUGGUGACUUUACAAUUAAUUGAGUUGAGAAUUUCUUCUUUAAAAAAAAAUUUGGCUUGAAUUAUUAAAAAGUAGAAAAAGAAAAUUAAAAUCAAGAGGAUGAAUUGAAAUGAAAUGAUACCUUAUCUCUCUCUAGAAAUGUUUUAUUAUUAUUUUAUCAUAUAAUAGACAGGUAUUGUGGACAGUGAGAUACACCUAAUAAAGCUAAAAUAGAUUAUAUAAGAUUUGUCUAAUAGUCCCUCUCACUUAACUGAAUUUGAUUUUCACUCCCUAAUCAAAAUGCAUUACGCAUCCCAAAAUUGAACCCAGAAAAUAUAUAUAUAUAUAGAAUUCCCCUUUUGUAAUUAAAGGUUAUACGUCUGAAAUAUUUUACCCUCGAUGAUAAGUCAAUUUUUAGUUUUACAUAUUGGUGAAGCACAUGAGUUUAAUGAAAUUGUGAGUAAGAUUAUUGGGGAAGAAUGAGAAAUUUGGGAGGCAGAUAAGAAAUAGAAAAGACUUGAGGGAGGAGAGUUUGUUGGUAAUUGUGAUGAGAAUGAAAUGAUUGGGACUGUGUAGCAGCCGGUAUGAUGUUAUGAACAAUAUUCUCUGGUGAUUUAUAGCGACAUUAUUUGUAGUUUUGUAUUUAGCUGUGCUGUCACCUCCCACGUUCUUUCUCUUCAUUCAGCUAAAACUAAAACUCUCUCUCCCUCUCCAUAGCCAUGCCCCAUGUUCCGUCAUCUAAUCUCUUCUAUGUCUAAUCUCUCUCUUUAUAUAAUACAUUAUAUAGCUGUUGAUUUGGCAACAAUUGUGAUUAGGGAUAUAAGACCUCCAUUAUGUGAUAACAGUUGAUUAAGACUGUAAUUUGGAGCCAACUAAAGCAAUUACACGAUGAUUUGGUUCGCUGUCACUUUUUAUAUUAUUAUAUCCAAAGAAAUGUGCACUCUUUUUGCACAUCAACGGGCAAUCUUAUUUGAAAAGUAAUAGUAAUAAUAAAAACAAAAACAACACAAUCCAAGGACUGCCUAAAGCUGAUGACGGUAAUUUCAUGAUUAAUUACAAACCACGAUGGGAGAAAAAAGAUAUUUAUUAAUUCUUAAUCCAUCAAACUUGGAUUUGAAGAAUCCGAAAGGACACUUUAUUAAUUGGUCAUCUUCUAUUGGUGCAAAUAUGGAUGAAAUUGCCAGCUAAAGGGGCCGGCUUUGGUUGGUAUGUUUAGAAUUUUUUGCAGUACUUUUAAAGCAAUAUCGAAUUUUAGAAAAUCACAACUUCAACUUCACCUUACCCUUUUAAAAAGAGAGAAAAAAAGAACAGAAAAAAGAAAAAACUUGGUCUUGCCCAAUCCCAUCAUUUCCACCAUACAAAUUAGAUUGGGCCAAAAUGGAGAGAUUACACACCUACUAGUAUUAGUACUAAUUAGAUAUCAAAUAAAAAUUAUGAGUAAUUAACUAACAAACUUAAUCAUCCUAGCACAAUUUUGUCACAUUUCAUUUUUAUAUAUAAAGUAGGUUGUUAUAGCACUCUCAGAAGGUUAUCUUGGAUGAGGAUUUUUAGGUAAGGGUGGAUUUGACUAAAGAUGUUGAACAGAAGCAACAUGGAUUUAUGAAGUCCGAAUUUAUUGGAAAUAUCCAUAGGUUUCCUACCACAUCAAAAUUACUGUUAACAAGCUCCAAAGUGUUAUUAUAACUGAGGUUUUCUAGAUUCACUAUUUAAACCCCACAACAUACUAGACUUGAUGCCAAACUCAUGCCUCAAAGGGCCCCUCAAAUAGUAUCCUAUAUUAAGAAUAUUUUCCUCCCCCUAAUUUUGAAAAAAAGGGUCCGACAAGAAUCAUCUAUUUCUAAGUAAGACGAUUUCUUCAACGAUUUCUUCAACAAUUUCUAAUAGCAGAUCUCCGACAUGAGAAAUGUAUAUCCUUUGAGAAUAACUAUUCAUAAACGUAAGUGCUGAAAGCAAAAUACUACCGCCAAGGUCCCUUCAACCAGAUCUGGGAUAACCACCAAACAUGCUUAUAAUCAAACAUGUUAAUGAAAAGCAAUGCCUUUCGAAGCAAAGUAAUAAAAGUGCCUCUCAAGUGAAAACAAGAACCAGGUAUUUGCAACUAACCCACUUUGACAAAAGGUUGCAAUAUGAGUUUGGCAUUGGCCUGAGAAGUGCCCGAAUGGCUGCAGUUGCUGUUCUUGGCGCUGCAGCAGAAGUAAAAUCCGUUACAAAAUUUUUUAUCAAGGUCAAUACAGAAAGAAUGGUGCUAUCCAAGAAUCGUGCGUUCCUCUUGCCUGAAAACUUGUGAUCUUUCUGUUCCCUGGGUAAACAUAGAAUUUUAGAUGCUCUGUAGAUAGAACCCUCAACUAAGAGGUGCGACAUGAAGCUAAUAAAUAUGUACUACAAAAAAAAGCACACAACCAGUGCCUGUAUACCGGAGACAGAGAUGGCAAAUUACUUUGAGGUGUUAGGUAAGGCUUAUUGAUGAGGCAUAUAGUUGAAGCAGGGUCAGGGCUUGCUCCGUAAUGGCUCGAUUUCUUGCUUGCCUUACCCAAUCAUGAACUACCUCUUCUGCUUUUGUGCCUUUAACACCUUCUUCAAGAGAAUGUGCUGCUUCAGCCAAGUUUCCUUCAGCCAGGCAGGACUCCACUCGGUUGAUGAUAGAUUCGAUCCCAGUACCAGAUUGGUCAGCCUCCUUCACCUAAAGAAGGUCAAGGAAAUUUCAGAAACUACAGCAAUAGGGGAGAGUAAAUGGGAGAUUUAAAGUUCUCUCUAAUUUACCUUAAUCCAGGAUGCUACACGAGCUAAAGAAUGUGCCAAAAUGCCACCACCGCCUGGUGGGAUAAAGCUCAAGUGCCGUAACGGUGCUUUUAAUGCAUCAAACUGCAUGCAAGGAGAUGAAUAAGUUAUAAGCCAGAUACUUUCACCAUCAAAGAUGAACUAGACUACCAAACAGUCAAUAUUGUACAACAAUAUUCCAGAACGAGUCAGAUUUGAUAAAAUCAAAGAAUUACGACGGUUUGAUAACAUUCAAUACAUUUUUGGGGGAAAGAACAAAGGUAAAAGAUAAUAUCUGAUUUCCUCCCCAUAAAGUAAUUCAUGUUGACAGAUAUGGUUGAAAGUAGUAAGAAUUUCUUCGAAAUCAACAACAUUGCUAUUCAAGAACUUUUUUUUUUCUUUAGUUGCCUUUUCUCGUACUUCCAAAUUCCAUCUGACCUACACCAAACUUAAACAGCUAUUCAAUCACGUUUUCACUAAACUUUUGUUUUAAAAAAACAAAUAAUAACUCUUACCAAUGCCAAACAGCCCCACGGUUUUUCAGUAAAGGAAAUGACACUGAUUAUAAUUAGGUAACCUUUUGAGAGAGAAGUAUGCUACAAUUUAUCUUCAAACCAGGGAGAACUUAAUGUACCUUUUGUGUCAUCUGUAACAACGUAUCUGAGCCAUGAUUCAAUAUUUCUUUAGGAAUGGAUGAAAGGAUCAGCUCUAAGUUAGAAUCUUUGUCAAUGCCUUGAAGAUUAACACGUAAUGCUUUUAUUUCAGCCUGGAUCGGUAACCCUCUGGAAAGAGCAUCUUCAAGUGCCAGUGCCCCCUAUAAGAUCGAUGACUUAUAGUUGAUUAAACACUUUGAGAUAAAUUGGAUUGGCUAUGCGCUAGCAAAAUAUAAAAAGGAAAAAAUAUGAUUUACAACCAUGAAAGUUCCUGAGACACCUUGUACUUGAGCACAAUGCUCGUUGAUGGAUUUAUACAUAUAUAAACUUUCUUGACAAAUGAAAUACAAAAGCAAGGGUUUAAAAAUCCUUAGAAAAUGCCAAGUUUAUAAAAAAUACUCUACUGCAGAUUCAAGGGAAGUUUUGGAGAAUUUCCUCACUCUUAAGUACAAUUCUCUCACAAGAUAACUGAGCAAAAACGUACUUCCCUGGCACUUUCUUACUUACAGACUAUAUAUUGCUCAAACCAAAGCUCAUUCUCACUAUAUUCUCAGGGGCCCAUCCCUCUAACUAACUAAUAACAAUUUAAUAUUCCUCAACUGCCUACACUUAUACACAUGCUUAAUGGGGGGGUCUAUCAUAGACUCAUAGUCAGCACAAAUAACCAAAAGAGGCUAAUUACAGAAACCUCGACUAAGGAAUCUCCAAUUGAAUCUUACAGGCUAGAACAUCCACCCUUGACAAAAGAAGAGAAUGAGAUUAUUCAAGCAAGAAUACUAUGACAAGCAAUUUUACAAUGUCAAAACCUGUCUUCAUUCUAAGAACAACCUCGGAUCUUAUUUUCAAAAGAAGCCUCACAAAACGUAACUAAAAAAAAAAAAACAAAUACCGUUUCCAAAUUUCAGCGUACACCCUAAUUUUAUGUUUUUUAUGGAAACAUACUGGUUUCAAACUUUCUAAAAUGCCUACAAAUAUGUAUGUUGUUGCGGAGAGACCUAGAACUAUUUUAACCUGGAAGAUUUUAAACGUAGUUUAAUCCCAAUGUUCAUCAGUUUCCCUGUUCACAUGCAAAUGAUGUAAAUCUGAUAGAAGAAUGAUCACCUUCAAUAGUACCCAAACUACUAAUAUUAGAUGCACAAACGUGCACCAGUAUGUAGGAAGACAAAUCUUUCUCCAAAAGUAAGUUUAACUUCAGUUUCUUCUAUACUACAAGUAAGAAAUGAAAACAUCAAUAAGUAGAAGUGCGAACUUACCAAUGCAAGUUUCUGAGCAGAGUGACUUUGACGAGCUUCUUCAGACCUUGCAUAGAAUGCCAUGCAAAGGGCAUUAAUCUGCAAAAAGAAGUUUCACACAUAAACAGAUUAUUGGUGGUAGAUUGAUUGCCUGGAUUCAGGCCAAAGGACAUGGAGCUAUAUUGGAACAUGCACAUCAUUGACAAGAAAAUAAACUAUUAUAGCAACAAAAGAAUUGCCAAAUUGAUGUACAGUUGACGUGUUUCUUCAUUAUAGUGUAAAAUUUUCAUCAAGCAAUGUCCAUAAAAAUCGGUGAGCAUCUUUCAUCCUAUGAAGGAAAAACUUCCCCCCGAAUGGUGAUAUCGUAAAUGAAGAACUAAACAUUUUUUUUCAACUUUUUUUUUCUUGUUAUGAAUGUCAUUUUUUAAGGAGGCAUGUUAGGUCCUAAUAUUAUCUAUAACUUCCACUUUGAAUAUGCAUGAUGUUUUUAGCUCAGGUAAAUCAAUAGCUUGUGCUAUAUUGCUUACAUGAAGAUUUGCUUCAGCCAUUUUUUCUAUCUGGGCAGCCUUCUCACUUGCAAUUGCUGCAGCUAACUCUGCUUUUGCCAGAUCUUGAAGUUUUCUCAACUUUGAUUCUAACUCAUUUUCCUGCAAUGAAAUCAUUUUUAAAAGUAUUGGUAAAGGGUCAGCAACUUGAGCUUGUUUGUCAUUUAAGAAACACUCCUACCUUCUGUUCAAGUUCCUUCUGAAAUUUAUCUUCCAAAUUCUCUUGUAGUGACAUCAGAGCAGCAGCUGCUUUUGUUUUCUCUCGUUUUAACUCCUGAAAAUAGUUAAAAUCCCAAGAAGCCAAUUAUAAGAAUGAGAGAAACACAACAACAGUGUACAGAUGUACGCUCUCUGUUCAGAUGAUACAUCUAUAAGAGACUCCACGUGCGUAAUUCAAAAAUUGAGAAUUCAACCUUGUCCAACAUAGCAGCCUUUUCUGCAUGCAUAAAUUCCCUAACCCGAGCAUCCCUCAAUGCUUCGUCCAUCUUGUUCUGUACAGAACAGAAACAUAAAUCACAGUCAAUAAUAGUCGCAUUUCAUAAAAAUUACAAUCGUUUCACGUACGAUAUAAAAAAUAUCUAUCGAUCCAUACCCACAGUGCUGUCUUUUCAUCAGCAAAACGACGAUAAUCCAGCUCAGCUUGCCGCUUUUCAGCAGCAUGAAUAGCUUCUAAGAAAUCAAUGACCAAUUUCCCAUCCUUGGAUAUGAAGCCAUCAUUCAACUCCUCAAUUUCAGCAAUUAAAGCCUGGCAUCUUGGAAACAAAACUUUAGAUCUUGUCUAAGACUCCUUUACUCAAUUCCAGAAAAAUGGACAUCCAUCAAGAAGAAGGAAAAAGUAAAUGACCUCUGUUCCUUUGUAAAACUUGUCAGUUCCAUCUUUGCUACCACCACCCAAGGAAGUCAUGCCAGCCUCACCCUUCAAAUGGUAGGCCUCGAGAAGAGAACUUGGCUCCCCUGUAUCUUCACUUGUAUCAUUCAACUCCUGGAUAGAAUACGAGCAGAGACAGAUUCACUUUAAGUUACACAUCUUUACUAGAAAUGAAUAUAUUUGGAUAAGAGAUUAAUAUAUUUAAGAAACAAAAGUUCAGAGAUGAUAUCCUGUGAAUCUAGAAUGUCUAAUUCUAAUGAACCAAUCAUCCUCAUCAAACUUCAUUUCUGGCCCGAAUACUAUUAGGCAAGGGAUUCUAGGUACCUGGUAUUUUUUCUAACUUGCCUCCUGUAAUAAACGUUUCAGUAAUCCCUUUCUGACACUGGAGUGGACGAAUAAUAAGUUGGAAUAGACCAAAUAGGUUCGUCUGCUGUAUGAUGAGAGGCUAGUCAUCUUCUUCAACACCCUAUGCAAUAUUUACAAAUUUUAACCUUCUUAUUAAUCCAUAAGGAUUAUAGACCUAUAAUCUGGUCUCUCCUUCUGCAAAGUCCUCAUCAUAUUUGAGAAGAUUUUUAUCAUGAGAGAUGAUGACUUGGUUUUGCCACUAUCUUGCUAACACGUGUUUCAGUUUCACCCACGUAUCAAAGAUAAGGGGGUUUGGACAUUUGAUUGUUCCAAGUCUUUCUCUUGUGAGCUGGUUUCUGGAAGGUUACACUCAUGAAGAAAACUAAAUUUUGCACGCUUGAUGCCUGGUGAUUUAUAGGAGGAUUAAUCCCAAAUCUCCACAGGUGUUCCUAUUUUACCAGUUAAUUGAAGAUUAAGAGGAUCUACACAUUUUUUUACUUUUCCCUUUUCCCAUAAUGAUUUGGUUUAGGUUUUGCAAUUGUUUGGCAUUAUUUUGGCCCCAUUUUGUAAUUUUCAUUCUAUGAUUGAAGAAGUUCUAGUAGAUCCUUCAGUUCAGGAAAGAGAAAUAGACAAUUGUGGUGGCAGGUUUUUAAUCAACAUAAGAUAUAUUUGGUAGAGAGAAACGUGAGGAUGUUUCAAUUAAGGGUCCUCAGAUAAAGUGUAGCCAGACUCAAAAUUAAGUUCCUCAUAGAGGAUUUUUUGUUGAAACAUUUUUAGUGAUUUUACUCUCAUUUCAAUUACCAAUAAUUAUACCAAUUUUUUCUAACUGUUUUCCUUCUCAUAACCCUUUUAUCUUGGCGUGGGCUUUUUUAUAUACAGCCUCUGUUUACUUUCUUCCCUGCCUCUUAAUAUAAGCUGGUUCACUAUUAAAAAGAAUUUGCAUUGAGCACGUGCAUUGUAUUGUAUGACUUAAACCUUCAAGCUACCAUUACAUCAACAUUUGAUCUGAAUGGAUAAAUUGAAGUUACCUUCAGUUUCUCUUCUGCAACUGUAUCUUCUUGUGGUGGUAUUCUGAUAUCAAUCUGUGCGGGUUCUGCAUCUGUCUUGCUAGAUAUUGGUGAAGUUUGAACUUCAUCGUGAGGCCAAUCCCUAGUACAAGACUCUGCGCUUUGCAUGUUCAAGUUUUCAUCUGUGGAUAUUUUAGAUCCAAGAUUCUCAUCCUCUACUUGACUGCCACUUUGAGUAAAUUCUGGCAAGUUUUCCUCCUCGAUCUUUUCAUGUGGCAGUGUCCUGGAACUGUCUUCAAACUGACCAUCAUCUUUCUCUUUUCCCCAAUCUUCAAGAUGAGGAAGGUGGGUAUCUGUCUCAACUUUCUGCUCAGUAGACUCCACAAUGGGAUUUGAGCUCUCGGUUUCUUCUCUAACACUAUUCGAUUUUUCGGUUUCCUCACUACUCGGUAAAUCAAAUUUCUGCACCACCAAAGGUUGGACAUUGUCUGAAUCACUUUUCUGAACUGUUUUAGUUGACUCUACAGAAGAAUUCUGCUCUAUAUCAACAGUUCGUUGGUCUAGAUAGCCGGCUUGGUAAGCUGCAAAAACAGCAGCACCAAUAACAACACUGCCAAAGACAACUUUUGGGAUGGAAUUUCCAGAAUUAGGUGGCACAUUUGUAGGUUGUGGUUUCAGAUUUUGUUUGGGCGCAGAUGAAAAUUCCCUUAUCUUAGAAAUACAUUGGGGUGUAUGCCAACAUUGCACCUGCAACAAAAACCUGUCAAAGAAUCAGAAAAUAUUUGAAAAAGUACACCAUUAAACCACAAAAAAUAUCAGGAUUGCAUAGUUUGGUCCCUAUAUUUUAUUAUAGACUAGUUUUGCAACACACUCUGUUCGUCCUCCCAUUUCAUUUGUCUCACAGCUUUUGGGCACAGUAAAAUUAAACAUAAGAAUAGAAACAUGUCAAUGGGUUUAACAUUUCUUAACACUGUCAAUUAAUUACAACAGCAGAAGAAAGAAUGGUAUAAAUAGAAAGUUCGUGUAUGUUAUAUGAGAAGGCUUCAAGUAGUCAGUUAAUAAAGACAGCACAACUGCAUCACAAGCACGUAGCAGGCAGAUGAAAAACUAUAUGCAUGUCUUUGCUCCCAAGUCAAAAAUAAAUUUCCAAGCAUUUAUUUUGCAGAUGCUCGUACUACCAAGAAAGAAUAGCAUAAAUAGCAAUUUAGUGUAUGUUAAAAGAUCCCAAUGUUGUACAUUUCCACCCAACUGCAUCUACGAUAACAUAUGUGAAGAACCAAGCAUGUGGAUUUAUAUGCUUAUAAGUCGAAUACACACUUCUCCAAAUAUCUGUUUGUAAAUUAUCUCAGCGUUUGGAUUGUACAAAACGAAUUCUGAUCGCAAAAAUGGGAAAGUCUUAUUUACGAAAUUCUACUUGCCUGGGGUGAACUCUGCCUCGGAGUCCUUCCACCAGAUUGACGAGAUGAUAAUUUCAGAAUUGACCUGCAGACAACAAUGCGAUAAAAAUACUAUCUAUAAGCAUCACCCGCUGUAACCGAACCCAGCGAGAUCCAAAUUCAUACAUAACAUGGCCAUUGACAUUGAGAUUUAUUAUCAUUUAUUAGUAGAAAAUUCCUAUUGCUGAGAAUGCCAAAUUAACCCUCGGGAGAUUAAAGAAUAAGAAUCUGGCAAUUUUCAACCAUUCAAGAAAACACUGCACUCGAAGGACAAUCGAAAUGACUAAUUAACGAAGAACAUCAACAUCACGAGCAAAAUAAAACAUAGUUGAAACAUAGUUCAAGAACAUUUCCGUACCUCCGCCACAUAGCGUAUACCUAUUCAGUGAAAACGGCGAGCGACGAAGAUAUUUGAGCGAAUAACCAAGUAAGCGAUUAAAUGCAAGUUGGGCAGUGGGUGAUGGAAAGUCCGGCCUGGUAGGAGGGUGGAACAACGGGUUCGAAAACUCAAAUUAACAAUCGGUUUACCGGAGGAAGAUCGCCGGAGACGAAGGAAAACAUCCGAUGACACCGGAAUUUUACCGCCUAAUUAGAUGUGUCCGACCAUCCGCAAGGAAUUAUUCCGCGAGUUGCAAUAGAUUCUACAAGGCCCAUUUAUAAAGUUGGGCCUUGAGCCCAAUAGAUUUGUAGGAGGUUGAUGAGCUGGGCUGAACGAAUCUGACAAGACUGCCCUUAUUCGGGUCCAUUGUGAUUCUAAAGGUAUGACUCGAUCAAUACUUUGUAGAUGUAAAUUUGAUAGACGAGCUAGUUUUUUUUGCAACAACAAAUACAGCCUUCUUUUUAAAUCUCAAUUGAAGCAAGGUAAUCUUUUAUGAUAUAACAUACGUGUAGACUUGAUUAAAGAAACAAACAAAAAAUUAGGGGAAAAAACUAAAGAGAUUGUAUUUUCUUCAACUCAAAGUUUCCCCAACUAAUAAUACUGUUGUUGCUAGUUAGGUUUCUCCCACCACAAGAACUGAUAAUGAAUUUAAUAACUGUAAAAAAAUAAAAUUUGGGAUAAUUCUUCUGUAAUAGUAUUUCAAGUGACCGAUACCGUUUUAGGCUAUUUUUAAACAUAGCAUAAUGAAUAAACAUAUAUAUUACACCAACACAAAUUACUAUUUUGUAUUUAUCAUGAUAGCAGUUUAUCUUGGUAUAUCACAUGUAAACAGUUAUAUUUUUUUAUAUUCAUAAAUAUUAUAAAAAAAACGUGCAUUAAAAACACUUUAUCCUUUUUCAAAAGUAACAAUAAUAAAUAUUUUUCUCUAAUAAUAUUCGAAAUUAUUUCACAACCUUUAAAGAUUGUGUGGAUUGCCCAUGUGUUCAAGCAUCUUUAUGUCUAAAAUAGAUUCGACUUAGUUAAACUAUAAUUGACCAAUCAUUUCUCUCUAACAGUCAAUGAUUUGAUUUUUCAUUCUAUGAAUGUUGAAAACAUAUACAAGGGUGUAAAAAUUUGUUUAAAUGAUAAAACGAUUGAAAUAUUUACAAACAUAACAAAAUUUAAUAGUUUAUAAAUUUAUCCGCAUCCAUUUGACAUUUAUUAGAUAAAUGAUAAUAAUCUAUCAACAUUUAUUAUUGAUAUUUUACUAUAUUUAUAAUUUUUUUUUGGUUCAUAUCACUUUAUAGGAAGUGGUUAUAUAUAUAUAUACAUACACUUAAAAGCAUCAAAGUGGAGUGGUAGGGGCCAUGUCACAUGGGAAGAACAAAGAGGCAUCCCAAAUUCAAAGAGUGAACCAUGCAUGUCAUGUCACAUAAAGCAUUAAUUUUCUUUUAUAAUAUUUUGUUUCCUGUUUUUAGUUAAAAAGAGAUAUUUGAGAUAAAAUCCCACAAAAGUGAUAUCUAAUGAAUUUCACUAUCAUAUCCAAAAACUCAAUUAUUAGUUUUCAAAACGCACACACACACAAUUAUCAAAAUGUUUCUAAACAUAUAGAAAAAAUCUACUCACGUUUUUAUACUAAAAUUUCUUUUGAACAUUACUGAGGUUGUCUGUCUCUAAUGGGUGAAUUUCUUUGACAUACUUAUUUCAUUCUUUCAGCAAUCCUUCAAUUUAGAAAUCUAAACACUUUCUCAGAGCUAGAGAUGCAUCAAUCAAAGACUAAUCUUGACAUUUUUCUAAUUCUUUAUUACAAAUUACCAUAUUUUUCACCAAAUAUAGAAUCUAUAACCCAACUAUUUUUUGCUAUUCAAAAAUCGUUUAGAGAGAAAUUGCACAAUUAAGUCCUUGAGGAAAAUCGGCAAAUGGUACAUAACAGCCAUGAGGGUGGAAUAGCUUCCAUAUGAGAACCAAGGCGAUGGCUUCGUUUUAAGAACAGCGGCGACUGUCUUCUCGGCAAACUCGGCAGUAGGGGUGGCGUUAGAGCCCUGCGAGGCAUUGGCCCUGGCUAACAUUGCAGCUUCAAAGGGCUUGAAUAGCUUCAACUCAGGCAUCUGAUUAAAGUUGGCAAUGGCAGAGUUUCCAAUGUUUGAUUUAAUGGCUCCAGGGACAACGUUGAUAACGUCGAUUCCAAAGGGCUUCAGCUCCAUCCUUCAAUGAUGAAAAUAUCGAUCAAGUCAACCAACAUCACAGUGUGAAAUAAAUGCGAAAAUCAAAUGAAAUAUGUCAGCAAAUUGAAUUGGAUAUUCAUUGCGUUUAUUCAAGUUUCUAUCAUGGGCCGUGGCCCCCUAAAAAGCAAAAAGAAAAAAGAAAGUUUUAGAUUUUGAACUUUAAUGUCUUGGAAUAACUUUUCUAAGCAUUGAAAAAAAGAAAGUUUUUUUGGAGGGGUAUUUUUUUGCACAAGAGUUGAGAGUAACAACAUAGAAACAGAAGUAGAAGUGUGGAAUGGUAAACUUCCCCUCUUUAUUUAAACUAAAAAAUUUGUAGGCUUUCACAACUAAAAAACAUCAAUAACCCGUACAUUUUACUCCCAUCAGUUUACAAGUUUCUAGUUUUCAUAACUCACAACUUCACUCUUUGCCUCAAAGAUCGUCUUAUAAAACAAUGUUCUAUAAAGUCAUUUCAAACCGACUUUCAUGAAGAAAUAAGUUGUCUUGAAUCAACAAUAAGUAACCCAUAAAAAUAAACCCAGCAGAAAAAGAAAUAUUUGCUUACCCAUCAGACUUUUGUGGGUUGUUUCUGUUUCUACAGUUCUACUUCAGUGCAUUGUAACUUAAUAUAUUCUAUACAUAUCUUUGAGAUCUUUGAGCUGCUAAAAAGAUACACUAGAAAUUCAAUAGGACCCCGGCACUUAUUUUUCUCAUAUGAAUACUCAAUUUAAACUUUAAGCAUAAAGGUCUCGAACCCACUACAUAAUCAAACAAGCAAAAACAUCAAAAUUUCAAAUCCAACUAAAAAUUAUUCAAAGAUAGAUAAACAAAGUGGAAUGAUGCUCAUCCACUCACAAGAAUGGCUACAAGAAUCGGAACUCAAAUCCAUAGAAAUAUUAAUUUAAUCCCUUGAUUUAAGGUAAGAAUUGCGGUUGAAAGUUAAACUCCACCAACGAGCUUUAUUUGAAUUUUGGUUCUUUAUUUUUAAAAAUUAAUAUUUAUAAACCCUAUUUUCACCUCUAAUUUUCUUCCUAACUCGUUUCUAAAAAAUCUAAACCACUCAAAAACCAAAAAAAUAGUUUUAAAGUAUGUCUGAAAACUUUUUAGUUCUUUUGUUUUUGGUCCUCGAACAAUGGAUUUGUUCUUUUAACAACUUCCCUGUCAUACUAUUUAUCAAGAAAGACCAAAUUUUCUUAGUAAAUUUUCAAAUUGCAAAAACUAUCUUUCUUUACUUUUCAAAAUUUAGUCUUGGUUUUUAGAAUUGCAAAUUGCAAAAACUUUCUCUACCUUUCAAAACUUAGUAUUGGAUUUUAGAAUUAAUGAUAAAAGGUGGAUAACUAAAUAAAAAAACCAAUAGAUGAAAAGUAGAGAGUUUGUAAACUUAAUUUUUAAAAAGCAAAUUGCUAUCAAAUAGCUUUAGUAGUCAACUUUCAUCCCAGAAAAAGACUAGUGAGGUUCAAAUUAACUUAAUAAACUAUCACUAGCGAGGGUCUGGAAGAUCGAGAUAAUUAACUAAGGCAAGGCAAAACAUUUCGUGCAUGAUCAGGAACACAAAACAAUUGUUAAUUAUACCAUUAGAUGAGAAUCAGAGAGGUAUAUACGAACCUCAGACAGUCAGAAAUGGAAUGAAUAGCAGCUUUGGAUGCAGUAUAAGCACCAGCCCAUGGAAGAGGCGCCAAUACGGUGACACUUCCCAAAUUCACAAUCUUCCCCUUUCUUCGUGAUGCCAUGUGAGGAACCACGGUUUGAAUCAAUCUCAUAGUCCCUGCAAAUGCAAUUCUCCAAUUCAUAAAUACUAAUUUAACAUAAUACAAUAAUCCACUCCUUUCCAUAUUGGAGUGUUCAUGUUCAAAUUUUCCCCACCUCUAACUCUGCUUUCUACAUUUCACAUACCAAACAAACAGCUUUGUUUCUAACCAGUGGCGAAUCAGAAAUUUUAUUGACUAAGGCUUUAUAGACUAUUAAAAAUAAUUUGGAAGAAAAUAUAACUAAUAGGACUUGAACCUGAGUAUAGAGGGACUAAAUAAUUUCAUUGUUCACCAACUUCUUAAAUUGGUACUAUUUCAGUUUUCUAUAUAUAUAUAUUGUAAUAUAAAGAUCUUAAGUUGAUGGAAGAAAAUAUAACUAAUAGGACUUGAACUUGAGUAUAGAGGGACUAAAUAAUUUCAUUGUUCACUAACUUCUUAAAUUGGUACUAUUUCAGUUUUCUAUAUAUAUAUAUUGUAAUAUAAAGAUCUUAAGUUGAUGGGACUCGAGCUCCUGUACCUAUGCUAAAUCCACCCGUGUUUGCCAGGAAUACAAUUAUAUACAGUAGCAGAAGCUGACGAACACAGUAGAGCAGAAGAUAGGAUGAUAAAGUCUUCAGCGUUUAUUUCUAACCGACCACUGGAUCAAAUGUUAAUCACAAAACAAUAUCAAACUCAAAUCAAUUCGAAAUCUAAAUAAGCGGCUCAGUCAAUUCACAGUUUCUAAUCCCUAGAUUCGAUAUCAUUCAAUUCUGAAGGAAGAAAAAUGAAAUGGCGAAUCUGAAUAUUGAAAUACAAUUAAUUUCGCUGAUGGAUAAUUUGUUAGAGACCGAAGCUCACCGAAAACAUUGGUAUUGAAGGCGUUCUGCAUAGCGGAAAGUUGAACCUCGGCAAUAGGUCCAAUACAUUGAACGCCAGCGUUGUUCACCAAAAUAUCGAUUCGACCGAAUUUUUCGAUGACAAGAGACGUUAAUCGCUCGACGCUUUGGUCGGACAGGACAUCGAGUUCUUGUAAGAAAAAUCUGGGAUCGUGCUCCAGGUCCGCCAUUGAGGAGCGGGACCUGCUGGUUGCGACUACCAAACAGCCCUGGUCGGCGAAGGCUCGGGCGAGAGAGUGGCCUAUGCCUCCGUCGGAACAGCCGGAGAUGACAACUACUUCUUUUCCGGCAAAUUCCAUAUCCUUUUUAUCUUCUUGAAAAGUGAACGAACCCCGCCCUCCUCCAAAUUAAACCGAUUGAUAAAUCGGAGAUUGAAGUGUUGGGUAGCUCCAAGUACAUCAAUAAGAGCAAUUGCUCACUCGUCUGCACCUAGGCCCUGAAGACUUCCACAUGGCCGGUCUUUGUGGUGCCACUUGGCAACCCCACAUGGACGCUUUCCCUUUUUUCCCUCCUUCAUUUACGGUUAUUGUAUUUCUUGGGUGAUUUUAAAAAAAAAUUGGGAUUUUGGUUUUAAAUUUAUACAUAUAUAUAUGCUCAAUCUCUUCUCUCAUUUAUACAACACUCUUUAUUUUUAAUUAAUCAAUUAAAAAGUAAUAUUUUUAAAAAAUUGAAAUUAUUCUUACCAUGUUUUUUUAUUUAUGUUGCUAAUUCAUUUUCGUUAACUUGUGUUAAAUUGUUUAUGAAUUGUUGAUAUAAGUGGUUGAAGUUUCUACGAGUUACGUGCUGGUUUAUAGGAGUUGAAUGAGUGAGCAUAUGUGAGUUUUGAUUUGAAAGUAUCUGUUGAUAUAUAAAAUCCUAAUAAAUUUUAAACCUUUACUAAAAGUAAAAAUUAGAUUCCUUUGUUGAAGUCCAUCGAUAAUAGACUAUUUUAGUGAGGAGUAUCUAUAAGUAGUAGAUAUGGUAGAAGUCUUUUGGUAACAAAGUUUAACACUUGAUUUUAUUUAAAUUGCAAUUUUGGUUUCUUAAAUUCAAACCAUAGUUGGCAUUGGCUCACCGUUGGAAGGACGAGUAAAUGUUUAACUACAACAUUUAUUGCAUCCUUUUAUUUUAUUUUUCAGUAUCCAUUGUUUGUUUUAUUUGUAAAUUGUGAAUAAAACUAUGGCAAGAGGUAAUUGAAAUGAAACCAUAGCAAAUUUUAUAGAAUUAAAAGCCGUGGCACAAUGCAUGCAUUCAUUUAUCUAAAUAAUUCAAUUACAUGAGUACAAAAAAUAAUACAUUUUUUAAACGUAAAUGUUGAUAGAUUUUCAUUAGUGGAUAGAUUCUCAUGUCACAUCAUACUCUAUAUCGUUCAUAUCAAUAAUAUAAAUUUUUCGUUGAUAGAUUUUGUUAUAUUUUCUAUUUUUUAAAAAUAUUAUUAUACAAUUGUAUACCAUCUCUAAUAUUAUUAUGCCCUCGAUCAUAUCAAUCACUUUUAUAGAUUAAAUAAGUAUACAUCAUUAUAAUAGAAAUAAAAGUUCACUUUGUAUAAAAUUGUUUUAAAUUUCAUAAUACUAUGCAUAGUUUAUAUAUAGUUUAGAGAAUGUGUUCAUGAUACAUUCACAAAUAUUUAAUUGAAAAGAAUGUUAUUAAAAAAUAUAUAAUAUUUGACAAACACUCAAAAUUAGUCUUAAAACAACAUAAUCCAAACAUAACCUAAAUGGUUUUACUAAUUGAUAAUUUGUUUGCAUUUACUUGCUCAAGAAGGCCAUAAGUUUAGAAAUCAUCCCUAGGAACAAAAAAACGAAAAGUUAGAAAUUAUCCAAAGAACUAUUUUCCAUAUUGUUUGUUGGUUCUCAAAAAAAUAUUGAUUAGGUUAUUACAUUUUGGGACAGCAUACAUCUAAACUGACAAACUAAAUUUAGUAGUUUAUUAGUCAAUAAUUGAGUAAUAUAUCAUUAUUGACCACAACAAAUAAUGGCCUACCUCUUCAAAACAAUACUUCAAAUACAAAGUUUCCCCGACAAACAAUUACAUCGAAAAUUACAUCGAACAAAUCCAUAUUUAAUCUCCAUUUUUUUCAAGACUUUAGGAAAUGACAAUGCUAUUCCCCCCAUAAAUUGACCUAUAUAGAUAUAGAUAGAUAGUAUUUAAUUCUAAACCCUCUUAUUUCUAUCUAAACACUGGUACCAACAAGAAGAUGCUGUCUCCUUAUUUCGAGAAAAAAAAAAAGAUAUUGUCGAUAUUGUCUAAAGUCUUCCCUAAACGUGAAUUGAAGAUAAAAAGACGAAAUUUAUCACUAUAAUUGAAGGGAAAUUAAUUUAGUUUCUAUUGUUUCAUAAGUUUAGAUUUAGUCUCUUUUAAGUGCAGAAAGUCUAAGAGAAAUCCUUAUAAUUGAAUGAAGCUAUCACAAAUAAUCCUUGUUAUUGAGACUAAAUUAUAGUUUUCUUAAGUUAAAGUGACCAGUUUUACAAUUUAGAAUAGGAUUAGAAUGUUGGAUCUCAUUACACCAUGGUUGUACUAAAAAAUUACAACUUUGUUUUCAAGAUAUAGGGACAAAUUCUACAAUUGAAUGCAUAAUUACUACGAAUUAAUUAACCAGUUCUCCCAUGUUCAGAAGUAUCAGAAUCAUUUUUUGACUUGUUAACGUGUUUUAAUGAACUAGAACUAUAUUUCAACAACGCUCCAAAAUUCACACCAAAAAUGGAGACGAAGAGAGAAAGAAGAAGAUAUAACCCAUAAUUUGUACCUUCCUUAGUUUGAUUUCUAGCCAGAUCACAUCACCGAAGGAAGUUCAAAAAUUUACACAAGACGUAGAAAAAGAAAAGAAAAGAAAAAAAGCACUAAAAGCUUCGACUCUGGCAUGAAAUUUCUAUUGAGAAAGUAAAAGCCAGAGGAGGCCUGUUUUCAGGAAUUAGAGGUGGCCUGAAGCCCAAAUAGGGUACCCGGAUGGACUUUUUUACUGGAUUUUCCGGCAAUUCCGCCGGCGGCGUGAUGGGAAGUUUUUGGAGGUUUGACGGAAUCUUCUCUCCUGCCAGAUCUCUCCUGCUCCAUCCUCUGCAGUUUUUCCUCUGCUUUCUUUUUCAUUACAUAAACCCUAGCGCAGCUAGCUCCCAUGGAGGACAUGGUUUAUACAGAAGAAAAGGAAAUGAAAUGAAGAAAUUUCUACAAAUGUUUCAGUGGGCUUUUAAUUUGUUCAAUCGGUGGGUAUUGAAUGGCUUAAACCCUUGUUGUAUUUAUAGUGGAAAACGUGUUUGGUGGCCUUGGUGUUUCGUUGGCCCCUAGCGUAGGGGUCAGAUAACCAUAACCCCCAUUUUCUGUACCUUAUUUGGAUUGGACAAUUUCUUUUUAUUUCAAUCAAAUUUAAAUUAAAUUAAAUUUGCAUUUUUGUUAUUUAUACAAUUUUGCGUUUAACUUAAUCAAUGUAUUGUUCAAAAGUUGAGAUCUGCAAAUUCAUUGUUUCUUCCAUUCUAAUUUACAAAGGAUAAGUUUUGUUUUUAAUUUGAUCUGAUUUUUAGUUUAAUUUUAUAGUUUUUAUUUAAUUUUCUACAAUUUAAGCUUCUUUCAAAAUGCUAGCGUAGUUUUAAUUUGAUAUGGUUUGUUUCUUUAUUAAACUUAUAUCACUUCAUUACUUAAAUAGAUAUGUCAUGUUGCAAUCAUGUGCAUAGUUUGUGAAGUAAAAGUCAUGUGAACUUGGUUAAAUUUGUUAUGAACUCAACUUAAAAUUAAACUUUUUUAUUUAUUUGUUUUGACUCCAAUAAUACACUUGCAUAGUUGAGAUGUGUUUAGAUGUGUUUUACUGUUCAACUGUAGUUAGAAGUUUGUAUCUAAAUUUAUACUACAAGACAAAAGAUUAAUAAAGCAAUUGAGAACACAAAUGGAUAAGCAGUUGACUUAAUACAACUCUAAUUAACCAUUACAAGAUCUAAAUUCUCCUAAUUUAAAUGAUACAAGCAUAACAUUGUAUAAAUUUAAAUCUACAACUAAUUUGAAUCUUUCCAUUUACAUUAUGAAAAACACACUAUAUAAAAACUACAAUCUUUCCAUUUACAUUAUGAAAAACACACUAUAUAAAAACUACAACAGUAUAAUUAAUGUUUGAAUUCAUAAACGAAUCGGUUUAUAAUUUUAAUUAGAGUUUCCUUUUAGAAUCGUCAAUAUCUACUUUAAUCAUCUUCAAACUAAUGGAUCGAUGAUUUUCAAAUGUAAUCAUACAUAGAUCAAUUAUCUUUUUAAAAAAAUCUACAAAGUUUGAUACAGUAAUAAAAAAGUUAAUUAUUAGUUUAUGAUUUCACUAAAUUCAAUGUUCAAUUUUGUUUAGUAUGAUACUUGAUAAAAGAUUAUUGUCUUUAUGGAAAAAGAUCACAUGAAUUAUGAUUAAUUAAAUGAAGCUGAAUUUCAAAUUAACCAAUUAAUUAAUCACAACAAUACAAAUGAAUUUACACUAAAUUUUAAAGAGGUAUUUAAAAAUGGGAAGAAAAAAGAGAGAGAGAGAGAGAAAAGAAUUGAGUAAUAGACGCUCAAUAAUGGAAUAUUUAAUUGGAAUCACCAAGAUGGAGAAAACGGUUGAAAGACAACUAACACCGUUUACCGGGAUGGUUUUUAAAAACACAAAGUACACAGAAACGAAUAAAACGGUGGGAAACCCCAAGCUCUGAGGAAAAUAAAAAAAGAAACAAUGGCUUGUAUUAGAUGCGGCACUCACACCACUCCAACUGUGAGGUCGCCCCACGUCAGCUAAAGAUAUUAUAGAUGGAGGCGGCCAAAGGUUCUGCUUACGUGUCUGUUGAUUAUUCGCCCGAAAUUUCCAACAUAACAAAAAAGUGCUCUUCUUUUUUCUUAAUAUAUAUUUUUUUAAAAUUAUGGAAAUUAAAUGUUGGAGAGAUAAGAGUUUGAUUGAGGUCACAAUCUGAGUCGUGGACCGUGAAGGCACCUUUUUUCUUUCUUUUUCUCUCUUUCUUUAUUUACUUUGAAUUAUUUCAUUUGUCAUUAUUACCUUGCACUUACAAAAGUACCUAAGUCUAUUUCUUCAUUAUGCACCCACUCAAAUGCGUUGUGCCGACGGGCUAAUUAACAUCACCAUUCUAGAUAUAUCAUCAAAGAUUUUCUUUAUUAUUCAAAUUCAACAUUAUCCAAGUACUGAACUUUUUCCCCCAUUUGACGUUAGAUACUGUGGGUACAAUUUGAUGUUAAAUCCCACUAUAAUAUUUCAAUUCACCAUUUGUUCAAGUGCUGAUUUUUAUAGGAGUUAGAAGGUUAUAUGGUUGAGUUAUGAAUGGAAGGAGGAGAAAGAUUAUAAUAUGAUAAUGAUUCACAAUUAUAAAGGGGAAAGUCAAAUUAAAGUAAAGAUUGAAUGGUAAUGACGAAAAUAAUAUAAUUUAAUAAUUGAAAAAAAGAAUUAAUUUAAGAAUGAAAAGGAAUUGGCAUUAUGUGAAGAUACUGAAUGAAAUGGAAGGGAUGGAUGAUGAAGGGUACGGUGGUUACGGAGUACGGAAAUUCCAUUAAGGUGAGAAGAAUCGGAGAUUGAGAUUAGGUUGUCUGCCUUUUUCUACUGUUUCGUAUCGUUUUUUGCUUUGAUGUUUGUCCUCACUUUUUAAUUCCUUUUUCUUUUUUAAUUCUUUUUUGGAAGAAAAUUCCUAAAGGUUAGGUUUAAAAAAGGUUAUCUCUUACGUCCCACUAAAACCGUCUUCGGCCGAAAGGCCCAUUGGUUUUUGUCUUUCUCGCUUGGGCCGCACCCAUUUUUCCACUUCUGACACCAAACUCUCUAAACAAAUACAGAACAAUUUUGGUGAUAAAAGUGUUUAACAUAAAUAUAAUAUGUUCGACAAAUUUUGUUAUAUUUUUAUUUUUAAAAAUGUUUUUAUAUAUGUUAAUGCUUUAACAAAAUUUGUAAAAUAAUAAUAAAAAUAUUUUCUCGAGAAAAUAAUAAAUAACAUUUUUUUAAAAGAUAAAUCAACAAAAACAAUAAGAGUAAUUUAGAUGCAUUGAAAGUGCACAAACAAUUUUGUGUAUGUCAUUAACUAAUUACUUCCUUUUGGUAGAAGAAGGACAUUUCUGUAUGUAGUUUUGGAUGCUUGGUACGCACAGGCAUACAUUUCGUUCUUCAACUCCAAAUGAUUUCGUAUAUGAAUCGUGUCUUUUAAACUAAGAGUAUAUGUGUUGUUUAUCUAAAUAGUUGAAGGUUGCUAAUGACAUUCUUCUUCCCUUCCUCAAGCAUGUAUCCUACUAAUUAAGACUUGCCAUACAUAUGUUCAUGCCUUUACAUUAGUAAAGGUCUAGGUUCCUUUCCCUGGUGAAAGACUUGAGGAAUUUUUUUUGAAAUGAUUGAUUCUCAGGUAAAGUGACAUCUAUUUUAUCUAUGUAUAUUAUCGAUUUGAAAAAUUACAAUGAUGGCCUUUCAACAAUACAAGUUAAAAUUACACACCUAAAACUUUAAACUUAAUUCAUCAUCCUCUCAAACUUACAAAGGUUAGUUGUUCGUGAUAACUAUUAAAAACAAAAAUGGGCCAUGCGUGUGUUAAUAAAAUGUUAGGCAUGAUAGUUGAUUUCAUAACAACAUAUAGUUAGUAAUGAAUGAACAAUGAAAAAAAUUGUUGUGUGUGACAGAAAACAAUUGUGAUUUUCGUAGUCUUAUUUCUUCAAUACUUUAUCAAGAAAAUGCCAAGACACGCGUGGUAACAGUUGCCAUUAAUUACCAACAUAAUAUCAAAUUGAAUUCCACCAAAGUUGUUCAAAAGUCAAAAAUUCCACAUUUUGAUUAAAUCCAUUGUUUCCGUACCCAUUUCUAAUAAUUUCGAAAGUUUAAUACGAAAGAAAUAAAUUAAUAUCAUAUUCUAUUAUCUUUUUCAAAUCUUCAAACAUUGACAUCAACAAUUUAAACCGUUCAUCCGAUUAGACAAAAAGAAGGAAUAUAAAGUGAAAUUUUGCGAUGGAGAGAUUUUGUUCGUUUGGGCGGGAGGGUUUGGAGUUAUUAUUGAUGGAAAGGGUAAUUUGAGUAAAAUUGUAAAGUUGUGGCGGGACGGAAAGAGAUGGGCUGACGUGUUGGUUGUGGACUUCGGAAUGGGUCCAAUGGAUCCAGUCUCCUUCAACUUUGUCGGCCCACAAUACUCUUAACAAUAAUAAUAAUAAUAAUAAUUUAUAUUAUUUGAUUAGAGCAGCCGUACGUCCACAGUAAAAUUAGGGUUGUUUUGUUGCUGUUUAUUAAUUCCAUCCAAUUUUACGUCUCUUUCUAAAACUUCAAUUAACACUCACUAAUUAUGUCAAUUUUAUAAUUGAUUUACUAAAACAUGAGAGAUUUCAAUGUUGAAUCAAUUAAGACUAAUUGUACUGAGAUUUGAAAGGUGACAUUAAUUAUCUAUCUGUUCUUUCCAUCUUGUAAAUGGUAAAUAUGAAAAUAAAGAAUUUAGUGGAAACAAACUUCUAUUUCACACACAUAUAUAUUUGGUAACAAAUUAAAAAAUCGAAUUAUAAUAUAAACAAGAUGUAUCGUAAAAAAUAACAAAGCGACCAAAUUGUACAAAAUCAAGUGUAGUAAGUUUUUGUCGUUUCCUUGUGCUAUGGAUUGUGAAUAGUUUAUUUAUUUUGUAAUCAUUUAAAUAAUGGUGUUUAGAUGCAUUUAUACUAUAUUUAUAAAUAAAUAAAUAAGUUAUAAUUGUGAGAAUUGUCAAAAAUAGCAAAUUUGACAAAAUAUUUACAACAUAUAACAAAAUUUCAAAUUCUACUAAUAAUAAACAUUAAUAGACACUGAUAUGAUUCUAUUAGUGAUAUUGAUAAACAAUUAUAUAAAUUUUUAUCUUGGAUAUAAUCCAAAAUUUUGCUAUAUCUUAUUAAUAUUUUGAUAUUUAAAAAAGUGACUGUCAUAGUUACUCAAUAAAUAUUGAUAUUUAUAAAUAAUAAUGUAUUAUUAAUUUAUUUACCAGCCACGUUAAGUAAUUUUUGUAAUAUCAUAUAAUUUAUAAUACAUGGUAUUUAUAUUUUAAUUGAAAAGAAUAUAUAUUGAGUUUAUAAAGUUCAAAAUUUAAAAUCAUGAUAGAACAAAAUUAUUAUUUGUAGAAACAAAUAUCAACAAAAUGUCAAUAAUUUAAAGAUUAAUGGGGGGUGGUGGUGGUGGUCUGGUUUUGGUAUAUUGUUUAGAAAAAGCCAUUUAUGGGGAAAAUUAAUUGUUAGAAAACAUGGGCUUAUUAGGAAAUAUUUCAACUCUCUUUCUUCCUUCUCAUUUCCCUUAUAUGUAGAGAUGCUUUUUUAUUACACCAACUUUGUGUAUUUGGAUAUAUUUGUUAAUGUAUUAAUUAUUCCAAUCAUUAACAGACAAGUUAAUAGAUAUAUAAAACCAUUCUUGUAUAUAAUAAAAAUGGCUAUAGAGUUUGAAGCAGCCUGAAAAACAUCUCAAGUUUGUAGAAAUUAAAAAAAAGAAAGAAGAAUAAAAACGAUAUUCAUAAUUUCAUAUUAAGAAAAGAUAAUUAAGUAUGGAUGGUCUAUGAGUUGGCCAAUCCAACAAGAGAUAAAUAAAUAAACAAAGGAGAGGCAAAGGGAUUGAUUUUCUUGGAAAUUGGGUAAGUUCAAAACCAACUCAUUCUUUUCCCCAAUCAAUUAUUAUUUAACGUCCCAAUUUCCAAGUUGAUCCAAACUCAAAACACAAAACCAUUAUCAUAUUUAUUAUUUUUGUUCUAAAGUUUAGAGUGUGUGUGUGUGUGACAGUAUAUGAACUGUAUAUUCAUAUCUUCAAAUUUGUAUUCAUAUAUGUUUUAUUUGUGCAGUUUUUUGCUUUCUUUAAUUUGUCAAUUUCACGACACCUUUAGGUUAAGAAAUCAAUGCGUCACACAAACCAAACUAAAAGAAAAGAAAAGAAAAAACUUAUCUUUGAAACAGUCAAAAUAGAAGAUUGAAAUUAUAACAAUAUAGUUUGAUUUAAUUGUCCACUUGAAUGAGAUUAAUUAAGACAUCAUAUUGCAUCCUCAUCUACGUCAACCAAUUAAAGCCCACGUCUUAAAUCGACUAAGAACAUUAAUGAAUUUAAACCAUGAUUAUUGUUUGGAAGAAAACUUCUUAGAAAUUUUUGUAUUGAUAUCUUUUGGAAAGUUAAACACAUAUUGGAAUCUUGUUUUAAUUAUUGUAUAGGAUGAUGUUCAACUUAGGUAUGAACUUUAUCUAAUGUAGUUUAAAGAAUAUGAAAUCCAUAUUUUAAUCAAAUGUGUGUGUGAUCUUAUCCAUAUUUAUAUAAAUAAAAUAAAUGGUCAACUAUAUUGAUCAUUUUUUUUUAAAUUACACAAAUUAAUAAAUAGUUGCAAACAUUGAAACACAUAUCGAAACGUUUUGUAAAUUUAAGAUAUUCUUUAGUAUAAAUCAUACCAUAUAAUGAGAUCGACGUUAUUUAUAAUUUCUUUCAGAUAUAUAUCUAAGAUUACUGUUACAUGUACUUCCAAAAGGAAAAAAAUAAACAACCGUAUUAAUAUUUUGAUAAACUAUUAUAUUGUCUUAACUAGUAGAAAACCAAAAAAAUUUAAUGAGUAUGUAAAAGUAAGAGGUCUAUUGAUCGUAGCAUAUAUGGUUUAUCGUUAAGUUUUAAUUACAAAGUUUGAUAUAAUUUCUUAUAUUAGUUUUUCUACCAAAAAAGAUAGAGAAUUGAUGAACUCAAAGGCUUUGCAGAGUAAUUGGAACGAAAUUAGAGGUUGGAAUUUAAGUAUGACAUCAAAAUGAAUACAUUAAAACCCAUUUUGAGCUUAUAAUCAAUUAAUCUAUGUUCAUAUAUAUAUAUAUACAGAGAGAGAGAGAGAGAGAGAGGAGAGGAGAGAAAGAGUAUGAUAUUUUGGUAUAUAUGAAAGUAACACAUAAUCAAUAAUUGAAUGUAAAAUAAAAUAAUAAAAGUAUGAUUAGGGAAAGAAAAUAAUAAUAUAAACGUUGGGUGGGGGUGGGGUAUCCUAAAACGGGGUUUGAGGAAUUCCACGUGUACCGAAGUGAGGUUGGUUGUAUAGAAAUUCUAUAAAUCCCGGAGUUUGAACAUUUUUGUAACUAAAGAAAAGGAAAAGGAAAAUGAAAGAAUUGAAAGGAAAAGAGAGAAUAUAGUGUAGGAUGAAAUUUUCACAAAGCUUAUAAAAUUAAAAAGAAUUGAAUUAUUGGGUAUCUAUCUCUGCCUCCUCCUUCUCCUUCUCCUUCCCCUUCCCCUUCCCCUUCCCCCCAUCUCUAUCCGGACGAAGCUAUGGGAGCUCUCUCCGAGUUCUUCUCCCACCUCCACACAAUGACCGCAGUCUUCUUCACCCUCUUACUUCUCGAAUUCGUUAUUCUCAUUCGUACCAUCUUCGGCUUAAGACCUAACUCCGACAAGCGCGUAAUCACGACCGCUCAGUUUUUCAAACUCAUCGAAGACAAGAAUCCCACCAUCCGUUUCUCAAAUAAGGUCACCCCAAGUAUCGCCGAUCAGUGUGCCGUUUGCCUCUCUGAAUUCGAGGAAGGAGAGAAGGUACGGAAAUUGCAAUGCAACCACACUUUUCACAAGGAUUGUCUCGAUAAUUGGUUGAAACUCUGUUUCGCUACCUGUCCGCUUUGCCGGAGUAAGGUUUUGCCGGACGAUAUCGUCGCCGGCUACCAUAGGCUUCGAGACCGUGUAGAGUACGACGGCAGUGACGAGGAGCUCAUCUUUUUGUUAUCGGCAUUACAUGGUAACAGUAUAUAUAGAUUUUUCUAGGGCGAAACACCAAUUUUAUUUUGUUUUUAAUCACAGAAUAGAAUUAAACAACAUAGAAUGUUGAUUUUCUGUAGAUUAACUAGGGAAAUAUUGUUUUUCUCCCCUUCAUUGACGAGCAAUAACGUUAAGGGAACAGCUCGUUUCUGGUUCGAUCGAUCUCUCUAGCUAGAUCGAGAUAAAUCUAAAUCGUGUAUGUUUCUCUUUACUUGCAAUUACGCAACCCAACUGUUAGAUGUGUUGUUUGCAUGAUUGCUUCCUACUCUUCUUGGUCAUUCGUCAACGAAUCAUUAAUUUUGGAGACACCCAAUUUACAUCUUGACGGAGACCCUUUUUUUUUUUUUAACCCAAUAACGCACUGAAAUCCUCACUAAAAUCAUCCAAAUCACAACAACUUUUUUCCAUCAGGUUAAACUAAUCCAAAUGAUCUAUUGAGAUCUUUAAGAUAUUGGAUGAUCGUCUAUUAGUCUCUCUUGAUGUGGGCUUGUUGUCUCCGUAGGACCAGGAGUUAUGGUGCGAACUUAAUUCUAUAAUUUUAGUGGAUGCGAGUUGGUGAUCUAAUUUAUGGUUCUCUUACAAUGUAAAUAGAACAUGGUAUGUGAUGGCAUUUAUUAAGAACAUUGAGUGAAAGGAGAAGCAUUCAAAAUUUGAUGGAUUCUCCCUUGAUAUUUUCAUGGGGAUUUAGGUGGAGAUGGUAGGAGAAGGACUUAAUGCUCUGUAUCUAAAUGCACAACAAACUGAUUGAGCUCAUUUUCUCUAUAGUUAAACCCCGAUGGCGAAAGUGAAAACUAAUGGAUUGUGUUUAGCUCACCAGCACAUUUAUCGAAGAAUAGGUUUGCACGUUAAUCGAAAAACUUCAUUUUACACCACUACAACCUAAAGACAAACUUACUAAACACAACAUAUUAACUCUAUACUUAAACAAACUUGAAAUGUUUCUCAUUGGGAUGAUCUGAAACUAAAGCCACAAGCCCCCCUCCCUUUUUUUUUAAUGUUUGGAUCUCGUUACUUCCUCGAAGCUUUUGAAACAGUUUGGAGUUUGUUUUCUUCCACUUUUGAACACCCACCAAAAGAUGAGGGCAACUGAGGACACGGUCUUUAAAGAACAGUGAUUAGGUGAGAUGAGUUGCAUUAUUGAAGUCAGUGUGUUUAACUUUUUAGCAUUACCAGAAUCAGGGGAUGGGUGAAAGAGGAGAAGAAGCAAAGCAAAAACAGGUUUUAGAUGAUGAAGCCAAAUACCUAUUUACUGUUGGUGAGAAUAAGUUUGUCCUAAAUGGGGUUGUGGGAGCUACAGUAGUUCGCAUGAUGUACUGAAUUGUUCUGUAUGUCGGACAAUAGCAAUAAGUUGAAAUGUUAAACAGGCAAAAUCUCGUGGUGGAGCAGCGGAGGGUAAUUCAUAAGAUUUGACAUUUAAUGUCAGAUUCAAAAAAGUGGAUGAACAACUUCAAUAGUAAAGUAAUAGUACCACAAACCAGAAGUAACGCAUAUGGGGGAGAUGAAUCCUUAUCUAUUUUGGAAAUGGGGUUUGUUGUUGGUUUGAUUCAUUCCUUUUUCAAUUUUUCAGGGUUGAAUUUUAUUUGGUGCAUAUCCGUUUCCCUUUUUAACCAUGGAAUAUAUUGCUGAAAAUAAAAAAUAUGACUCUGUUUAGGUCAUGAGUUGGUAAGAAAUUAAGAUGCAACAGAUUCGUUUGGGUAAGAGUAAUAUUUGAUUGAAGAUGUGCGCCCAUUUCUAUGUAUCUCUUUCAAUUACAAAACAAAGAAUGAUUCAAACAAAAUUAAAACAACAUGGGGUAUCCUAAGCAACACAUAUAUAUUCAUCUAAGUGUCCAAUCAUGGAAUAUGCUACGUAUUGUUGUUAUUCCUUUCUUCAAUCGUGGAAUACAUCGUGAAAAUGUUAAAGUGAGCCCUGUCUGUUUAGGUCAUCGGUCAUGAGUUUGGUUAGUAAAGUGCAAUUGAUCUCGUUGAAAAAGAGUAAUGUUAGGGUCAAGUGUUGCAUCUAGUUGUGUAGUUCCUUCAAUUGAUCCAUCAAAAGUUGUCAUGUAAUAAAGUUUCUUUAUUUUUGCUUAAAAAAUUAUUUUAAGCCUCUUUUUGUUUGUGAUGGAAGAAAACAAGUAUAUGUAUACAUACAUUUAUACACGAUAAACUUGUAAUUAAACAUUUGAAAUGCGUCUCACCUGGUGAGUUGAGUUUGAAUUGUGAAGAAAGAAAUAAUUUAAUGAAUUGAUUGAAAGCUACAUUAUAUAUAGGUUGGUUUAUUGAAGUCAUUAAAUAUACAUUAUACAAAGAAGUAAUCUUUUAAAAACACAUGGCCACCACCAACUCCUAUCUGUAAGUUUGGUUCAGGGCUCAAAAUUAGAGACAUUCAGGAUGAUCAACAUCAUCUCUCUCAAUAAAUACAAAUGAUUAUAAGUCGAUUAAAUCUUUCUUUCUACAAUAAGAUAGUUAAAUAAAUGAAUUAAAACUAAUCAUUAUUUUUGCACAUCAAAUCAACCACUAUCACAUUAAAUAAUCAAUAAAUUUGAAGGAAAAAAAAGUCUUAAUCAAUAAAUUUGAAGGAAAAAAAAGUCUUAAUCAAUAAAUUUGAAGGAAAAACAAAGUCUUCGUCAACUUUUAUAAUUGUAAUUUGUGUGGGAGUAUGUAUUUAUAAUAUUUGUCUAAAUAAAAUAACUAUUAAAUUAGCAAGGGUGUUUGAGAUUUAUAGUUGCGUAUUGAUUUUAGAAAAACAAAUUUAAGUACAAUUUUUCUUUUAUAAAAUUGAUAUGAAACUUGUAAACAAAAUUUUUAUAUAUUUAGAAAUGAUUUUGAAUCAUUAUUGUUUAGAUUUUGAAUCAUUAUUGUUAUUAUAUUUUUUGAUUUGAGAAAUAGUUAUGUUAGUAUAUAAUUGUUUGUUUUAUAAAUAAUUUAAUGAUGUACAUUCUUUUAUUCCAAUAUUUUAUAAAAAGAAAACUGAAUUAGACAUCCAUUUUGGGAGUGGUUGAUUGAAAAUCACCCAACAAAAAUUACCAAUAACCUAAUUCGUUUUUUAAACGAUUUUAUAUUUAUUUUAGUUCAUGUCAAACAAGAAAAAGUGAUUUUGGACAAACACAAAAAAGUAUAUAUCUAAAUAUGGUGAUAUGGAUAGUUAUUAUGGCAACCAUGGAUAGAACUUGGAAUCAACUACAACUACAACUUUGGAAACAAAACCAAACCAAAACAAAAUUCAUAAUUCAUUAGAUGAACUUCUUAGUAAAUUAUUUUUAUAUACAUCCGUAUAUAUCCCCAUUAGAUGAUCAAAUUUACACUUUAUAUGAGAUUUAAUGUAGAAAUAGACUUUGGAUGUUCAAAACCUAACUUUUAACAGCUUGGACUUGAAAACAAUGAAUUUGAAAAGUACUUUAAAAAGUAACUUUUCCUUCUUACAAAAAAACCAAACCUAAAUUGACGAAAUUUUGAAUAAAUUAAACCAAAAUGGCCUCUCAGAUAAGACACAAAUGUGUCACCAUAACAACCUUUACCAUCAUUUGAUUUACACUCUUAAUUUCACUUUCACUUUCUUUGAAUGCCACCAAAAUUUCAUAACUAUAUAUCAAUUACAUAAAGAGAUAUCACGACCAUAAUUAUAAUUACGAGUUGAAAAGCUCACAAGGUAAUUUAUUUAAAAUUUUGUCUACGAUUUAAUAUCAAAUAUAAAUAUCAAAUUAUUAUUGAUACCAUCUUAGAUGGUGGAUUGAUCCCAAAUCAUAACUAUGAACAACUAAAUUCAUUGAUUUUUCAAUAUGGGAUCUGAACAGCCUCAUCCAUCCACCAUAUCACAUAUUUAAAAGCACCAACUAAGUGGCCAACUCUCGAUGAUUUCUUGAAAACCAAAUCAUCCAUCUUUUCCCAACAUUCAUAUGGUUAAUUCAAACCCUAUAAUAAUCAUCAAAUCAUAAUACAAUCCCACCCUUCUUCUCUCGAAUUCAAAAGCAUUUCAAAACUAAUAGAAUCCAAAAAAGGAAAAAAGAAAAAAAAAAUGUACAGAUUUGAGAGAGAGAGAGAGAGAGACGAGAAACAUUUACAAUAUAUAUAUAUAUAUAUAAACCCAAUAGAGGAACUCAAGCUGAGAAGAACCCAGUGGAAGCAGCUCGACCAAUUUGAGAUUUGGGUUCAAAAACCCAAUUGAAUUCCGACAUCUCAGCAGAGUAAUUAUGCUUUUUUGCCAUUUCCAUCAUCUUCUUCAUCCUAAUUGAAGUAGCAGUUGCAGAUAUGGAAACCCCAGAAGAACCCAACUCUUGAAGCUCUUGCCUGAUCAUCUCUUGACCUCGCCUUGGAUUCUUCGUCCUCCUCUCGUAUUCCUCUGCUACAAGAAUUGCAAUAUCCGCCAUGGCUGUGAUUUUUCAACUCUCCCUCUUAGUUGAUUUUGAGGAGACCCCUUUAGGAGGAUGACAUAAUUUAUAUUCAGAUUGAGGUAUGAUUGUGGAUAAGGCUGACAAGUCGGUGUAGUGUAUAAAAGAAAUAAAAAAAAGUGACCUUUGAUGACUUAGUCUGGUUUUUUGGGCAUUUUGGUUUUACUUUUUCUAUGGGUGGACCCUUUGUGGAGAAAUUUGAUUGUAUUAUAUUGUAUAUCUAUAAAAUAUACACAUGUAUAUUGUAUUUCAUUGAAGGGUCUUCUUUGAUUGUGCCAAUACCCAAAUAAAGGGGUUUCUUGGCAACAAAGUUGGGAUAGUUGUGUGAAUUAUAAUAGAAUAUAUCAGUAUUUCAAAAUUCUAAUGGAACACGUAUUCUUAAUAAACUUAUAAAGAAUUUACAGAUUGUUAAAUGAUACAAGAAUUGUUAAUUGAGAACAAUGAGAUUAUGUAUAUUGUGAUAGAUAGGAUAGAAAACCUAUCCAUUAUAAUGGAUGUCUUGUGGUGUUUUCAAUGAAGUUGGUGGUGGAAAUUUUGUAGGCAAUAUUCUAGUGGGUUUGGUGGGGGGGAGGAAUGGUAAAAGGCAAUACCAAUAGUUCAGGACUUGUAAAUGAUAAAGAAAAAAAAAAAGAAACCAACUCCACAAUGUUAAUUAUCUCAAACUCUUUCUUAAUAAAUGUCUGUCCUAUUCAACCUUCUCCUUCAAACAAUGAAGAGAGGGUAACUCUUCUUUGCUUUUCAAUAAUAAUAAUAAAAAAAACAUAUCUUUCUUUUGAAGCAAACUAGCAAAAUUGUUGAAAAAAAUAUUGAUAAAUAUAGUCAAAUUUUAUAUAUUUCUUAGUGUAAAAAAUAUGGAAACGGAAAAGCAAAAGGAAAGUGGUUUUUGAGAAUCGGAAAACAGCGAAACUGAGCAAAUGGUUUUGAUCUCAAAAACCAAAACCAUCACCGACAAACGCAUAACACAUCAGAUUCAUGUAACUAAUACGUGUCUAAUUACUAUUUGUUCUUCAAAUUAAUUAUAUAUUUCGUAGUACACAAUACGUGGCAUCAUAUUACUGGUUGUGGGCGGUGACAAGUCCACAGUCCACGCAUUUUCUUUUGUUUACUCUUUUAAAUCAUUCAUGCAUCUUAUUAAUUAGCUUCUAAAUAAUUCAUAAUUUAACCAUAGUAAUCAUAAUAAUGUCAUAAAUUAUACACACAUUUCAAUAAAUUUUAUUAAUGUAAUCAAUUUCAGUGUUUGGCAAAUAAAUUUCACUCUUCCAAUAUAUACCUAUUAAUAAUGAAUUUGAUUGGAGUUUUUCUAGUGCAUUAUUCUAUCCUUGUGAUAUUUAGAAGCACAUAUUUUAUAAUUAGGUUAUUCUUAAUGGAAAGUAAACUAAUGUAGUCAUAGUUAGUACUUAGUAAUUAGGCUGCAACUUACCCACUUGUUUAUAAAUCGAUGGUAAUUUUAGUUAGUGUAUUUCAUUUUAUUACACUUUUUUUUAAUCUAUAUUUCGUAAUCCUAUGAAAAUAAUGAGUUCACCUUGAAUUGAAAAAUUGAGAGUACUCAAUUGGACUGCAUUUGAGAUUUAUGUGAAACUCACUUUCGUUAUUGUUACUAUCACGAUAUUAAUUAGAAUUAUGAUAAAUGUUAUAUUCUUAGUUAUUGUUAUUCGGUAACAAUAACUAGUGAUAAAUUAUGUAUAGCAAGAUUGUAACUAUAGAUGCGAUAACUCGUAAUUGAAACUCAUUUCAAUUGAUUCAUUAAUAAAAUUUCAUUUUUAAAAAAUAAUAAAACUUUUUUUAUUAUGGUUUGGUAAACAUAACUCUAAUGUUAUAACAACUUUCUUUACAUCUCGAUUACAAUAACCAAUUUAGGCGAACAUAUUCCAGUCAAAACUUGAUCUUUUUAUAAUAAAAAUCCUAAGGAAAGUCCACUUUUAAAAUGCUAAGAUGUGCUUAAUAUUUACAAAAGUGUCGUUUUAAAAGAAUUGAAUUAUCUAUCGACUCAUCAGCAAGAAUCUCAUACUUAUCACCAUCCAGUUCUUGACAAAUGGGAGAUAAGAAUGAGAAAUAUAUAUAUAUAUAUAUAUAUAUAUAUACCUGCAGGCCAAGGGAGGUUUAGUUAUUUUUAAAAAGAAUGAUAAAAAUGUGCCUAAGAAAGAGGAAGACGGAAGUGAUAGUAGAAAACUCACAAAUAUAAUAUACUUUAUACUCAGUAAGAGAAACGUUAAAAGCAUAUUAAUUUGGAGACAUUUGUCAGUUUUGAUUGUAGGUAUUCAAAUUCGUUCCCAUUCCCUUUCCUCAAACGGAUAAGACGAAAGAAAGUAAGAAAGAUCACGAGCUUCAUCAAGCUAGCCAUUCUAAGAAUACAGAAGAAAAGGCUGAGGGUGUCACACAUCUGAGAGCAUAUGUAUAGGACUUUCUUGGUCCAAAGUAACUUGUAGUAAGUGCAACUGAGCAGCAAAAGCAUAUGGUGAGUUCAAGCUUCAACAGGUGCUCUUCUGGGCAAAGUGAAAAACUGACACAUUUCAUCUCAUAAAAGGCCAAGAGUUUUGAGCUGUUGAACGUGCUCUGCAGGAAGUGGUGGAGGCAACCAGUCAGAUCCUGUCAUCUCCCCAUCUACAUCUUCCACAACAUAUUCCUGUGAGAAAUCAAAACAUCCCAAAAAUAUAGUAAUCAAUCAAAAACCUAACCAACCAACAUAUUAUUCACAAGUGAAACUUUCUAGUCGUAAUUAGUCCAUUCUUGCCAAUUCAAGAAUAGCACAAAUUGCACAAUUACCAUCCGAAAAUUGCUGGUUGAUCCUCCAACCUCCUACAAAAAUGGUCGAUUCACAAUCAAUCCAUCCAUGGGAAUAUGUCAUUUGGUUUUAGUGUCCCCCACUCCUGUUAUCUUUCUCAUCCCAAAGACCAAUAAGACAGCCCUCGUGAAUGGAUGUGCUCGGCCAGCUGGGCAUCCACCUUCAUCCAUGAUGUUUGGCUUUUAUUUUCAUUUUCUAACGGGGUGUGUUUGGACGACUAGUAAUUUUGCUCUCUUUUAAAUCAUGGGAUUUACUGAAAUUUUUUAAGAGUACUUCUAAUCUAAAACACUUUUCUUUAAUCACACGCAGUUUGAAAAUUUGUAAAAGUAGAUAAAAGGCACUUAAAAAAGUACUUUUAGAUGAAACAUUUCAUUAGUUUUGCUUACAAAAUAAAUGCUUCACUUAAGAACACAUUUUUCAAAAUGAAAUCUCAGACUCGCCCAAAUUUAGUUGGUUCUGUUUAUUUCAAUAGCCAGUCUAGUGUACAGAAAAAGAAACCAUAUUCAAGUAUUUACACUCCUAGCUCAGAGUUUGAAAGUUAUGCACAAAUAAAUCUCAAAAGAGAUCAAUCAACUCACCUUUGUUAGCAUUCUUUUCGCAAGUAUGUGAUAGUGUCGUUGCCAUAUUCGUUGGCCAACCAUGGUAGCCACCAAGACACUAUAGAAUAUACCAAUCACUGUGAACAAACCAAGAACAAUCAAGGCCAUUAUAAGUAAUAAUGGCAGUCCUGCUUCACCAGCACCUCCUAGGCAUCCACAUUCAGUUGCAAUGCUUCCACAACUUUCGAAGCAAGUGGUACAGUCGGUCCACAUACAAAGAGUACCAGGUAAAUGACAGUCUGCACAUAGUCUGGAAAGAUGCAAGAAACACAUAAAAAUAUGAUGCUGGUGAAUAAACUAAAAAUACUAUUGUUUGGAAAAUAUUUCCAGCAUUUAUAUAUUAUAAUUUGAUGAAGAUAGAUAUAACGAGCUUUGAUAAGGAUUUUAGUCAUCAAUCUAAAAUAGCUUGAACGAAUUCUUAGCUUGGCUAAAUAUUGAAUAUUCUAUAUUUCCAGCAACAUUCUUUCACUACAAUGGGACGGGAAGCAGAAUAGAGAAAGAUCAGUCGUGUUAGAGAAUCAUCACUGCAUGGCAGCAGUUAUGCCAAAGAAUGAGCCUACGCUCCUCAACAAGCAUUGUUAAAAUUUGAAAACAAUAAAAUUUUAACAUAAUUAAAAAAGAAACUGCAAAAUAUGGAUUUAUACCCAGGGUGGCAACAACAUAGACACAAUUCUCUACAUGGUUGAGCCAAAUCACUCCUAACUCUUCGAUCAUAACAAGUGAUGAAGCAGCCAGAUACGCCGAGCAAUGCAAAAAAUAAUAAAGCCCCUGCAUAGGAAAUAACGCAAACUAGUAAAAACAGAAUUGAAAGAACUGAAAUAUGUCUUUCGAUUUUGUAGAACAGAAUAGCAUCUAACAUAAAGAAAUAAAAUAAAUUAAAAUUGUCUCUCUACUUUGAGGUUUGUUCAACUUUAAUCCACAUACUUUCAAAUAUUCAAUUUUUGCCCAUGUACAAAGCUUAAUAUUUUUCUAAAAAAAUCAAAAUUGGCUAAAUAAUAACAAUAACUUUCACGUAAAGAAAUAUGAUAUGUGAAUAUAUUUUCAAAAUUUAUAGUGAAAAUGCUAAGAAAUAUCAAAAAAUUAUUUUAAAAAAACAUUAAUAAGCAUGCAGGAGGGACUAAAUUAUAGAUUACUUGAAAAAGUUGAGACAAAAAUUGAUCAUUUAAAAGUACAAGGACUAAAAUUGAACCAAAUUUAAAUUAUAGGGACCAAAUUGAUAUUGCAUAUUUCAAGUUGACUCAAUAUAAUACUCAUACAGUGAAGGACCAUAAUCCAUUAACUACUUCCUCCUUAUGAGGUUCAACAACAAUAUGAAUAAAAUAUUGCGAUAAUGUAAUAAGCACAUUUUUUUCAGCUGUUGUUCUUUGCCCUCAAACUUUCAUUAGUUUUCAUUAAUUUCUAUGAAGCACAAAAGAUUUCCCAUCUCUCUACACACUUUAUCUCACAGGCUUUUUUUCCAUACAUAAUCUCACCCUGGUCUCUCUAGUCUCUACACUCCUCUACUACACAGUUCCUCUCAUCAUCAACUUCUUUCUAAAAAGUAAAAACAACCUCUCAACAAUUCUUCUCACUAUCACAACUUUUACAAUUUUAGAUACACCCCGACUAGUAGCUUACCAAUUCUUAAUAUACUUUUAAUUAAAACUUAAAAGACACUCCUUUCUAACUAAAGCACACCGCAAAAGUACUUAAAAAGUUAGAAUUAAAUAAGCAAACGAUAUAUUAUUACUUAUCAUCAAAGUUCUUAUGUUAAAAGUUCUUUGGAUGUGAACCCAUAAAAGUCAGAAGCGCUCUAAGCAGACCAGCAAACAAGGUCACUAAGACAAACUGCUUGAAGCUAUGGGCCAAACAAGAUUAUGCCCUAAUGCUAUAACAUAAAUUGUGCAUGCAAAGCUUGAAUCAGCCAAUUGAGAUUUUACCGCAUAUGUAAUAAAAACUAAUUUUGCUAUCAAAACCCCAAGUAAGACGAAGCCAGUAAUGUUGACAACCAUCUAUUAAGUAUGUCAAAUAUCCCAGAGAAGCAAUUACCUGCACAAAGAUAAACAAAGGAAUAUAAACUAUUCUACAGAAAAAUAAUCUCAUGCUACAACAUAACUUGGUUUGGCAAUAAAUUAAAUAGAAACAAAAUAAAACUUACAAGCUGAACCGCCAAAAAUAUAAAUAUAAUGUCUCUAGUCACAAAAAAUCGAAAUUUCAGGGUUCGCCAUUUUCUGUCAGCAACAGCAUGUACUCUCAAAUGGUAAGGGGCCUUACAUGUGGUACAGUGAGCAAAAGCAAACCCUUCCUGCAAUUUUAAUCACGGAUGACCAAAUGUAACUAAAUGAUGGCUAUAGAAAUUUCCUUAUUUAUUUUCCUAAAUAAACAUAGAACCAGUCUAAGAAGACAAAAACGAGACUGUAAAUAUGACUGGUGCGGGCGGAUACAAAUACCGCCCAAGAGUAGUGAUAUUCUUUAUUUUGUUAAUUACCCUAAAUUAGAGUCAAUCGUGUGAUAAAAAUUGAAACUUAAAAAAUGCUGGUGCAAGGAGAACAGAGUUAAUAAUGGCAAAAUACGAGUUAAUUUCUUAAGCAAUAAAAGGUAUCGUAACAAUCACUUGUUAAGGCUGAACUUAGUCAUUAAGGUGAGGAAAAUAUAACCAUGCAAAUUCAGGGAAUCAUGGGUGUAUUAUCAGCAACUUCAUUUGAAAAUUCAAUCACAAUAACUAAACUUACAUUGAAACCACCAGCAUUCAAGAUAGCAUUCAUACCUUCACGGCUCGCCAAUGAUCCAGACAUUCUCGAUGAACAUAUUUGGAUGUCCCUUUGCAUUUGCAAGGAGCAAUAAAAUCCCUACCUGAUCAUGUAAUGAAACACGCACAUUGGUUAAUUUAAAUACUCCCAUAGUCUCAGUGUGAUACCCCCCUCUCCUACCGUUAUACAAACUUUCAAGUGAACAGUCAACUCCAAAGAAUUCUAAAGCACGAAUGGCCAAGUGGAUGGGGAAUGUUAACAUCGCUUGUCAAACGAUCAAAUUAACGAAUUUUUAACACCGAAGAACCUAAUUAAUUAGACUUCAAGUCUCACGGUAUUGAAAGAAACAAUGAUCAUAAGAAAACACAUCGUAAUUUCGGAAAAUUAAGAUUCUAGGGUCCAAAGAACUUCGCCUAAAACGCUGCACUGAGCCAUUGAUUAUAAAGCAAGCAGAAGAAAUUAGGUUCCACAAUGAUUUCCCGGAAGGAAAAUGUGGAACAUACCCAAACGAAAACAACCCCACCAACCGUACGAAAACAGUCGAAACCUAACAAAAACUGAAAAACAUAGGAACGAGGAAUUACCAUCGGUCUCAAGGCAAAUUCUACACUGAAUUUGUUCCCCUUGACCAGCUUCAAGGUCGAUCUCACUAGGGUCGGUGAUCGGCGCCGGAGGAAUAAGAGGGGAAGAAUCUGACGGUUGACCCGCCAUAAGGAGUUAAGAAGCGGAAAAACACAAAAAAAAAAAAAAAAUGGUGGGAAAAAAGUGGAGGAGAAUUAGGAUAGCAUGAAGAAGAAAUAAGGGAUCUCCAUGUAAAAGAGUUGUAAGCCCAGAGAGAAUAAUAAUGGUGAAGCAGGAAGAAAGCAAGAGAUUGUGUAGAAGUGUAGAGCAGAAAGUGGUUGAAUGUCUUUCUUCCCAAAAUGGCCACAGCCUUCACCAUUUUUUGACCAACUUAUCCUUCAAUCCCUUAAAACUCUUUUCUAUUUCUAUCACAUCAAAUUUUAUAACUCAUUCUUUUUUUUUUUUUUUUUUCAAUUACAAAAUUUUAUAUCAAUUUAGUUCAUAAAUAUUUUAAUACUAUGAAGCUGGAGUAUGAAGUUUUGUUUGCCAACAAAUUGGCUUAUAAACAGUCACAAUCAUAACUACUAUAUAUAAAUUGAAAUUUGAAUUAUUGUUUGUUUUUUUUUAAUUUUUAAUUUAAGUAUUGAUUCGAUGCCUUUUCAAAAAUACCAAAUCCUCACAACUUUUUUCAUUAAAUUUAAGUUUUCUUUUUCUAUCCACAACAAUUCCAACGUAAAAAUGAUAAAUGUGUUGUAACUUCUAUAAGAAAUCUUUUUUAUAAGAAAAACAAAUUAUCUAUACGUUACACGUAAUUUGCAGUUAGUUGGGUUUAUAUGAUAAAUUUACAAUACCUUAGUUUAUUACUUGGUAUAAGAAUAAUAAAAAUCUAUUUACGUAAUAUUUAUAAUAUUAUCAUUAUUAUUUAACAUUUCUUUGGUUAUUUUUAUAAUGUUGUCCUUAUUACUUAUUAUUUAACAUUACUUUGGUUUUUCUCCAAUGAUAAUUAUUUAUUAAUAAAAUGUGAUCUCCUUUCAUUAUCAAAAAGAAAUAUAAAAAAAUCUGAACUCAUAUUACUCUUUUAUUUCCUUUGUUGCCCUUUACCCUUUAUAUGAAAAAUAGGGAGAGAAUAGUUUAAACAAUGUGAUUUGGGCAGCGAAAAGUGAACUCCUUCCAUUAUCAAAUUAAUUAAAGCAUUGAAACUAAUCGCCGUUUAUCACUGCUGCAGCUAAAAAAGUUCAAAGGUACUCUAAAAUUAUGCAGCGGAGACAUAAUUACUAAUUUGGAACACAUCCUAACAAACGUUCUCAAGAAGCUAAAAUAAAAAUUUUUAAAAGAAAAAAAAAAAAACCCAAAAGUCGGGGGAACAAAGCUACAUAUGAAAAGUGUCUAUGUCCGCUUUUUCAUCUCCCUAUUUUUUUUUACUUCUUCCUCUUCUUGGGAGGCUGGAGUGCUUCCUCGUCUUCGUCCUCGUCCUCUUCGUCCUCGUCAUCUGCUACUUCGUCUUCAUCCUCUCCACCAUCAUCAUCGUCGUCGUCAUCACCAUCUUCGUCGUCGUCAUCCUCAUCGCCAUCAUCGUUAUCAUCAUCAUCAUCACCAUCAUCGUCUUGAUCCUCCUCCCCGUCAAACUCUUCUUCUUCCUCUCCAUUCUCUUCCGCCCCACCAGCUCCACCCUCUGGAUUCUUCUUAGAAUUACUUUUGUUAUUAUCGUUGAGGUUGUUGGUGUAGUCAUCUCCAUCUUCAGAUGAUAAAUCCUCUUCACCUUCACCUUCACUCAAGUCGCCAUCCCCAUCACCUUCAUCGUCAUCAUCAACAUCUCCUCCAGCAUCGAGCGGUGUGGACGAGGGGCACAGGGUGGAACUAUCUCCUUUCAUUUCAGGAUUGAUCAGAAAUGCACCAAGAGAAUCCUGCAACAAAAUUCCCAAGAGUACAAUGGUCCAUAAGGUUAAGCAUGUCAGCGACCAAAAACAUCACUUCAAAAAUGGUCGUUGCAAUCAAAGAAAAACAGACAGAGAAACCACACAAGGACUAUCAAUUUCUAUGUUCCUUAUACACUUGAACUCAACAUAGUAGGCAAUAGAUUUUAAUGAAAACAUUAAUGCUAAAACAACGUAGCCGCUACCAGUUCACCUGAAUUUCCUUUUAAAAAGUCAAAUUGAUAGUAAUGCCUCAGAAUUUCUUUUGUUUUACAAUUUCAAAACAUGAUGAUUAGUAACGAUAAGGACAUAUUAAAAUAUUUAACAGAAUAUGAUGGGACAUAUUAACAGAAAUGAAUAGUAUGGCAGGCGUACAUUUGUUUAUUCCCCCCCGUCUCAGUCCUCCAAUUUGACAAUCUCUGUUUUUACUUUAACCUCCUCCCCUUUUUAUUUUAUUUUUUCCCCAUGUCUUUUCUUGUCGGGAUCUGGUCACCAACCAAAGUGAUAAAGAACCCACUUUAACGUUUAAAUUACCCACUAAUUUUAAUCAGCUACUUCAAUUGAAUGUCAUAAAUGGCAUCCAUUAAGAAGCAGAAAGGCAGAGGAUGGUGGGAAGGGAAUAAACUUCCCAAUCACAAUCGGGCGGGCACUAUCAUAAGCUAGAAAUAGAUACAGGAAGAUGAAAAGAUAAUCUUUUGGGCACUAGAAACCACGUAUUAAGAUUGAUUCCUAAUCCAACAAUUCUCAAAAAAGUCGCAAAGUACUCCAAGAAUUAUUCGACACCGAGUCCAAAGCAUAAUAUUCCAACAACAAAAGAAAAAGGUGACAUCUCCCUAUCUUAACAAUUGUUUAGUGAAAUAUUUCACAUGAAACGAAUAAACUUUGGAGCAUAGCUUUAUUUAUUUUAUUCUUAAAUGGAAAUAAAAUGAAAUUCCGUGUCAAUCAUCAAUAGUAUCUUCAACCACUGAAAUGAAGUGAAUUAAAAGAGGGAUAUGGCGUGUCAUUCAAGUUGUCGGUUGAGGGUCAUUUCCGUAAAUUCAGCAUCAAACCUCAACGAACCCAUCAAGUGGGGUCAAGAAAAUGAUGGCCCAAUAGCAAAAAAACAAAGGGAGAAAGAUAAAUCCAAAAGAAUCAAUCCCAUGACGCGUGAUUACAGUAAUUUCCUUGAAAAAAUAAAAAUGAAAAGUUUUCAACUUUUUAUUUUAUUAAUUUGUAGAAAAAGUUUUUGUUUUUUGGGUUUGAAAAGAUCAACCAAAAUAAUCUAAUGGAAGCCGUACGAUGGGAAUCAGUUAGCCAAACGGAAGGAGUGGCAGUGAAUGGAUCUGUUGGAUAUUUUUCUCACCUAUCCUACAGCUUACUUUAUCGACUAAGGCUCAGCCGAAAUCGGCAAACAUCAAAACGGUUGGCCGAAGCCGGGGGACUUCCAUAAAAAAACACACAAAAAACCAUCCAGUAAAAACCCAUUUGAAACAUAAUUUUUCCUCGAUAUGAAAAGCAUAUCAACUAGAAACAUUCAUUAACUGGGCAGAUAGAACUCAGAAAUUACAGAUAAGGUGGUAAUUAAAAAGGUUAGAGACAGAGAGGGGCCUUGCCUGAGCCAGGCGCUGGGUGUUGACCAGAGCCGAAGCUAGUAAAGCAGCUAAGCAAUUACUGGCGCAUGCCAGUGAGCCAUCACCGAGCGUGACACCUAAUGAAGCAUUUGCUAUCUCCAUUCGCGCGGCGACUGUUCCCUGCAAAUGGAUCAAAAAACACUGAUGAGAGAUGUGGUCGCCGUCAGAUCUGUCUCCAAAAAUUCAACAGCCGUUAAAAAAUGAAAAAAUGAAAACCUAAAAAUUAUAACAAAACAUAACUCCACCGGAAAUUCUCUCAGUCUCUCAGUCUCUCAGUCAGCCCCUUCCCCUACCGUGUUGAUUUGGUAGUUUCUACCGCCUAUCCUGAGGUUUGACCGCAGACAAUAAAUCCAAAAAGACUCAUUCUAAGACAUAUUCAAAUACCUUUUUUAAAAAGAGCAUAAGAAGUUUUCUGACGCAUCCUCUAACAAGCAGAGGGACCUAAACUUUCAGUGAAGCAAAAAAUUCCAGUGUUCAUAAAGUCAACGGUAAAUCCAUCCCAAAAGUUACAAAAAGCGUAGAUAUACGAGAAAUUAAACUCCACACAGCACAGAAAUUCAGUUAAGUCGUUCAGAAACGACCCCGAAACACUAGUAAAGUGAAGAACAGCAAAGAAGGUGAAGCAAAAAAAGCAGAAAACAAGAAAAGAUGAAGCUCAAAUAGGGGAAACAAAACAGAAACAGAUAGAAGGAAGAAAAAAAAGGAAUUAAGAGAAAAAGCAUACCGAGAAGAGAGAUCAGAGCAGAGAGAUGGUAGAUCUGGAGGUAUGGAGAUCUAAAACCACAGAAAAGAAGGAGGAGAAGGGAGGUUCAUUGUGGACCGUCGGAUCGAGAUCGAAAAGACAAAAGAGAAACGAAGAUAUAGAAUUAUCGGCGGCACUCAGAGAAGGGGGGGGGGGGGGGGGUUGAGAGGGAAAGAGGUGAGAGAGGGGAAGUGAGAGAAGCGAGUGCGAUUACUGGAGACCGACUGCCCGUAAUUUUCCAGUCCGGUAUCGGGCAGAUCGGGCAGCGUCGUAAUCUUGUAAAAAAGACCGCGUUUUAAGCUGCCCAAUGAGCCUCGAUGGACAGGUGUGGGUUCGGAUAAACUUUUCUCUUCUAUUUUUCCCUUUGGUCCUUUCUUUUUUUCCUUUUUACUUUUUCAGCAACCAGUUUUUCCAUUUAUUACACAAACCUUCCUCCAACGAAAACUGUCUUUUUCAUAAAGUCUUCGUCCCCCCCCUUUUUUUCUUUUUUCCUUCCCCCCCUCUUCUUCUUCUUCUUCUUCCUCUUCCUCUUUUAAAUCAUUCUUAUUUAAAUUUAAUAUGGCUUCAACUUUAAGCAUCUGAACAACUCUUUAUCUUCAGACUAAAAGUAUAGUAUUCAAAUUAUUAUUAUUCCUAAAUAAGAACAGUAUCGUCAGACCAGACUCAGUCCACCAGGAACUCCACAUCCUUGAUUAUAAAUUAAUAUCAAUGAAAGGAUAUUGUUAAUUUAAGAAUAAACCGAUAGAGCUUAGAUUUUAAGCAAGAGGGAGGUAUGGGCCUGUUUUAACAACCAGGCCCAGGCCCAUUCUUGGUCCAAUUAACCAUCUUCUUCUGGAAGGAUCAAAAGCUCCUCCACUUUAAAACCAUGGAAGAUGUUUAAUAACCCUAAUCCAUGUAUUUUCAGGAAUGGGGACACAGAUGGCUUAUAUUUUAAAUUUUCAAAACAAUUACCUUUUGAAAUAUGUCAUUACCCGUAGUUAUAAUCUAUGAACUAAAUGCAGUCAUGGUAGGUUCUUUGGCAAAGCAGAGAACGCCUUCUCUGGAAAAGGUUCGGAUAAAAGAAUAAUAGAAACUACAAAAUAAAUAUCACACGGGAAGCCUCGGUUCUUAUUUUGUUAUAAAUCAAUAGGUUGAAGCAAACUUAGCUCAACUUGCAUUUCCUUUCUUAAGAGAAUGAAGAUUUGAUUCAUUUUCGUUAUUAUACUAAAAAAACCAAUAAAAACUUAUC